This 160165-nucleotide long non-coding RNA is filed under the name Brassica napus (rape). The record is from RNAcentral. Lineage: Eukaryota; Viridiplantae; Streptophyta; Magnoliopsida; Brassicales; Brassicaceae.
CUUGGAGUAGGUGCUGGAGAAUCAACCUCAGGUGUCUCUGUUUCAGGUGUAAGUUUUGGAACAUUACUAUCCGAGGCAUUGUCUUCAUCACCUGGUCCAGGAGCCGGAGCUGGAGCUGGAGCUGGAGGGGUUGCACCACUCAUGGGAGAUGGACUUGGAGCCAUUGCAGCAUCCAUAGGAGAUGGAGCAGGAGCUGGAGCUAAAGGAACGGGUGGUGGUGGAGGUGGGAGAACUGCUAAGCUGAGUCCAGGAGCCACAAUGGGCAUGCUAAUCUGUAUUAUAGACAGGUUAAAAGGGUUGUGAUACAACGUGGUAACAUACUCAGCGUUUAGUGGUGAGCCCUUUACUCCGGAUCCAAAGUAAACUUUUCCUUUAGAUUUGGUACAAUUGAGGAAACCAUUCAUCUCUUCACCUAAACCGGUUGUUUGGUACAAGGUAGUGAGCAUUAUGCUCUUCUCCUUCAUCCCCUUAAGCUUGAGCUCGUCGUAGUAGUCAAGAAUGACAUGAGUCAUGAGGAUGUUUUUGAGCUCAAUGGCGGAUUUGUUUGUGAUAGAGCUGAUGUUGUUGUUGUUAACAGCGAGUAGGGUUAUGGUUUGGUAUUUGCUUAUGAGUGUAGUGAGCUUGGUUUUGGUGAAGAGCUCACUCAUGGUGCUGAAAUUGGAGUAUUUCUCAAACGCAUGUGUGAUGUUAUCGGCUGUAACGAUGGGAGAGAAGAGGAGUAAAAGGGUUAGGGAGAGGAGAGAAAAGGAGGCGUUGAGAUUCAUCUUGUGUGCUGAAAAGCUAAACCUCAAUGGCUUCACAUGUUUGGUAUUUAUGCAGAAGAAGUGAGGAAGUUGUAGAAUGAACUAGUCUUUAUGGUGUGCUAAGUCUACUCUCCUAUUUUUAGUGUGUAAUAAGACUUGGCCACUAGAUGAAUUUAAUUAUUUGAAGACUAAUUUUUUAGUUUAUUUAGGGUUUAGCAUGUGUGUUUUUAGAAAGAAUGAUUAAAAUAAUAUAUUUGUUUCCAUGCUUAUGUAUUCAUUUACUAAUUAUAACUUUUAAAAAAGGGGUAAACAUUUCCUAAAAGAAUAGAAUGUGAAAAGCUCUGGUAAUCACGCGCAGUGUUUAUUUAGGUUGGCAGCGAAUUCGAACUCGAGUUUAUUAGAGAUCCACAAAACGUAUUGUACUAUCCGACCACGGACGCCAUGCAAAGAAAACAUUGGUUUAACAAAAAACUUAAAGUUUAAUUAUAACUUAAAGAAAACUAAAGUUAUAUAUACUGAGAAGCCAUGCAAAGCAAUAGUUACGUCAAAUGAUAUAUAUUUGGUUUUAAAAACAUUUAGUCGGUGGAUUACGUCAAAGAGGUUGGCAGACUUUAUUCCCCAUGUAUAAUUAGGCACUUAGGUUAUUAGGUAUAUUAUCAUUAUCCAAAAACAUGGAACAUUUUAUAUUCUUAUUUCUUAGUAUUCUUACAUUAAAUAACACGUUUUAUUUGUCGAACCUAUGUUCUAAGUUUUUUUUUUUUUUUGUCAUCUGAAAGAUUAUAUUAUCACAGGUGAAAUACAGUCGAAACACACCUAAGCCGGCAAGAAACAUUUUUCUUCCGGAGCCAUAAGCCGGCAAAGAUCGAAAUCUUUCCAGAGCCAUAAGAGAAAACUACUAGACAACUAAAAACGAUUUACAAGAAACUCUAAUACAUAAGCCAAAAUCCAAAACAUAAGCGAAGGAGAAGCGUUGAUGAUUGCAGUCCAAAACGCAGAGCACAUCGAUCUCCAAACGAAGGAUAGAGACAGGUCCAAGAGACUUCAUAGAGAGGGGUAGGGAACCUGAAAAAGAUUCCUAUCCAAAGAGCCAAAACAUAAGGGUGGAGGAUCCUCAAAGUUCCCGCAGCAACGAUCCGGUACUUACAUCAGUCCGUCCAUAUAGUAACAUAGGUGAGCCCAAAUGGAUCUUCAAGGGAGACACGAAUACUGAAGCACUCCAAAGAAACCUAUGUUCUAAGUUAGAUGGUCUUUUACACAAUACUCAUAAAAAUAUAUAUAUAAACACGAAUAUUAAAAAGUUUCUGCUUUGUACCUAUUAUUCGAAUUUGCAACUCGGAGAGAGAUCGUAUUCUCUUUGUUAACCUACGAACACAACAUCUCAUAAUUGAGCGCGUUUACUGCAUUGUGUGCUGCCAAAAGUGUAAUACUAUUCAUUAUCGUAGUACUUUUUCAAUUCUUUUGAAAUUUCGGCAGCUGAGCUAAAUUGACCUUAACUAAUAUCAACGUGAUACGUCAUGCUAAUUAGUUUACACUGCAACUAGUAUCAUACUCUCGAGCUAUAUAUCAUCACUAUUAGUGUAAAGUUCAACUAGUAUUAUUCACAUGUAAAUUAUAAUCCGAAGAAGAAACAAAUAGUUAUUUUCUUGACAUAUAAAAACUAAGCAUCGGCUGAUCCACUAAAGAGAUAGGGGUCACUUGGUCCCGGUAAGAUAAUAAAACCAAUUUAUACAAAUUCUUAUGAGUCAAUAGUUCAGUUGGUAUAUUUCUGGUAGUGACACUCAUAAAUCUAAGUUCAGUUCACCAUAUGAUCUCUUGGCAGUUCUUUUUUCCUCUUACCCUCUUAGAAUUUUGGGCAUAUUAUAUUUCUUUUUUUAUCUACGCGUAUUAUAUUUCCUUUAUAUUUUAUUAUGAUGAUAACAGUAUAAAUUGAUAAUAACUAUAUUUGUUUAUUUAUGUAAAUAUUAUUACCUUGCCAUAUAAAAUAAUUAAAGUAUUUCGAUUUAAUUUUAUGGGAACUUUAAUUAGUAUUUCAUGCAAGUUCGAUAAAAAUGGCGUAGGUAUACCUAAAUUUCCUAAAUAAUCAUAAAUUUUUGAAUCAUUAAUUCAAUUGUAAUUGAUCUGAUUAUACGUGCAUUGUAAAAGUAUCGUCUUAUCCCGCGUUAGAGAUUUGAAUUUGAGAUGUUGUAGUUACCUUUGCCAACCAAUUAGAUUGUAAGAUUAUAGAAUUAGAAAAAAAUGAUAUAUAUAUAUAUAUAUAUAUAUAUAUAUAUAUAUAUAUAUAUGAACCCAUAAAAUGGCUACAUGCCUACGCUAAUUGUUAUUCUUAAAUCAUUCAUAGUACAAAAUUAUUCUAAGAUGCCCUAACUAUAUAUAAUUUUAAAAUUACCUAUAAAGAAAAAAAUAGAUCAUGAUAUAGAGCGAUUCACUAGAUUGGAAUCAAAUUCAAUGUAUAGUCUAAUGAUAUAUAAUAAAAUAUAAAACCAAUACUAGUAAUGUUAGGUAUCUAAAAUUAAACCGAGAUAUCAUUUUCUUGACAGAAUCAUUCUAAGCUGUAAGUGACCUAUACCAAUCGCUCCUUCAUUGGCUACUCGAGCAUAUCUUUCGCAAUAAGAAUACCACUAAAGCUAUAGAUCCCUCCCUAUAUGUACAUAUAUAUGUGCGUCUGCGAACAGAAUUAUGUAAUAUAUACAUAUAUCUACAUAUAUAUAUGUGUGUGUGUGAAUUACAGUUAAAUAUAUAUAUAAAAAUAUGUUCGCUUCUCUCCUGUGAUGUCACGUCAUCAAGUCGUGCAUUAUGGGAGUGACAUGUGUCUCAUUUUAUAUUUGGAGCUAAAAUAAAACAAAAAGUUGUCAAGGGUAAUUGAACCCAGCACUUCCAGCACUGGUAAUUUCUCUUAGAACCACUAGGCUAAAGUUACUUUUUAUAAAUAUGUGGCCGCGAAAAUACUUAUUAUCGUGUUGGCUGGAAGUCCAUGAUUCUUCUGCUUGUGGCCAGGGCCGGCACUGAACUGACGUCAAGAUGAAGAUCGUGAAGUUAAAAACUUUGCUCCAAACAGUUUUGCAAUGUUUCCAACCUUUAUAACUUGAUGUAUAUAAUAUAUAUCAAAAUAUAUUUGUUGUACACGUUUUUAUUAGUUUUGCUUUUAAAAGAAUGUAUUUGCAGUUAUAAAUGUUUUGUGUCAGUGAAGUAAUGGUUGAAAAACCUCUAUACAUAUGUCAUUUUAAAAUAACAUCCAACUUCUAUAUAUAGUCAAUACAUAUGUCCAUGUUAUAUUCUAGACUAAAUAUUUCUCUUUUAAAAAUAUAGAAAACAGUUUUUUACUCUACAAGCAAAUGUUGUAGAGCAAAUAUGCAUUAUACAAAAUAAUAUAUAUUUAAAAUUCAUACACAAAAACAUAAAAGUUGAUAUAUGUCUCUUUGUGACACAUGCACACUCCACUAUGAAUAAGAAUUAAAAAAAAAACAGUAUUGUCAUCAAACUUUAUCACAAAUCCACAUUUGUACAUCUAUAAUUAUGAGUUGGACAAUUAGUUAAUUUGAUACAAUACCAAAGCAAGAAUAAUCAAAAACAACUAUACCACCGCAUAACAGAUAACCAAAUUCUUGAAUCUUAAAACAAAUUUCAACUCGAGCAUUUAGUGAAUAUCAAAUUAACUAAUAUAUCGCCCGUAGGGCGGGCCGACCCUAGUUAACUUUAUAUAUAUGUUUGUGUAUGUGUGUUAAUUACUGUUAAUUAAUUUUAGAGUAUAUAUAUAUAUAUGUUUGUAGGUGUGUGAAUUACAUUUAAAUUAACUUUUCUUAAUUGAUUUUGCAAUAUCAAUUAACAAAACGUUCAAGAUGGCUUGAAUGUUCACAACAACUAAAUCAUUUCUGAUGUCUAGGGAUAUAUAGUAACAAAACACAACAUAUAAAAGUGUGAUGCAUAUUUUGAUGUCUGAAUCAGUGUGGCGUAGAUUAUGUGAACACAUGAACAAUAAGAAUAAUAGUUGGAAAGUGUAUCUGGGAAGACUCUAGAAACAACAUGUAGAUAAUCAAAUAUAAUAGUUUCAAAAGUUUAGUGAUAUUGUAUAUAUUUUAGUUUUGUAGAAUUUACCUUUAAGAUGUUGACACAUCAAGAACAAAGCAAACGAUAAACGGAUAGAAGAAGUACAUGCAUAAGAUGCAUGAGAAUAAUCAAUAUCAGUAUUCAUUGAAUUGCGACUAUGGUCAAUGAACGUCAGAUUUUGGUGGAAUGGGUCAUCGAUAUGAGAUCCGUGAAUCAUAUCCGGCAAAUACACACUCAAGUAGCUUGUUGUCAUCUAGGUUAGGAUGAGAUGGGUUGUAACCUUUUGAUAUAAAAGCACACAAUUUUUUGUGCCAAUACGUUAUCUUCAUUAUGUUCUGAAUCUCUAAUCAAAUAUAUAAUUCCAUGAGCAAAAGCUCAUGUUAUGAUAAGCUGGCUGGAAUUUUUGUACAUAGUAAGCUAGUUUGUAAAAUAAAUCUCUAUUACAAUACAAUUAGGUAACCAGAAGUUUUAGUUGUGAAAUGUAUCUCACAGUUUAGGACGUUUUCAAUAAAUCUAGGGCAUAAAUUAAUUCCAUCGCUAAAUCAUCACAAAUAAACAAGUGUGAUGGAUAUUCCUCCCGCACAGAAAACUAGUUUAGAACUUAUUUAGGUCAUAUUAUAUCACUAGAAUAGUUUGAUAGAAUAUUUUAAUCUUGUUUGAGCAAUAUCAUAAUGAUGAAAAUACCAACUAUUAUAUUUCUACCUCAUGAUUGAUUGCAAAAUGAUAGGUAGGUUACCCAAAAGUAAAUCAUCAGCAACGUCUUCAAAUAUUGAUUUUUUUUUACAAAUAAAUUACAAAUUUCACGAGCAACGUCAUGGCAUGUCGUAUAAUAUAGAUCUAUGGACUAAAACGGUAAGUAAAAUUAAAGAGGAACAAAAGGACAAAAAUUUUGUGGCUGUGCGAGUGUUAAAGAGAAUGAGGCUUGAGGAGUGAAUGUGGGUGGCAUCGCAUAGUCGCAUCAUCUCCCACGAGGGCCUUCGCUCCCAUGCACUUCCCUUAAUGUCUCUCUUUACUCUUUCAUUUGCCUUUAUGUGUACAUCUUGUCCAUCUUUUCACAAAAUUAUAAAAAUAAAAAUAACAUACAGAAUAUAGCAGUAUUAUGAAUUAUUGCAAUAUACUAGACCCCUCUAGAAACAGAAUAUGAUGAUUAUGAAGCUAGUCCUUAUCACAUUGCAUAUGUGAGCGAGGACCCAAGGAUCUAUGUAAAGAUAGAGGAUAUAACUGAAGGGAUAAAUCUUUUGAUGGCUAAAGAAUUACUCCUAUCAAGCUCUAUACUAAUCUAUGACCAAAUUACUUUCGACCUUAUUCCCACGUGAGACAUAAUAAAAAAUUUUGGUACAAUAAUGUUUUUUGAGACAUAAUAAUAAUGUUAACGAUUUCAUAGAUAAUAUAUGCACACACACACACAUAUAUAUCGUGAUCACUGAUCAGAUCCAAUAGUCAAAAUUGACAUAAGAAAAUAUGUUAUAAUUUAUAUGUAUUAAAUUACUUCCCAUUCUUACUUCUAUAUGAAAGAUAUGUUAAUACAAGUAAACAUAUAAAAGAGAGGGGGAAAGGCAUAGAUCGAGGAACAAGGUAGAAGAAUUUGGCAAGACAUGAACUUAAUUAACUGUCUCGACCAAAAGGAGAGUAAGGACCAUUAAGUGUUGAAAAUCCACGUGACACCACGCCAAUUCUGCUGAUAUGUUUCAUGUCUACUGAACAUACAUAGAAUUUUAGGAGCGUUACUUUACAAUAAAAAAUGAAGAAGAGGACGAAUAAAAACUUAAAUCAUCAUAUAACAUUUAAUUUGUAUGGCAACCUUUUCAAUAAUUAAAAGAAUAAAAGUUCGUUGGUGACCACAAGAUGAAUAGAAAAAAUGAACAAAAUAAAAAAUAAAAUUUCAUGUGAGAAACUGAACAAAUUAAAAGAUAAGAAUUUUUAUUCAUUUUGUUCCUCAUCAAAAUUGCAGAGGGAUAUUUUUCUUUAUAAAUUCAUUCAUCUUUGAGGAAUUUAGAGAAAAAAUAUGGGACCUAUCAAUUAAUAAUUUGACAAAAAAAUUUGAGGAAUAAUAAAUACACCAUAAUUUUUCUUUCAACAUGGUCACCAAUUGGAACCUAACUAAAUUAAACUGGAAAUAAUAAUUUAUUAUCAAAACAUGACAUUGUUUCGGGAUCUAGGUAUGAUACACAUAUGACAUAUCCAAAUUUUAGGCCACUUAUUUUUUCUCAAAACUAAAGCAUUUAAUUGUUUAUAUGUCUCACAUCAUUAAAAAUUAUCUUUGCAUUUAUUAUAGUACUAUUUACACGAAGUUCAAUUUUCCUUGUAAAAGAUACUCCAUUCGUUUUCUACAAGAUACUCCAUUUAUUAACAAUAUUCUCUAAUUUAUUUUUCUAUUUAUUGAAAUAUGAUUAGUUGUAUAAGUAAUGAUAUUUUUAUUGUUGAAAUAUGAAAAAUUAAAUAUUUUUAUAAUCUGUGUGUAUAAACCCAAAACGAUAACUAAAAUGAAACGGCUCGAGUAGUCAUUUCGCUUUAAUUUAUCAUUUUCAGAACUAUAACCUUCAUGCAAAAAACUAUAUUUUUUAAUUAUGUAGACUUAUAUUGACCUUACAAAAAUAUUUCUAUUGAUCUUGAAACUACAUAUGAAAUUUUUAAUUAUUGGAACAAAACAAUGAUAAGUUUUAGGGGUUUUAUUAUGUUCACUAGGGUAAAUCGCAUAAAACACUCUCAAAGUGUCACUUACUAUCAUUUUAAACCUUAAUUUUUUUCACAAACACUUUUAACCUUCAAACUGUAUUUGUAUUAUAAAAAAAUGACCAAUAGUACAGGUAAAAGGAUGAUGUGUCAAUUUUUUUAAUUAUUUAAUUAAUAAAAUAAAUAAAAAAUUAAAUAAAAUUCAGAUUUUUUUAAAAAAAAUUGUAAAUUUAAAUAAAAUUUAAUAAACAUUCAGAUUUUUUUAAAGUUCAGAAAAUAAAAUAAAGAUUAAGAAAAUUAAAAAAAAUAGCUAAAAAGAAAAGAAAAAAUUAAUAAGACCAAAUUAAAAUCCAGGAAAAAAAUUGAAAAUUGAAAAUUGAAAAUUGAAAAUUGAAAAGUUCAAAAUAGUUUUUUUUUUGUCAUUUUCAACGAUGAUGUCGGAAACUAUAAUUAGAGAUAUGCCAAAAACGUCACUGUUAAUGCUUAAGUAAAAAGCCACCAUUAAUUGUUAUAAGUUAUAUCUGAAAUUGUUAUUGUAAACAAUGAUAUGAUAUUUUUUUUAAAAAAAUAGUGUAAUUUAUAAUAAAAAUAUAUUGAUUUUUGAAGGUUAAACAUGUUUUUGAGGGUUUUUUAUGAGAUUCUCCCUAUUCAUAUAUCUCUUACCUAAAACAUAAAUUAGGAUUCUUACUAUAUAUAGUAUUAUUUUAUGAAAUUAUUCAAAAUAUGAAACUUAAAUACAAGAGAAAUUAAUCAUUUUCUAAACGAAAACUAAAUCAUCGAUCUAGUUAUAUAUAUCACGCAAAAUACAAAUACAAAAUACAAAAUACAAGGAGAUAUAUUUUGUUCACGUUGUGGUGAUCAGGAGGAAUCAAUAAACCAUGUGUUUUUUGACUGUCCUCCAGCACGACAGGUGUGGGCCUUAUCUAAGAUACCAUCGAACCCGAAUAUUUUUCCUCUAGAUUCUUUCUUUGCGAAUAUGGACCAUCUUUUUUGGAGAGUUAAUCCAAAGAUUGAAGACCAUCAGUUUGCAUGGAUCCUAUGGUAUAUUUGGAAAGGUAUGAAUAAUAAGGUGUUUAGCAAUAUUGACGUUGAUCCGAGGGACACACUCAAGCUGGCUGAAUUGGAAUCAACCCUUUGGGCAGAGGCUCAGGUUUUAAGGAAUCAGCAAGUGGCACCGGAUAUACAGAAUAGUUCCAUUCAAACGAAUAUAGGACGAUGGUGUUUUAUAGACGGAUAAGGCUGCGUUCUCAAGGCAAGGAUGGUUUAGUAAUUUACCAGGCUUUGAUGGUUUGUUAGGGGCACGAAAUGUACGUGCAUGCCUAUCACCUCUUCACUCGGAGGUGGAGGCAUUGAUAUGGACAAUGGAAUGUAUGAGGAAUUUACGACAAUUUCAGGUUACGUUUGCAACAGAUUGUUUUCAGUUGGUGAAGAUGGUUUCGGAACCCGAGGAAUGGCCUGCAUUUGGAACCUACCUGGAAGACAUCAAGUCUUUGAGAAGAAGCUUCCACAACUCAGAGAUCGUUCAUGUACCAAGAACGGCGAAUCAAAAGGCGGAUAGCUUAGCACGCAGUGCCCGGCAUCAACCGUCUUUCGUCGUACACAUGGGUGCAGAGUUACCAAUUUGGUUUACAGAGUCAAUAUGAGUCUGUGAAUUGUUUGCUGUCAAAAAAAAAAAAUUCUAAUAUUUUUUGAAAAAGAUUAUUUCGAAGAUUCUAAAGUGAUGAACAAAAUUUCUCAUUUUCUAACACACAGAUUAAAUCAUUUUCAUACUAGAUUAAGUAUAACAUUCUUCCAAUUAAUCUCUGUAGAAAAGAUAUGGCGAUGCUUCUUCUUUUUUUCUUAAUUACAUCUUGUAAUUCGAAUAACAUAAAAGUUUUAAUUACAUGAAAGUUGAGUUAUUCUUUUCUGUUUAUAUAUGAUAUACUUAUAAAUUGGUGGAAGACGGGUAGAUAAGAUUCGUCCCUUUCGAGAAUUCUGGAAUUCUAUGUUUAACAUAUUAGCAUACAUUUUAAUAUAUGUUAAUACAUCUAUAUGAUAUAGUCAUAAAAUAUUUCUCAGCAUCUUAACAUGACCCCACUAACAUAUUUAUAUAUAACGCUCUUCACAGUUUCUUUUCUCCUCAGCAAAAUCAACAAGCUCAUUGUGAAGAGCAAUCAUACACAAACAACAACAAAAAACUACAAAAUUCUAGUUCGUAAACAAUCAUCAUCACAAUGUCUGGUGUGUGGGUGUUCAACAAGAACGGAGUGAUGAGGCUGGUUGAGAAUCCUUACAACCAAUCCGCCGGAGAUUCCUCGGAGUCUUCCUCCUCCAGUGGCAACCAGCAGCAGAGGCUGAGAAGGAAGAUCCUUGUCCAUCUUCCGACCAAUGAGGUUGUCUCUUCGUACGGAUCACUUGAGAGGAUCUUGAAGGGUCUUGGAUGGGAAAGGUACUACAAUGAAGACAACUUCGAUCAUCUCCUCCAGUUCCAUAAGAGAACAUCGAUAGAUCUCAUCUCACUCCCCCGCGACUUCUCAAAGUUUAACUCCAUCCAUAUGUAUGAUAUCGUCGUCAAGAACCCUAACGUCUUCCAUGUCCGGGACAUGUAGUAGUCCAUCAUCAAAACUAAAACCGAGGACAAUUUGAUUCUUCAAAAUCAUUCUCUCUCACAUCUAUUAUGUAUAUAGUUGCAUGUUUGCGUUACUUUAUUUUCUGNNNNNNNNNNNNNNNNNNNNNNNNNNNNNNNNNNNNNNNNNNNNNNNNNNNNNNNNNNNNNNNNNNNNNNNNNNNNNNNNNNNNNNNNNNNNNNNNNNNNNNGGGGGUUGUUUUAUAUUUAUGUGUGUUUGUUUACGUUGGUCGAUUUUGGGUGGUCUAAGCUAAACUCAUUUUAAUAACUUGUAUCAUUUUGUGGUUUUGGUGAACUUUGUAUCAAGAUCUCUCAAAGAUGAAAUAGUAAAGAUGUUAUAUUUGAUUUAGUGAAUUAGUCGUUCAAUAAAAAAGUUAUAUGAUGUGACAUGUUUGAUUUGGUGCCUACAAUACAAGGAAGCAAAUCAAAUAACUUAGAAAAAUUCCUUAGAAUAUUUCUAACUUUUUUAGUUUAUUUUUAAAAAAAUAAUCUUGAAGAAGGAAAAUAACCAAAACUGAUUUUAUUAAAGAAUAAAAAUAAAUUUAUAUCAUAGGAUUAACUAAUCUAGAUCUACGGUUUAGAGAUAAGGAGUGGAGUUUUGAGGAUAAAGUUUCAAAUUUUAAAAAAUAAAAAAUAAAUAUCAAAAUUCAAAAUUAAAAACUAUUUUGGUCAUUUUCCUCUUUGAAAUAUAUUUUUAUGACAAAAACCUAAAAAAAAAACUAUUUGAAAGAAUUGUCCAACAACUUAUGACAGAUUUAUUUUUUUCAACAAGAAAUUAAUAUCAAAUACUCAUAUAGAUAGCUUAGGUACUACUUUAAACUAAUGAUAAUCAUCAUGAACUCGAGUCAAAUUUUAUCGGGGAACUUAUGAUUUGAUGAGAAUGUUUAAAGUGGAUUCAAAACCAUAACAUACAUGAUUAAAACCAUAGAUAUAUCAUAUAUUAUGCCAUACUGAACCAUAAAUUUAUAAAACGAUAAUUUCAAGAGUCAUGACGAAAUCCAAAGAAGGAAAGUCAAAAAGAUGUCCAGAUAGAGAAGGUCCCCCAAAGGUUUAGGAAGACAAUGGAUAAAAUGAUGGGCGCAUGUGAUCUCUCAUACUUUUCCACCCAACUUUGACAGCUGUCGAUUUCUUAUUGCCCAGUUCUCCACUUUGUCACAUAUUAGAAUGAUGCGCACGUGAUGUACAUCCUUUUGCUUAGAAUCUGGACACGUGUCUAUUCCCCAUUGCCCAUUUUCCCCACUUUGUCACUUCUUUAUCGAUGUCGAACAAAACUUUAUAUACUCCCUCAGUUCGGAAUGAAAGAUUUUUUAGAGUAUUUACACAUACUAGAUUUUUUAACCGCGUUACGCGCGGAUAAGAUAUUAUAUGUAUUUCUUAAUUCUAAAAAUAAUGUAUAAUAUUGUAUUAUAUUAUUUAAAGAAUAUAAAAUAAGACUACAUAACAUAAAUAUAUUUUUUAUAUUUUCUUUGUGGAAAUCAUUAUGUUGUUUGAUUAUUGUACUUAAUUCACAUAUUUGCAUAGAUAUUUGUGAUAGAUGAAUAACUAUAUUUUUAUUAUCAGUAAAUAAUAUAUAUUUAUUAUAUAAUAUAAGAAAAAUGAAAUUAUUUACUUUUUAACAAAUUUGUCACAUGUUGGGGACUCGGUUAUAGACAUAUCAUAUUCGAAUGAAACAUUUUUACACUUAUCAAUCUUCUUAACAAUCAAGAAACAAAUCUGAAUAUCAAAACAAUAUCUCAUACGAUAUCUUUGUGGAAUAACUGCUCUGAAGAAAUUGAAUUUAUGCAUCAAAAAUGACUGGAAAUGGAUGUGCAUAUGUGUUAUCUAAGUCAGCUUUACAAAAAACUAUUUAUAGUUCAUAUAUCAUUUAUGUCCAUCCUAUUUUUUUGUCCAUCAUUUCUUAAACAUCUUGAAAUAAGUAAUGCUAAUUAAUAAUAAACUUUUUGCUCACAAAAUAAAAAUCAAAUUUGUCUAAUUAUCGCUUAAUUUGUCUAACUGAUAUAUGUAUUUCUCAAUUCUAAAAAAAUAAUGUAUAAUAUUGUAUUACAUUAUUUAAAGAAUAUAAAAUAUGACUACAUAACAUAAAUAUAUUUUUUAAACUUUCUUUGUGGAAAUCAUUAUGUUGUUUGAUUGUUGUACUUGAUUCACAUAUUUGCAUAGAUAUUUGUGAUAGAUGAAUAACUAUAUUUUUAUUAUCAGUAAAUAAUAUAUAUUGAUUAUAUAAUAUAAAAAAAAUAAAAUUAUUUACUUUUUAAUCAAAUUGUCUCAUGUUGGGGACUCGGUUAUAGACAUAUCAUAUUCGAAGGAGACAUUUUUACAGUUAUCAAUCUUCUUAACAUUGAAAAAACAAAUCUACAUAUCAAAACAAUAUCUCAUACGAUCUAUUUGUGGAAUAACUACUCUGAAGAAAUUGAAUUUAUGCAUCAAAAAGGACUAAAAUGGAUGUACAAAUAUGUUAUCUAAGUCUGCUUCACAAAGUACUAUUCAUAGUUCAUAUAUCAUUAAUGUCCAUCCUAUUUUUUUGUCCACCAUUUCUUAAACAUCUUGAAAUAGCUGAUGCUAAUUAAUAAUAAACUUUUUGCUGGAAAAAAAUCAAAUUUGUCUAAUUAUCGUUUAAAUAUUUUAUUAAUAUGGUCUAAGAAGCUUUUAAGUGAUAUCAUAGUUUAAUUUAUUAGUAUUUUUGUUAAUUUUUAGAGGUUUUUGUAUUUAAGAUUUUUUUCCAUAUUAAGCUUCUAUUUCUUUCACAGAAUUGAUAUAUAUAUAUAUAUAUAUAUAUAUAUAUAUCAUAAAAAUUACCAUUAAAUCAGUUUUACUUAUUUAUUAUUUUGUUUUAACGAAAAUACACUUUUUAAAUAAUUUAAUUUAAAAUAAAAAUUAUAUAUUAAUUUGCUGUAUUUUAACAAUUUCAUUGAUUUAAUUAAUUUGCUUUGGGGGAUAACUUAAAAAGUUUUCAUAUGAAUCGGGGAAAAUAAGCUUAUGUUGUUAUAUUAUAUUUAUUUUGUGUAUAUAGAAUCUAUAUAUAAUGCUAGUGUAAUAAAGAAAGAACAUUAUUUUUUUGUAACUUCAAAAAGAUACAUUAUUACAAUUCGAAAUGAAUCAAAAUUGAAUAAAAUGGUAAUUAAAUAUUUGUAAAUCUAAUUGUUUAGUUGGAUUCUCAUGAAAAAAAAUCGAUUGGUUAAACAAAUGUUUCAAAAUUUGUUGUGGUAUUGUUUUGUCUAUAAAUUAUAAAAUUUAUUGAAUUAAUAUAUUUAAUUAUUGCAUCCUUAAAUAAUAUUUUAUUAAGACAUUAGAAAAAUAUGUUUUGAGUUGUUUUGUCAAAUUGUACAAAAAUCUAUGCUUUUUCAUAUUUGUAACUUCAAAAAGAUACAUUAUGACAAUUUGAAAUUAAUCAAAAUUGAAUAAAAUGGUAAUUAAAUAUCUGUAAAUCUAAUUUUUUUUUAUCUUGUUUAGUUGGAUUCUCAUGAAAAAAAAUCGAUAGGUUAAACAAAUGUUUCAAAAUUUGUUGUGUUAUUGUUUUGUCUAUAAAUUACAAAAUUUAUUGAAUUAAUAUAUUUAAUUAUUGCACCCUUAAAUAAUAUUUUAUUAAGACAUUAGAGAAGUAUGUUUUGAGUUGUUUUGUCAAAAUUUUAUAAAAAUUUAUGCUUUUUCAUAUUUGUCACGAAAAUUUAUAUGUUAAACUUACUUUUACAAAAUUCUUAAUUUUGUCACGAAAACAAAAAUCUAUGCUUUUUCAUAUUUGUCAACGUUCUCACACUUUCUAAGAAUAUAUUAGCUUAGUCACUUACUUAUUUUGUUUUUACAAAACAAAGUAUCGGAGUCUUGAAAGUUGAAUUCAUAUUAUUGUAAAUGUACAUAAGAGUUUGUGAUUAUAUACUUAGUGGUUCUUGUAUAUGUGUCCAAGAAAGUUUCAAUGGCUUAGUGGUAACUGUUCUAUAUAUAUAUCAUACUAACCCGGGUUCGAUUCUCACCUUCGUAUUGUUUUUUUAUUUUUUACGAAAAAUAAAUGAGAUGACAUGGCAAUUUCAGGUUCUUUAAUUGGUUGAUUUUUUUAUCCUAUGUGGACACCCUCUCCAUGGCUUAUAUCCCCUUUUAGUAUAGUAUAGAUUAAAAAAAUAUAAUUGAAUUUAUUAUUUAUUUUAUUAUAUAUUUUUCAAUAAAUAUCAAUAAAUAGUAUUCAAUCAAUUCAAAAAUUUUCAAUUAAUAUUUAUUAAAAAUAUACAAUUUUUCAAUAUUAACUACUAAAAGUACCUUAAAAUUUUAGAAAAUUUAUCAUUUUUGAACAAAAAAUAAAUUUAGAAAAUCCUAGUUUCAGAAACAUAUUGAAUAUUUUUUUUAACUACCCCGUCCCCAAACAAAUUCACACAUAUCCUUUUCGUCUCACACUAUUAUUAUAUUCGGGGCCCUUUUUAGUUUUGAAAUUUUUUCUUACAUAUGUAUUAGUUUGAAUGAUUUUUUGGUACUAGAGUUUCUUUAAUUUUUGAAAAUGGUUAGAAUAUAUAGUUUGUAUGAUUUUAGGAUUACAGUUUCUUGAAUUAAGACAAUGGGCCUGACUAAGAUGGCGCCGUGAUGGAGCGCAUGCUAAAGAUUCUCCAGCAUCAGGAUUGUCCAAAACCAAUAUUCUGGUUUAUAGAUUUAAUCUCCUCUUAAUUCAAUUAGUUGAUUUGAUAAUGUUAUUUCCCGCGGCGGGAAAAUAAAAUUCCGGUGGCGCCAAAAUCGGAGAAGAAGAGGAAAGGGGCAAAGCAAACCCUAAAAUCAAAUCCCAAUUCUGUAAGCUAUGCAAGCAAAGAUCAACUCUUUCUUCAAGCCCUCUGCUUCUUCUCCGUCUCCCAUCGCCGAUGCCUCAGCAACACCAGACACAGACGAUGGUUUAGCCGCGUGGGAGAAAAGUCGAAACGUCAUCGUUAAUACCUACGAGCGACGAUCCGCCACAGUCGAUAGGUAUAUGAAAGAAUCAUCUCCUUUGGCUAAUGAAAGAAUCGAUCUUUGAUAUGUGGUACAUGAAUCAUCAUCUGGGUUUUCUAUUUUAGGUGUAAAGUUUUGAUUUUUCUUAAUUUUUAGAAACUUUGAUUGGUUGAUGCUUUGGUUAUUACAGAAGUGAAGUGCUAAAGGGAUGUAUUGGGAAUCCACCACUGAGGAAAGGAUCUUCAUUUGGAUCCAAGAAUCUCAGCAAGAAGCGGAGUUAUACACAGUUCCACUUAGAGUUGGGCCAAUCUGAUUUUCUUCUCAGACACUGCGCAGAGUGUGGAGCUACGUAUGCUCCUGGGGAUGAGUUAGAUGAGAAGAACCAUCAAAGCUUUCACAAGGACUAUAUGUAUGGUAUCCCCUUUAAGGUUAGGAUGACUGUGACCUUAUUAUAUAUAUGUGUUGAAGAUAUAUUGUUUCCUUGAUUAAGUGUUGGGUUUUUGAAUUGUUCUCAGGGCUGGCAGAACGAGAGAGUGUUCGCAUCGCCUUCUUUCAACAAGAACCGUAUUGUUAUGGUUUUAUUGGAAAAUGAUUCUCCUGCACACAGAAACAAGGUUCGUUUUCCUUUCACAAUGCUGUUUCCUGUACUGGUUAGAGGAUCUUAUAGGUUAUUGUUUGCACUUGUAGGUGCAAGAGGUUGUGAAAGUGAUGGAGGUUGAGUUGGGUGAGGGUUGGAUUCUUCACAAACAUUGUAAGGUACGAGUCCUAACAAACAUUUGUUUUUUGAGCCAACUGCGAUCUGAUAGUAACCUGUUGGGAAUACUUGCUUUAGUUAUUAGCCAAUUAACCAAGAUGUUUUGAAUAGUUUCUUUACUUCCACAGCGGUUUCAAAGAGCUACCGUGUUAUGUGGCAGGUCUAUCUGUCUGUCUCAUCUCAGAGGAUCAGCGGAUGUUUAGUUGCGGAGCCAAUUAAGGAAGCAUUUAAGAUCAAAGCUCCUCCUGAGGAUGAAAGACGGUUUAAGAAAGAGAGCUCUUCUUCGCCUUCAACCUCCAUUCAGUUUGGAAACGUUGUGUUGCAAAGACAAGUAUCAAAAAGGUGUCAGGGAUCAGAUGAUAGAUUGGAUAAUGGAGCCAUUGUAUGUGAAGAGGAAGCUAAACCGGCUGUUUGUGGAAUUAGAGCAAUAUGGGUUUCACCUUCUAACAGAAGAAAAGGCUUAGCUACACGGUUACUCGAUACAGCGAGGUAAAAUGACUCUUCUUAGCAACUAACCAACGACCUGAAUCCAUUCUCAGUUUGAUGUGUGUGAAACGCAGGGAGAGCUUCAGCAGUGGGUGCGUUUUGAAGAAGUCGCAGUUGGCGUUUUCAGAACCAAGCUCGUUGGGAAGCGCUUUUGGAUCAAAUUAUUUUGGAACUCGCUCAUUCUUAGUUUACAAAGCUCAAGUAGAAAGGUUCAAUUAAAACAUAUAGCUUUGCAUUUUUAUGGGAUGUCAUGUCACAUUUUUAUAAUGAAAAUGAUUAUACUAAAUCAAACUCAAUCUACAACAAAUACAAAUAGAGAAGUGAUUUCAAUUGAGUAAGACUCACUUUUUCCAUAACUAAAUUCUAUUUCUUUAAAAAUUAAGUUAACAGUUUAAAUUAUAGAUAAAAUCAAAAGUGUCUUUAUAAAGGUUUUAGAAGUAUUCGGAUUAAAUAUAACUCAAAAUAUAACUUUAAGUUCUUCAACACUGAAACUUUCACUUAAAAAUGUCUUUAAAAUAGUAUUCAUAACGAAAAAACUAGUAAAAUGAAUUCUUUGAGACAAAAAUAAAAUUACAAAAUAAGUUUUUUUAUAAGAGACAAUGUGUGGAAUAUCCCCAAUUAAGGUCCAAAUUUGCUGAAUGCCCAUAAUUAUGGAUAAUCCAAAAAGAAGUAACUUUUUGAUAUUGUGCGGACGAAAAUGUCAUUAUGCUUUGUCGAAAACAAGUAACUCUAGAUCUAUCAGCUAAAUAUUUAUAUAGCAGGUAACAAUCUACAUAUCAACUAACAUAUCCGCUAAUAAUUUCAGUAUCAUCUAACAAUCUAUGUAUCAAACAAAUGUAUCGACUAACAAAUCAUAUAUCAGUUAAUGAAACUAUUAACAAUUAAUUAGUUAUCUAUUAAAUAGCUCCAAAUCUAUUUGUAACAGCUAACACUUCAUGUAUCGAUUAAUAAUUCAUUAAAAUCUAAAUAAUAGCAGUUAAAUAAUAAAAUACCUACUAACGUAUAUAUUAUCUAAAAGUUGAUUGUGAUUCGAAAUUGGAAACAUUGAAAUUGCAGUGAGAUAAUAAGAUUAACAUUAUGGAUGUCAAAAGAAUCAGAAUAAAAAAAUAAAGAUUUGUGUUGAAUUAGAAGAUGAUUUGAAGAAUUUGUACGAGAGAUAAAGAGAUUAGAACACAUAAAAGGGACAAGAGAGAGAUAGAGAUAAGGGUAUUAUAGUCACUAAAAAUAUUAAAAAGAAACAAGGUUAUAUAGCAAAUUACAUGAGUUUCUGGGUGCAUCUACGCCAAUUACUCUUUUUAUAAAAGGAAAUUGUUGCCAAAAGUUUCUUCCAUUAAGAAAACAAAGUUGCCAAAAGGAAAUUAUUGCCAAAAAAAUAUAGUAAAAGUUAAAGGGGAGAGGUCAAAAAGGCCGUGAAGAAGAAGAGAGAAGAAGAAGACUUUACCGCCGCCGAUCUCCCUCUGUGGUGGGCCGUGCUCGUCACCGCCGCUACGUGAGGGAGGAUCUCCUUAGCCUCUUUAGUUUAAUCUAAGUUUUAUUUGGUCUUUUGUCUUUUUGGGUGAGGGUUUAAUUACUUCUCAGUCCGGUGAGUGCUAGUUUGCCUCAGUCUCAAGCAGUCUGUGCUUGUCCCAUGGUGGCUUGUCCUCCUUGGUGUGUAUCUUGACUCGAUUUAGAACGGUGGUUGGUGGUCCAGAUCUACUGGAUCUUGGGUUGAUAAACUUGUAGGGUCUUGGAGUCUUUUGUGGCUGUUUCGGUGCUUGGAUCCCUUUAGUAUCUGUCGAUUGGGUGAGUCGCUAUAGAAGAGACCUCUGUGGUGGUAGCUGGUGCUUAAUCGUCCUGAUUCUCUUGCUCCCCUUUGGUUUUUGUCUAGUCUGUGUUCUGCGCUUGGAGUGUGGUUCCUGCUCUCUUGCUUGUUUCAGGUGGAGUGUCGGUUUGGAGAGUUGGGUCCAGUGAUGAGUCUGGCGCCAUAUGUCAGGUCGAGGACCUGUUGACGGUGCGGUGUAGCUGCUUGGGGCAGUGCAGGUGCUUUCGCUGACGUCGUCUUUGGACUUUCUUCAACUCUAGUUCCUUUGCUACUCAUUGUUUCUGCAAAGAGUUUAUGUUCUCGGUUGAGUCGUUGCGUCGACAUGGUGUUUCUGAGUGCGCUUUCAGGUGCCUAUAUCCCGAGUUUGGUUUCGCGUCUCCUGUGUUGUUUCUCCAGAUGGUGCUUUCAAGAUUAUGGCUUUCUCUAAUUGGUUCUAGUUUGGUGCGGAAUGGUAUGUUUCUUUGAGGUUUUUUCUGCAACGGUGAAGCGUCCCGAGGAUACUUUGGUUGCUAUUGGCUUCUCUCCGGUGAAAAGGUCUGAUUUGAGGUGUGUUGUACUCUGUUCUGCUGUGUGUGGCGGGUGGACCUGUUUCUGUUCUUUGGUUUGGUUGUCAAGCUCUCAAGUGUUGGUGGUCUGUCCUUAUUGGAGGCUCAUCCUUGUUUCAUUUGGCUGUCUCCUUGUAAGCCUCCGGUGGUUCUAAGGUUCAUGGUUACUAUCUCUUCUGUCCUCUCCUUUGAGCUCUCAGUAAUGUGGGGAUUUAAGUUUUGAAAUUUGCCUGGUUGUUUAUGUUCCCCGUGUGUGGGUUUAAGGGUCCCUUCUUAUGGGAUUUAGCUUCUGAGGAUAUCUUCUUCUUCCUUCAGCUUAUGCAGUAGACUAUGUAUUUUGUUGUUCUAAUAUAAUUCAAUUUGAAAAAAAAAAACAAUGUUAACAUGGUUUGGUCUGACAUUUGUGGUAAAUCAUUGUUAACGUCAUACAAUUAAGGUUACCAAACACAUUUAAAAAAGUUAAAGUAGAGUUUCAUACCAUAAAAUCAGCAAUUGAUAUAUCAAUCAAAGCAACUUGAACUUGUGGUAAAAUGUCAUCUCUUUCAGAUCCAAUAAAAUUAUGUUCGAAUUUUUGAUCUUCUCUCAUAAUUCAUGUGUGUUAGAUUUCAUUUUGUCAAUAUAAAAGAACACUUAAUUACAUUGACAAAUUUUUCGUCUAAGACAACAAUUUUGAAUGAAAUAGAAUACCACAGAUUGAUUUCUUAUCCAUUCUAAUAGGAAUCGUGACUCAAAAUGGUAGAUCAUAUGAAUUUGGAUGAUAAUCACAAUUAAUAAUUAAUUAUUGCUCAUUAUCGCAUCAUCACAAUACAUAUGUUUUAUUUAAAAUUGGUUAUAAUAUAAAUAAUUUAACAUUAUUUAUCAUAAAUAUUUUUCAUAAAAAUGAGUUUUGAUUUUGAUAUGAUAAAUGACUUACACACUGAAAUCUUUGGAUAUAACAAUAUCAUGUUUCUACUUUAUAAUCACAAGCACAAAAAUUAUGAUUUCAAUAUUUUGUAGUGCACUAAUUUUGUAGUACAGCUGCAUAUAAACCAAGAGAGAUAAAAAUAAAAUUAUUCCUUUACUUUUAGUCUUCAUACUAGGCAAAGACACACAUAUAGAAUCAAGACAUAAAAAUUGUUUGACAAAAAAAACAUAACAAGUAUUAAGCUUCUUCCAACAUCUAAGACCAAACAUCAAACAAUAACGACAAGUUUCUCAUAGUUGUUAACAACAAUCAUGCAUUUGACCUUCAUAUCAAAGAAACAAACAAAAUGACACUUAGCAAAUCACACAUUAACUGUAUUUUAAUAUAUUAUGCCCAAAAUAUAAAUUAGAAAUUUUUUCUAAGUAGAUACAUUUCGAGAGUGUCACUGAUAACAAGUGAGCCUUUGAAGAAGUUGAUGCACACUUCAUCGGUUGUGGUUGCAUUAACAUGAUACUACUUCUUCACUGAUAUUGUAAAGUAUUUGCAAAGCAAAAAAAACCGCACAAUUGAAGGAAAAAUUCUUAGAACUCAAAACAAAAAUAAACAAACACUAGAAUGAAAGAAAUCAGAAUUAAAAAUUUACCUUUCUCUCUCCUUUAAGAACACAAACUUAGCUGAAGUGACAUUAUACAAUCAGAUUAAUGGUUGGCUAUUGGUCCAAACGUAAAAUAUGUCAUCAUGGGUUGAUGUCGAGAUGAACUUACCAAAAAAGAGAAAAAGAUAAAACAAUGUGUUAAACUAAAACUAGUCAAAGAUGGCAAAAAUGUUACCGCUACUUAGGACGUUGGUCAAAUGACACUAUGAGAGACUGAUGUUUUGCAAUCACUGUUCUUGGUUCACCCGUUGUAAAGCCCCACGAUUUUACAUUUCCAUAUGAGCCAUAAGUGAUGAGCCACAUGUUUUGGUUGUUGACGUCACCAAUAUAAUCAAAUGUUUACCCUUCCCUCGUCAGCAACAAUAUAAAUAUGAGAAAAUAAUAUUGAUUUACCAAAGAGUUGUCUAACUAAGUAAAAAAGGAAAUUAUUGUCAAAAUUUCUUCCAUUACGAAAAAUGUUGACACGGUUUGGUUUGACAUUUGUGAUAAAUCAUUGUUAAUGUUAAUACAAUUAAGGUUACAAAACACACAAAAAGGGUUAAAGUAGAGUUUCAUAUCAUUUCAUAAAAUCAACCAUUGAUAUAUCAAGCAAAGCAAUUUGAUCCGCUUGUAGUAAACUUUAUCUCUUUCAGGUGCAAUAAAAUUAUUUAUAAUUUUUUUGUUUAUUUUUCAUAAUUCAUGUGUUAGAUUUCAUUUUAUCAGUCUAAAAAAUAAAUUACACUGAACAUAUUUUUUCAUCCUAAGACAAUAACUUUGAAUGAAAUAAAACAUCGGAAAUUGAUUUUUAUCCAUUAUAAUAAUAUUUGAGAUCAAAAUGUUAGAUCGUAUGAAUUUGGAUGAGAAUCACAAUUAAAGCUCCAGGUGUUCCGCCUAAUCACAAUACAUAUGUUUUAUGUAAAAUUGGUUUUAAUAUAAACAAUUUUUAACAUUACUUAUUGAAAACACCUUUUUAUAAAAAUGAAUUUUGAUUUUGAUAUGAUAAAAUGACUAGAGUUACACACUGAAUAUUUUGGAUAUUGUCACAUCAUUUCUUUACUUUAUAAUCAUAAGCACAAAAAAUAUCAUCUUAAAUUUUGUGAUGGUUAAAUUUUUUAACCUGCAGCCCAGUAAAUUAGGAAAUUACCAUUUACCUAAUUAAAUUAAAAAAAAAGAGAGGGAGGAGAAAUAACGAUAAAAUUCUAUUUCAUUCAAACUGAACGAACUCUCUUUUCCCCUUCGGCUCGAGUCAGCCUCAAUCCGGAGGCAAAAUUGUUCGGCCACGACGGACCGCCGUCUUCAGAACACCGUAUGACCGCCCCACUCCAAGAGAUCCUUCUCAGCAAAACCCUAGUUGGAUCUCCAAGCUGGUUUACAAACCUGCCCGCAUAAUUGCCUCCGGCGCCGGAAAAAUCAUUUCUUCCGUCGUCUUCUCUGAAUCUUCCUCAUCGUCUUCAGAGGACGAGGAUUCAUCUUCAGGUAUGCAUCCGCUUGUAAUUUUAUUUGGGGUUCAGACAACAUUAGUUUGAAAAAAAAAUUGAACUUGUUUGGUCGGAAUCUGAAACACACUGUUUCGUUUAAAAUAUGUGAAUUUGAUUUAAAAGCUUCCCUGUCUUUCUCCUUUCCUUAAUUAAUGACACUUAAUUGAAGUGAAAGCGUUUGUGAAGUAAUGCUACUAUCUUGUGUCAAGUUACUUACUUUAGUUCUCAAGCUCUAAUAUUUUUUCAUAUACGGAUUCAAUUAAGUUCGACCCGUUAUGCUCCUUUUUUUUUUGAUAUAAUGUAGUUCUGAGUUGAGAAAACUGGCCAGAUUUGCGUCUUAUUUUGCUCUCUUUCGAUGUUUAUUUUAUAUGUUAUCCUCCUUGGUUUCAGAUUAUUGAGGAUGUUGAGAACAACAUUACCGAUGAGGUACUAUGCUAUGCCAAUGUUUUCAACUUGGUUAGAGACCGUGUUCCUAUGAUGGUUAUUCAAACCCAUUGUUGACAGAAUUGAUUCAGCUCUUUGGGUCUAGUGGUUGGUACUGAGUCUACCUUUUAACCGUGACGAGCUUCUUUUAGCAUGUUUCUAUGGUUUUGAUGGAAAAAAGGUUAACCAAGCUAAUAUUUUUUUUCAACAUUGUAUUUUUAUGGAAGGAUGAAUUCAGUUUCUGUUAAGUUUAUAUGAUAGUGUGCUUGUGUUAAUAGGACCUUGUGAAUGCCCAGGAAUCAACUUUCCACAAACUCAGUUCUAAGCGUGUAAUUGAGCAGCUUCUCAUGCAAGAAACAUUCGCAAGGUAUUUCGGAGUACCUGGGCAUAUACAUCUCUUAGUUGAAAAUAUAUCUUUCUUUUUUUUUAUAUAUAAUGAGCUUGCUAAAGCUAUUGAUGUGUAUGUUGUUUAAGGGAAGAGGGUGAUAGAUUAAUAGACAUCAUCAAGGAAAGGGUCAGUGUUCCUACUUCUAAUGAGGGGAUGCAUAAUGGAUUGACAAAUGGUAUGUAAACUGAUGGUAGAUUGUGCAAGCUGACUUGAUUUGUCUAUGUGAUAACAUCUUCUCGGUUUUAUUUUCUAGAUGUGAAUGUGGGUGAAAUGUCCAGUAAAGCUGUCAUGGAAGCAAAAAGAUGGUUGGAGGAGAAGAAAUCAGCAAGUCUAAAGUAAGUUUUGGAAACUGUGCUUUCUUAACUCUUCCAUAUUUAUGCAAAAACGGAUCACCAUCUCAGCCUUUAUUUUCAAUCUCUAGGCAACUGAAGAUGGUGCUGGAUCGCCUGUGGACGUGGCCAAGUCAUACAUGCGAGCUCGUCUGCCAUGGGGAUCUCCGUCUGCGAACAAUUCAAUUCAGAGUUUUGGUCACCAUCACCAGCAGGGACACCACUUCCUUAUAGUUCUGGAACCUUAUCCUCUUCCUUAUAGUUCUGGAACCUUAUCCUCUUCCAAGGAACAAUGGCUGUCUCAGAGUUAUGUAUAUGCAUUCUGACUUUUGGUAUCAAAAUGCAGCUGAAAAGGAGAUCUCGUUCUAAUCCGUCAUGGAAUAUUCAAGAUGAAAUUCGUAAAGUCAGAGCUAAAGCAACAGAGGAAAUGCUUAAAAACUGUAUCCCCCAGUAGUGUAGCAUCAUUAUAAGUUUAUAACCUAAACAAAAGCCCCCCCUAUGUUCUACCAAAUUCAACCAUACCGACCUCUGAGCAAAAUCAGGUACCAAGCACCACCCUAUACAUUAUAUGUCUCUAUAACAAGAAGGAACUUUGCAUGUUUAUCUUCUUCUUUUUUAAAAUUCCCUCUUGUGUGAAGACUACGGAAGCUAAUCAAGCCGUUGAAGAUACCAAUACCGCUCCUCAAAGGUUCUUCCUAUCAACAUAGACUUCUUCUGGAAAUAUAAUUUUUUUCAGUAUAUCCAUCUUCUUAAGUUUCUCAACCGUAUUUGACAGUGGAACCGGUCUUGAUGACUCAAAUGGAGACACCACAAUUGGUAACAGUUUGGAUUUCUCAAAUAGCUUUUGUUUGGUUGGGUUCUUUUUAUUUACUUGCGCUUCUAUUAAUGCAGCUAUGUUGGCUCUUGGAGCAGAUAUGGACAACUGGGAGCUUCUGCAUCCCAAAAGAUGUAUUUGAAACAUCAAAAGAAGCUGAUGAAAUAGGCGCGGCACGUGGAGUUAGUGUCGAACAGUGUCUCUCUGUUUAUUUAUUUUCUGAAUCUUUAAUAUUCAUGUUGUAAGUUUGACACUUGUUUUAGCUGACAAAGCUUUACGGUAUGCAGUUUCCACAAAUAUUUAAAAAAAACUUUUACUUGACCAAAAAGCCAUAAACUGUCACUUCAGUUAAAAAUAUAAUUACUUUUUAACAGAAAUUCUGACAUGAUCCGAUAUAGUAGAACCUUAGUUUCAGUAGUAGAGGAGAGAUUACUUUCAGAUCAGAAGACUGCAAACGGAUUCAAUCUGUUGUGACGACCAGUUUAUUAUGUCAACUUGGUUUAAGUACAAAAAACCAGUACGAGCAAAAAAACUCAAUAAGCAAAACUUUUUCAAGACAGAGAGAGAGAAAGGACAUAACAGAACACACAAUAAAUAAAAAAACAGAGGGUAAAGAAAAGGAAGAAGAAAACGAACAAAACCCAAUAAGCAACGAUCGAAGAAGCCUUCAGACAUUCAAAUCUAAAGGCAAUAUGAACAAGCCCACGAAGAUUUAAUCAGACAGAGAGAUCAUUGGUUUGGUCGGAAGAAAUAAAGUUACUUCUUUUGUUCGGUUUUUGUUGUCAAUUUGUCUGAAUUCUCUGGUCAAUCAUAGCCAAAAAAAGGUUGCUUUUUUUCUCUUCUUCUGCUUACAAGCUUGGGUCCCGCUUCCUCCAUUCUCCAAUUCGAAAUUGCAUCCUAUUUAAAGGCAAUCCGAAUCCAUUGUGUCAAGUCUCUUAUGAAACAAAUAAUUAGCAGAACAAUUUUUCUUAUUAGUUUUAGAAACUACUCAAAAGUAAAACUGUCAAUGUUUUUUUUCUUAGAUUUUAUGGAAAUUUUUCAAUUAGACCUAUAUUUAUAUAAAAACUUUAACAUGUGACAUAUGAAAAACACAAACAUAAUCUAAAUAUAAAUUUAUUUUUCCUAUUUCUAGGUUUUCUUAUCGUGUUUAUUUUAACAUAUUAAACAUUUAGUAAUAUGUUAACUUUCCACAAAUUUGGAAUUGUCAAACAUUCACCCUCUUAAUUCCAACUUGAAUUAGGGAGAUCAAUUUCUUAAACUCCGAUUAAGCUCCUCAUUUGCUUGAACAUAAUACUUGCUAAUGACUUGGUAAGGAUGUCGGCUUUCUGCUCAACACCGGGCACAUGCUCCACUUCGAUCUGCUUGUUCUCCACACACUCACGAAUGAAGUGAUACUUCUUGAGUACAUGUUUACUUCUUCCAUGGAAAACUGGAUUCUUGGUUAGAGCAAUGGCUGAUUUGUUGUCGAUCAUAAGCUUAACCUUCUUGCCUUCUUUGCUUAGUAUCUCACUCAACAACUCCUUGAUCUAUAUAGCUUGCUUUGCUGCUUCUGUUGCUGCCAUGAACUCUGCUUCACAUGAUGACAAUGCAACUGUCUACUGCUUCUGCGAUGUCCAAGUGACAGUGAUGAACCAUAAUAUAAUGCAUGUCCUGACAUGCUCCUCCCGUCAUCGAGUUUAAUGUUGUGACUGUUGUCACUAUAACCAACGACACUCUUUGGCCUAUCUCUCUAGAAGAACAGACCGAAGUUUGUUGUUCCUUUCACAUACCGCAGUAUGUGCUUGAUGGCUUGUAUGUGAGUCGGAUUGUGCAUGUAUCUGCUAAGAACACCUAUUGCAUAACACAUGUCGGGUCUUGUGUGAAGCAGAUACCUCAAACAUCCUAUGAUUCUUCUGAACUCGGUAGCAUCUAUCUCUCGUUCAUCUUCAGCUUUUGAGAUCUUCAAAUUCGCCUCUAUUGGAAUUUGAGUUGUGUUACACGCUUCCAUCUUUGUGUCACACAGGAUUCCUUGAGCAUACCUCUUUUGCUUUAUUUUGAUUCCAUCUGCUCCUUGAAUCACCUUUAUGCCAAGAUAGUACGUUAGCUUACCUAGAUCUGACAUCUCAAACUUCUUAGACAUCUCCUCCUUAAAUUGCUUAAUCACCUUAAGCGAAGUUCCUGUCACAAAUAGAUCAUUAAUGUAGAUGGCUAUGAUCAAGACAUCUUGUUGUAGGCACAGGGGGGGGUAACCCACGAAUUGAUAGAGGUUGGAUCCAAGCUACAACCUGAGAACAAUGAGAACCGAUUUUUAUGAGUUUUUAGAGUUUUAUAUUGCAAACAGAAACAAAUAUGAAUAUGAAUCAAAAUGAUAAUAUGAAUAAAAACAAAUAGAAAAGGGAUAGAUUGAUGGAGAUGGGAUCUUUGUUGCUGGAUGUGUAUCACUCUCAACAAGGAUCAAUGGAUGGGAGAUGAAUGAAGAUGGAACCGGUCUUGCUGGAUGUGUAUCACUCUCAAGAUCGAUUAAUGGAUGGAGAUGGGAUGAUGGACGCCACAAAGCUCUGUGAAAGGAGGCUUUGAUAAGUCAAGUUGCUCCAGAGUUGUUUCUCACACACUCAAAAGACUUAGAACAAUAGUUUUGACAAAACUAGAAAAACUGAAUAAUUCAUAAUACUUUCAAAGAUGGGUGAUUUACAAUGAAACAAAGACUAGAGCUUUAUAGGCUCGACCAAGGACUCUCUAACAGUCAUAAAAUGACAUAAGGAAAGAAAUAAAAUCGAAAUAAUAAACUUGGAAGCAAAGGAAUUGAUGGCUCCUUGAAAACUAGCCGUUGGAGGCUUAAUGAUGAGAAUCUUGGCCAAAUGAAUGUAGAUGGGGUCCUCCUUGUAUCUGGACGGUUUGAGGGGGUAAGUGAGCUUCCUGGGAAUCUUCUUAAUGGUCUGGAAGGUGCUGAUGUCGUGCAUAGACUGAAGGAAAAAGAGCUGUUGGAGUUUUAAUGCUUGAGACUCCAAAUAAGGCAAGUUGGGGUUAAUGAGGAUCCUCCUGAUCCUAUGUGGGCUGGUGCAUGGAAUGAACUUGUCUGACUCUUCUGGACCAUUGGAUAGACUUCCUGAAUGCAUAGAUAUAUCUCCUGGUCGCCAAUGUCUGGUUUGAAGCUGAUUGAACCGGUUAGCUUCCAAUUGAGGCAAGUGUAGAACUGGUUUGACCGGUUUUGGAGAUUGGAUCAUAACUUCAUAAUUCCGUGUCCAUUUCUCCUGAUCUUUGGCUUUCUGGAAAGCUGAUAAACUCCUCUUGACUCCAAUGAUGGGCUUUGCUUCAUGCCGCUCCUUCCUUGGGCUGGAAUCUCCUUCUAAAGUCGGGUACUCGCAGAUGGACGGGCUGAGAAACCUCUGAGUUGAAAAAUUCAUAACUUCUUGCUCCGUGAAUAUUUUGGCCCAAUUCCAAUUGGCCUGGACUCCUUCUUGAGUGUAGAAUCCAUAAAAAUUAUCCUCGUGACUUAAACCCUCCUGGUUUGUAAGAUACAGCAUUUUUAGUGCACAUGUGUUCUGCUUGGCGCCUUGGCUGGUUAAGUAGGGCUUUGGGUUGACCUCCGGUUCGGUUGCUGAUCUGAUGACCACAUCAUCCCCUCCCUCUUGACAAGGUUUCGACCUCGAAACUAUGUAACCUGCACCAAGAUAGAGCAAGUCAGCUUUCAUCCUCUUUUGAGAUUCUAAAACCUUACCUUGGAACUGUUUCGGUUUGGGAAUGGAAUUUGUAUCAGGUGGUUCUCCUUUGAGAAAAUAGGAAUGGAUCACGCUUCUGCUCUGGACAUGGUCAUUUCUUAUCUUCUGGAGUGGAUGGUCUUUCAAAUUUUUGGUGGCCACGUUUCUGAUCAUCUUUGGAGUUGAUCCUCCUAGCAACAUAAGAUAAUCUGGUGGGAUUUCUUUGAAGCUUUCUUCCUUGCAACCUGAAAAAUUCUCAACAUUCUGGACAAAAAGCAAGUGCAUUAUAUCUGUCAUUGAAAUAUUAAGAACAUGCUUAUCUAAAAGGAAUCUUACCAUAGGUUUUGGAAAUUGAACAAUGGAUUGUUCAGAUUUCGAUUUCCACUUAGAAGUGGGUUCAUGGCUGAGCUUAGGGUCUGGUUCUUUCUUUGAAACUACAAUAAGCUUAUAGCUUUCAUUUGUUCUACCUGUACCAAGAACACACACGUCAGUACUAGUAUCCAAAGGUGGUGUUUGAAACUUACCUUGUUGGGAUACUUUUAUGACCGGUUUUGCUUCUUUAAGCAACAUGGACUGCAUUGUCUCUUGAACAAUCUUCUGGUCCAUCACAAGAGUCACGCCUGGUGGUUCUUCUUCUUUAAAUUCUUGCUCCUUAAGUCCUGUUACAACACCCUUUGACAAAGACAAGUGCAUUAUACAAGAAUUUGGAACCAAUAUAUCAGAUUGAAUAAAAUUAUCACUUUUCAUAGAUAAUUCUGUUUUCUCUUCUAGUGAUGUUUCUAUCAAUGCUUUCUUAGUAGGACAAACUAUAGCAUAGUGUCCUUUCUUAUGACAUCUAUAACAUGUCUGAUAUUUCAAAUCCUCAGAGUUAGAAGACUUACCUUGGCUUGAUGCCUCUUCUUUCUUUGGGUUUGAAAUCUCAUCAUUCCUUGGACUUAAAUCAUGAACAACUUUUAAAUCCAAAAAGGACUUUGAGAUCGUGUCUUUCUUGACUUCAGGACCUGUCUUAUCAUCCUUGGACAAAUACAAGUGACUCAUACCAGUGGGAGAUGAUUUACAAACAAAUUUAUCAAGUAUAGGACUUACCUUGGCCUUUUCUUGAAAAUUCAGUUUGUCUGGUUUUUCUUUGUGUCUGGCCAAUGUGUCUUGGCUGACAAACUUCUUCUCCUCCAUGGUCUUUGGGACCUCAAUAGGUUGGUUUUGAUCAUAGAAAACCGUGGGCUUCUGGUUUGGCCGAAUAUGGUCUUGAUGGAUCAAGCUUCUAUGACCUUCUUUUGGUACAUCUUUUCUUGCUUCUUUGGAACCAUGAGUUGGAUACCUCCUUGGAUAUAGUUCCUGGAUUUCAGAACUUGUAAUCUUUGGUGCAAACUCAUAUCUCAUGACUUCCUUAAGAGCUCUCCAUGUUUUGAUAGUUGGCUCCUUGUAAAACCAUCUAUCACCUUCUUCUUGUACCCACCAUUCAAAGGCAUCAUCUCUAAGUUGUUCGAUGGCAUAAGCAAGCCUUUCUUCCUUCAAGAUGUUGUUGAAGUGAAACCAUUCAUCAAGGUUCCUCUCCCAUAUUAGAUAACCUCUUUUUCCUGAAAAUGUAAAGAGUUUAUUUUUAUCAGCAAAAGAGUUAUAAUUAAAUUGAGAAUUAACAACAUGAUGUUUGUGGGUUUGAGAAGUUGGGGUUUGAUUGAUCCUUGAAGGAUCUGGUGGCUUGGGCUCGACAUAGAAAGCCUCUGGAGCAUCUCCAAAUCUCCUUUCUCCUGGCUGUGGACGUUGGCCUUGUGCCUUCUUUCUUUUCCUCAGCUGUGCAAUCAGAUCAACCUCUUGCAAAGCUGUCAAAUGUUGGUUCUCUUUGGCCAUCUGACAGUGGCCGUGUGUUUCUCCUACCAUGGCUUCCUGAAAACACUCUCAAAGAUCAAGUGAAAGAUAUGGGAAGGUCUGGUCGAACCAAAAUAAAUCAAGUGCACAAUGCAAUUUUAAACUAAACCGAGAAAAUAUGCAAUUAUGAACCGAAAUGAAAUAAAGUAUGCAAAAAUUAUUUUUCUUUUAGUUUUCUCAAUGCAAACACGAAAUGAAUCAAUAUGGAAUGACAAUUAACACAAAUGAAAAGAAAAUAUGGAAAGAAAACUAACACUUAUUUUUUUUUUUGAAUUUUUUUAUGCAAGAAACAAAUAUGGAAAUGCAGAUUUUUUUUUUAAAUGAAUGCACAAAAUCUAAAUAUGGCAAGUGGAGCUGGGGAAUGAAUGCAAACACAAUAUGAGAUUUCUUUUUCAAAUUUUCUUGAAUCAAAUGCAAGAAACUUCUUCUCUUUUGUUUUUCUUUUCUUAAGAACAAUAACAAUACAAAAACUGUUUUUAUGGCUUUUCGGUUUAUGAUGAAAACAAAUGCAAGCAAAUGAAAUAUGAUGCAAGGAUAGAUAUCACCUUAGUCAGGAGCUUGAGCUCUGAUACCAAAAUGUUGUAGGCACAGGGGGGGUAACCCACGAAUUGGUUGAAUGGUGGAACCAAGGUUUAAACCUGAAAACAAAGAGAACCGAUUUUUAUGAGUUUAGAGUUUUUAUGAUGCAAACAGAAACAAAUAUGAAUAUGAAUCAAAAUGAUACUAUGAAUAAAAACAAAUAGAAAAAGGAUAGAUUGAUGAAGAUGGGAUCUUUGUUGCUCGAUGUGUAUCACUCUCAACAAGGAUCGAUGGAUGGAAGAUGAAUGAAGAUGGAACCGGUCUUGCUGGAUGUGUAUCACUCUCAAGAUCGAUUGGUGGAUGGAAAUGGGAUGAUGGACGCCACAAAGCUCUGUGAAAGGAGGCUUUGAUAAGUCUGGAUGCUCAAGAGCUGCUUCUCACAAUACUCUAAGACUUAGAACAAUAGUUUUGAGAAACUAGAAAAACUGUAUUUUCAUUCAUAAAAAUUCAAGGGUGAUUUACAAUGAAGAAACAACUUGAGCUUUAUAGGCUCGACUACUGGGACUCUCUAACAGUCAUAAAAUGACAUAAGGAAACUAAUAAAGUCGAAAUAAUAAACUUGGAAGCAAAGAAAUUGAUUGCUCCAUGAAAACUAGCCGUUGGAGGCUUUAUGAUGAGAAUCUUUGCCAAAUGAAUGUAGAUGGAGUUCUUCUUGUAUCUGGACGGUUUGAGGGGAUAACUAAGCUUUCUGGGAACCUUCUUGAUGGUUUGGAGGGUGCUGAGGUCGUGCCUAAUCUGAAGGAAAAAGAGCUGUUGGAGCUGGAUGGCAAGAAGCUCCAAAUAAGGCAAGUUGGGGUUAAUGAGGAUCCUCCUGAUCCUAUGGGGGCUGGUGCAUGGAAUGAACUUGUCUGACUCUUCUGGACCAUUGGAUAGACUUCCUGAAUGCAUAGAUAUAUCUCCUGGUCGCCAAUGUCUGGUUUGAAGCUGAUUGAACCGGUUAGCUUCCAAUUGAGGCAAGUGUAGAAUUGGUUUGACCGGUUUUGGAGAUUGGAUCAUAACUUCAUAAUUCCGUGCCCAUUUCUCCUGAUAUUGGGCUUUAUGGAAAGCUGAGAAACUCCUCUUGACUCCAAUGAUGGGCUUUGCUUCAGGCCGCUCCUUCCUUGGGCUGGAAUCUCCUUCUAAAGUCGGGUACUCGCAGAUGGACGGGCUGGAAAACCUCUGACUUGUAAAAUUCAUAACUUCUUUCUCCGCGCGUAUUUUGGACUGAUUCCAAAUGGUCUGGACUCCUUCUUGAGUGUAGAGUCCAUUAAAAUUUGUCUCAUGACUUAAACCCUCCUGGUUUGUAAGAUACAGCAUUUUUAGUGCACAUGUGUUCUGCUUGGCGCCUUGGCUGGUUAAGUAGGGCUUUGGGUUGACCUCUGGUUCGGUUGCUGAUCUGAUGACCACAUCAGUCUGUCAGCACACACAUGACGUCUGUGGCUCUCCGUGUGUGUCCGUCAGCAUACACAGGAUGUCCGUGGCUGUCCGUGUGUGUCCAUCAGCACACAUAGGACGUCCGUGGCUGUCCAUCAGUACACAUAUCAGCACGCUGGCCCUCGGACUCAGCACACUGGCCCUUCCCGUGGACUGUUUGGGUGAUUUUGGCACACGUGGGCUGUCUGUUCAGUACACACAGGCCGUCCGUGGGAGUCCACCAGCAUACACAGGACGUCCGUGGCUGUAUGUGGCUGUCCUCAGCACACACAGGACGUCCGUGGCUGUCCGUGUGUGUCCGUCAGCACACACAGGACGUCUGUGGCUGUCCAUCAGUACACAUAUCAGCACGUUGGUCCUUGGACUCCGCACGCUGACCCUUCCCGUGGACAUUUCUGGUGAUUUUGGCCCAUUUGGGCUGUCUGUUCAGCACACACAGGACGUCUGUGGCUGUCCGUGUGUGUCCGUCAGCACACACAAGGCGUCUGUGGCUGUCCAUCAGUGCACAUAUCAGCACGCUGGCCCUUCGUGUGGAUUGUUCGGGUGAUUUUGGCCUACGUAGCCUGUCUGUUCAGUACACACAGGACGUCCGUGAGUGUCCGUCAGCACACAUAGGACGUCCGUGUGUGUCCAUCAGCACACACAGGACGUAUGUGGUUGUCCGUGUGUGUCCGUCUCUGUCUGUCAGCACACACAGGACGUCCGUGGCAGUCCAUCAGUACACAUAUGAGCACGUUGGUCCUUGGAAUCAGCACGCUGGCCCUUCCCGUGGACAUUUCGGGUGAUUUUGGCCCACGUGGGUUGUCUAUUCAGUACACACAGGACGUCUGUGGGUGUCCGCCAACACAUACAGGACGUCCGUGGCUGUCUGUGGCUGUUUAUCAGCACACAGAGGACGUCUGUGGCAGUCCGUGGCUGUCCAUCAGCACAUACAGGAUGUCCGUGGCUGUCUGUGGCUGUUCAUCAGCACACACAGAACGUCUGGGGCUGUCUGUGUGUGUCCGUGUGUGUCCGUCAGCACACACAGGACGUCUGUGGCUGUCCAUCAGUACACAUAGCAGCACGCUGGUCCUUGGACUCAGCACGCUGGCCCUUGCCGUGGACAGUUCGGGUGAUUUUGGCCCACGUGGGCUGUCUGUUCAGUACACACAGGACGUCCGUGGGUGUCCGUCAGCACACAAAGGACCUCCUUGUGUGACCGUCAGCACACACAGGACGUCCGUGGCUGUCCGUGUGUGUCCGUAUGUGUCUGUCCGCACACACAGGACGUCCGUGGCUGUCCAUCAGUACAUAUCAGCACGCUGGUCCUUGGACUCAGCACGCUGGCCCUUCCCGUGGACUGUUCGUGUUAUUUUUGCCCACGUAGGCUGUCUGUUCAGUACACACAGGACGUCUGUGGGUGUCCGUUAGCAAACACAGGAUGUCCGUGUGUUCCCUCAGCACCAACAGGACGUCCGUGGCUGUCCGUGUGUGUCCGUCAGCACACACAGGACGUCUGUGGCUGUCCAUCAGUACACAUAUCAGCACGGUGGUCCUUGGACUCCGCACGCUGACCCUUCCCGUGGACAUUUCGGGUUAUUUUGGCCCAUGUGGGCUGUCUGUUCAGUACGCAUAGGACAUCCGUAGGUGUCCGCCAGCACACACAGGACGUCAGUGGCUGUCCGUGUGUAUCCAUCAGCACACACAGGACGUCCGUGGGUGUCUGUUUGUGUCCGUGUGUAAGACCCGAUCCCGGCCGACUAGGCCGCGGUCGAUGCCUUACGUCGCUCAGUCCAUACCCGGACCGAACCUCUAAAAAUUUUGCCCUUUAUUUAAAAUAUCACCCAUUGGCGAGGGCUAACUCAGAUCCUAGCUCAAGACUACCUUAGUCAUUCCCUAGCUAGAUCCUUUCAACUUAUGCACAGCGGAAUAGUAUCUACUUAACCAUUGGUCUAAAACCAAUCUAACACUUGUCUGGUCAGAUCACCUCAGCUACUGGUCAGUAAACACAACUGCCAGCUAGCUCAAAGGUCGAUCCUGAACCUAGACCAAGUCAUACAAUCAGAGGUUCCGUUCCCCUAAGCCAUUCUAUCUAGAUCUAUGCAACAUUGACAGAUCAUACCUUUGCCACAAUCCUGGAGCUUGUUAGCUCAUUGUCCCAGCUGACUUAGCUAUCUUAGCUAGCUCACCCAGCUAGUUGAGCUGAACCACUUCACUUGAGGUUUGCUGCUCCGUUCCAGCUGAUCGAGGUGCGAGGUAGCUUUGCCCAGCUCCCCGUCCACUCGUCCAACUCCCUUAUACCUGCAUAUACUCUUCCCUUGGGUACUUAGUCAUUCAAUAGUAACUGAUAUGCAUCUGGCCCUUCUUAGCCCAUGCAUCAUCCAAUACCCGUACGCUUUGUAGAAUAUAAUACCAAGUCCUCUCACGGACAAAUCAUACCAAGUCCUCUCAUGGACUAACCAGAUCAAGUCCUCACAAAGAAUAAUAAUGCCCAUCAGAUCCAGAGUCAAUCAACCAACCACCCCACAUGACUCAGAACUGAUGAGUCUUCAUACUUCAUAAUCAGUCAUGGAACCAUGUCCCACUGAACCUGAUUACUGUUGCUCUUACCACCGGUGCAUCCUUUGAUCAAUCAGAUCAGACACCUUGAUCCAUCAUCCAAGGAUCAGGUCGUCCAUCCUUGCCCAGGAUCAGAUCACACACGGCAUGCCUUGAAUAAUAACACCCAAGCUUAGUACUUUGGUCCACGCCACCAAGUACUUAGCUGUACUCUUCUUCCAGGCUCACAGCCAAUGCAUUGCCCAUACCUUACCAACACCAAGAUUGAUAACCAACAAUUCCUUAUGAUCAAUAUCAUAAGUGACAAUAUGUUCCAGCACAGAAACAUAUUGAUCAGAUAUCCUAACACAAGGAUCUGACCCCAAUAUGCCCUCAGGUGCAAUUUCGACCCCAAGCAAACCUGCUCCAAAAAUCAAUUAAAAUUCAUGAAAAUUCAUGAUAAAUCAUAACUAAUAGAAUGGUCCAAUCAGAUUUCCCAGAACCGGCCUCCAUCCCAUAGAUCUCGGCCAAGAUCAGCCAAACCGGCCCAAGGGACCAUCUCUAAAUCAAUCCCUAAAAACUCAUUAGGAUUCAUGAUAAUUCAUGAUAAAUCUUAACUAAGAGAAUGGUCAAGUCAGAAUUCCAAGAACCGAUCUCAAUCCUAGGGAUCUCGACCUAGAACAGCCCCACCGGCCACCUUGACCAUCUCGAAAUCAAUCAGAUAAAAAUCCCCAAAUACCAUGAUAAUUCAUGAUAAUUCACCACUAAGAGGAUUCCAAAGUCCGAUCGCCAUAAAUCCAUCAGGAAGUAGGAGAUCCGGACUUAGCUGCCAAACCAAGGCCAUGGAGGGUUCUUCUGAACCGGCCAAGCCAUGGUUCAGUGCUACUUUGUCUAAUCAUCAAUCUCAAUCAUAAGAAGAAGAAAUAAUAUGAUUAAUAAUCAUAAAACAGAGUAAGGUGUAACUGCAGGGCCAGAUCAGCCCAUAGUGUACCAGACUAUAUCCAAUGGUCUGCAGUCCCCACCUGUUACCUCAUCAGGGGCGUCCAUGCUCCUCCUAGAACGCCUUCAUCAAACCCUUAUCACAUACUUCCAGUAUUGAUAAGAUCUAACCAUGGUUCGUGCCCAUCACUCCUUCCAUGGAACUUCCAUGAAACCAGUUUUUAUACUGCAUCCAUCUUCAAGGCUGUUCAUGCCUUUGAGAGUGGAGUCAAGCCUUCCCCCUUCUCUCCUAACCAAUUGCGUGUGUUCCCAAGACACAGAGGAAGCCUUAGACAUGAUCAUCCAUGAUUAAUCACCAUCCAAAGGUCGUGCAUCACUUCCCUCUUUGUUCCCCAUGAAACUGCUUUCCACACAAAUCUCCCUUUAAGGCUACAUUGGCCCUUGGGAAUGGAUUCCGGCCAACUCACUCCUUUCCUCACCAUUUGCGUGUGUUCACAGGCUCCAGAUAAGGCUUUGGGUGUUAUUAACAAUGAUCAAAACCGUUCAGAGGGUCGUUCUCAACUUCCCCCUUGAUCUGCCCCAAAACUGUCUCUUUAUGGCCUUCACCCCACCAUGGGUCUUGGAUUGGGAAUCCGACCAACUCUCUGUAUUUUUCUCUGGAUUCUUUGUGUUUCAGGGUAUAGAAGGAAGCCCUGGCGUGCCUGCAAAGGCACCGACUUUCCCUCCUUAUAUAGGAGAAGGGGUGGUUACUUCUUAACCAUUGCAUCCCUUCGGUAUCAUUUCUGGCCAUUGAUUUAAUCAAUGGUACAGAUUGCACCCUUUCGCCUAUGGCAGUUACCACACGACCUGGAACUGCCAAAACACUCCUGGACAUGUCCAAAACUAUCCCACACGGGCUGCCCAUGCCCCUGGCUCAAUCCCAAGAGCCCACUAGCCCAUCGGCACACACGGGUCACCCACAUGGCCCGGCCACUGUCCAGACCCGGCCCAACUGCCCAACACCUGAACACUCAGUCCAGCUGAGUUGAGCUGAUCCCCAGCUGAUCCAGCUGAGUGAGCUAGACCAUCCAGCUCAGGGAGCUGACCUACACUUCAGUGAGCUCCACCGAGCUGCACUACACUUCACCUAGCUGGUCGAGCUUGCUUACUGCAUCGCCCAGCUGUUAUACACGGUGUCCAGCUUGCUUCCUUUAUCUUCUUCAAUCCUUCUAAGUCCCUUGGUCAAUUUCUAGACCUAGACUUAGUUUUCCCAUGAUCCAUUCUGAUCACUCACUUCAUCGAGCUUUACCUGGAUCUUGUCCAGCUACCAGCUCGCUUGUCCAGCUCCUUUGAGCUUGUCUCCUUCUCGGAUUAGCUAUGCCUUAGCUCCCUGAUGUCCUUAACCUUAUCUUCAGGCCAUGAUAUACUUGUCUUUAGGUCAUAUGACCUGAAUGGUGCGUUUCCUCGCACCGCAGUCCGUCCGGACGAUCCUAUCCAGGAUCGGGGACAUGACAGUGUGUGUCCGUCAGCACACACAAGAUGUCCGUGGCUGUCCUUCAGUACACAUAUCAGCACGCUGGUCUUUGGACUCAGCACGCUGGCCCUUCCCGUGGACUGUUUGGGUGAUUUUGGCACAUGUGGGCUGUCUGUUCAGUACACACAGGCCGUCUGUGGGUGUCCACCAGCAUACAACGUCUGUGGGUGUCCGCCAGCACACACACGACGUUCAUGGCUGUCUCUGUGUGUCCGUCAGCACACACAGGAUGUCUGUGGCUGUCCGCGUGUGUCCAUGUGUGUCUGUGUUUGUCCGUCAGCACACACAAGACGUCCGUGGCUGUCCAUCAAUACACAUAUCAGCACGCUGGUCCUUGGACUCAGCACGCUGGCCCUUCCCGUGGACUGUUCGAGUGAUUUUGGCCCACGUGGGCUGUCUGUUCAGUACACACAAGAUGUCCGUGGGUGUGCGUCAGCACAGACAGGACGUCCGUGUGUGUCCGUCAGCACACACAGGACGUCCGUGGCUGUCCAUGUGUGUCCGUCAGCACACACAGGACGUCCGUGGCUGUCCAUGUGUGUCCGUCAGCACACACAGGACGUCCGUGGCUGUCCAUGUGUGUCCGUCAGCACACACAGGACGUCCGUGGCUGUCCAUCAGUACACAUAUCAGCAAGUUGGUACUUGGACUCAGCACGCUGACCCUUCCCGUGGACAUUUCGGGUGCUUUUGUCCCACGUGGGUUGUCUGUUCAGUACACAUAGGACGUCCAUGGGUAUCCGCCAACACACACAGGAUGUCCGUGGCUGUCCGUCAGCACACAGAGGACGUCCCUGGCAGUCCGUGGCUGUCCGUCAGCACCCACAGGACGUCUGUAGCUGUCUGUGGCUGUCCGUCAGCACACACAGGACGUCUGUGGCUGUCCGUUUGUGUCCGUGUGUGUCCAUCAGCACACACAUGACGCCCGUUGCUGUCCAUCAGUACACAUAUCAGCAUGCUGGCCCUUGGACUCAGCACACUGGCCCUUCCUGUGAACUGUUCGGGUGCUUUUGGCCCACGUGGGCUGUCUGUUCAGUACACACAGGACGUCCGUGGGUGUCCAUCAGCACACACAUGACGUCCGUGGCUCUCCGUGUGUGUCCGUCAGCACACACAGGAAUUCUGUGGCUGUCCGUGUGUGUCCGUGUGUGUCCAUCAGCACACACAGGACGUCCGUGGCUGUCCAACAGUACACAUAUCAGCACGCUGGCCCUUGGACUCAGCACGCUGGCCCUUCCCGUGGACUGUUUGGGUGAUUUUGGCACAUGUGGGCUGUCUGUUCAGUACACACAGGCCGUCUGUGGGUGUCCACCAGCAUACACAGGACGUUCGUGGCUGUCUGUGGCUGUCCGUCAGCACACACAGGACGUCCGUGGCUGUCCGUGUGUGUCCGUCAGCACACACAAGACGUCUGUGGCUGUCCAUCAGUACACAUAUCAGCACGUUGGUCAUUGGACUCCGCACGCUGACCCUUCCCGUGGACAUUUCGGGUGAUUUUGGCCCACGUGGGCUGUCUGUUCAGUACACACAUGACGUCUGUGGGUGUCCGCCAGAACACACAGGACGUCUAUGGGUGUCCGCCAGAACACACAGGACGUCCGUGGCUGUCCGUCUGUGUCCGUCAGCACACACAGGACGUCCGUGGCUGUCCGUGUGUGUCCGUGUGUGUCCGUCAGAACACACAAGGCGUCCGUGGCUGUCCAUCAGUACACAUAUCAGCACGCUGGUCCUUGGACUCAGCACGCUGGCCCUUCCUGUGGAUUGUUCGGGUGAUUUUGGCCUACGUGGCCUGUCUGUUCAGUGCACAUAGGACGUCCGUGGGUGUCCGUCAGCGAACACAUGACGUCCGUGUGUGUCCAUCAGCACACACAGGACGUCCAUGGUUGUCUGUGUGUGUCCGUCUGUGUCUGUCAGCACACACAGGACGUCCGUGGGUGUCCAUCAGUACACAUAUGAGCACGUUGGUCCUUGGAAUCAGCACGCUGGCCCUUCCCGUGGACAUUUUGGGUGAUUUUAGCCCACGUGGGUUGUCUAUUCAGUACACACAGGUUGUCCGUGGGUUUCCGCCAAGACACACAGGACGUCCGUGGCUGUCUGUGGCUGUCUAUCAGCACACAGAGGACGUCCGUGGCAGUCCAUGGCUGUCCAUCAGCACACACAGGAUGUCUGUGGCUGUCUAUGGCUGUUCGUCAACACACACAGGACGUCUGUGGCUGUUUGUGUGUGUCCGUGUGUGUCCGUCAGAACACACAGGAUGUCUGUGGCUGUCCAUCAGUACACAUAUUAGCACGCUGGUCCUUGGACUCAGCACGCUGGACCUUCCCGUGGACUGUUCGGCUACUUUUGGCCCACGUGGGAUGUUUGUUCAGUACACACAGGACGUCCAUGGGUGUCCGUCAGCACACACAUGACGUCCGUGGCUGUCCGUGUGUGUCCGUCAGCACACACAGGACGACCGUGGCUGACCAUCUGAAAAUAUCAGCACGCUGGUCCUUGGACUCAGCAUGCUGGCCCUUCCCGUGGACUGUUCGGGUGAUUUUUGCCCACGUGGGCUGUCUGUUCAGUACACACAGGACGUCCGUGGGUGUCCGUCAGCACACACAUGAUGUCCGUGGCUCUCCGUGUGUGUCCUUCAGCACACACAGGACGUCCGUGGCUGUCCGUGUGUGUCCAUGUGUGUCCAUCAGCACACACAGGACGUCCGUGGCUGUCCGUGUGUGUCCAUGUGUGUCCAUCAGCACACACAGGACGUCCGUGGCUGUUCAUCAGUACACAUAUCAGCACGCUGGCCCUUGGACUCAGCAUGCUGGCCCUUCCCGUGGACUGUUUGGGUGAUUUUGGCACACGUGGGCUGUCUGUUCAGUACACACAGGCCGUCUGUGGGUGUCCACCAGCAUACACAGGACGUCUGUGGCUGUCUGUGUCUGUCCGUCAGCACAGACAGGACGUCCGUGGCUGUCUGUGUGUGUCCGUCAGCACACACAGGACGUGGCACACACAGGACGUCUGUGGCUGUCCAUCAGUACACAUAUCAGCACGUUGGUCCAUGGUCUCCGCACGCUGACCCUUCCCGUGGACAUUUCGGGUGAUUUUGGCCCACGUGGGCUGUCUGUUCAGUACACACAUGACGUCUGUGGGUGUCCGCCAGAACACACAGGACGUCCGUGGCUGUCCGUGUGUGUCCGUCAGCACACACAGGAAGUCCGUGGCUGUCCGUGUGUGUCCGUCAGCACACACAAGGCGUCCGUGGCUGUCCAUCAGUACACAUAUCAGCACGCUGGUCCUUGGACUCAGCACGCUGGCCCUUCCUGUGGAUUGUUCGGGUGAUUUUGGCCUACGUGGCACGCCUGUUCAGUACACACAGGACGUCCGUGGGUGUCCGUCAGCACACACAGGACGUCCGUGUGUGUCCAUCAGCACACACAGGACGUCCGUGGUUUUCCGUGUGUGUCCGUCUGUGUCUGUCAGCACACACAGGACGUCCGUGGCUGUCCAUCAGUACACAUAUGAGCACGUUGGUUCUUGGAAUCAGCACGCUGGCCCUUCCCGUGGACAUUUCGGGUGAUUUUGGCCCACGUGGGUUGUCUAUUCAGUACACACAUGACAUCCGUGGGUGUCCGCCAACACACACAGGACGUCUGUGGCUGUCUGUGGCUGUCUAUCAGCACACAGAGGACGUCUUUGGCAGGCCGUGGCUGUCCAUCAGCACACACAGGAUGUCCGUGGCUGUCUGUGGCUGUUGGUCAGCACACACAGGACGUCUGUGGCUGUCUGUGUGUGACGUCCGUGGCUGUCCAUCAAUACACAUAUCAGCACGCUGGACCUUCCCGUGGACUGUUCGGCUGCUUUUGGCCCACGUGGGAUGUUUGUUCAGUACACACAGGACGUCUGUGGGUGUCCGUCAGCAGACACAUGCCGUCCGUGGCUGUCCGUGUGUGUCCGUCAGCACACACAGGACGACCGUGGCUGUCCAUCAGUACAUAUCAGCACGCUGGUCCUUGGACUCAGCACGCUGGCCCUUCCUGUGGAUUGUUCGGGUGAUUUUGGCCUACAUGGCCUGUCUGUUCAGUACACGUCCUCCACAUGUCUGGCCGCAUGGCCCGGUCGCAUGCAUCGCGACACCUCGUGCUUGGCCGUUCCACCUCGUGCUCCACAUGGCUGGCUGCAUGCCUCAGUCUCAUGCAGGAUGACACACCCACGUCCAGAUGGCCUGCUGCAUGACUGAAGUGCAUGCAGGUCGACACCCCAUCUCACACAUGUCUGGCCGCAUGCUUCGGUCGCAUGUAUCGCAACACCUCGUGCUCCACAUGUCUACUUGCAUGUACAGGUUGCAUGUACUGCAAUACCUCCUGCUUCCCUUGACACACACACUGUCAAGAGACUGCCACCACGUCCUGAACACAUACACAUCAAGCCACCUCGAGCUUCUCGGUCGAUUCGGCCGAUUUCAGACUUUCCGGUGAAUUUUCGUCCCGCGAUCAAUCCUAAAUAUUUUUCUACGCCCGUUCUGAUGGCCUGAAUAUUUUUAAUAAACCCUACUGGGACUCUGAUCUUGAGGAAAAAUAUUUACCGAGCUUUCGGCUUCUUCAAAAAAAUUCGUAAUACCGAAAUUUAGGGUUUUUCGCCCAAUUUCCGGUCUUUCUGUUGUGCUUCCUAAAGUGUCUUUCUUCAAACAUCAUUUGAAUCAAUCUACUACAUUGUCUGACCAUUGUCUAGUGGCAUAUUUGACUCAUGGUUCAGACAAGAACAAUCUGAUUGUCCGCGACUCGACCACCCAAAGGAUACUCGACCGUUCUUAUUUUUUUUUAAGGGUUUCUACAUUCUCCCCCCGUUAACAGAAUUCAUCCUCGAAUUCUAAGGCUCUGAGGGGCCUCCUUCUUCCAUUACAACGUCCUCUCAGAAAAACUCCGGGUGAUCAGUUUUAAAUCUCGCUUCAUCCUCCCAAGAAACAUGAAUCAUGUUUUGUCUUCCUUAAAACACUCGUACUUCAGAAAUCUCACGAUUUUUGAGCUUCCGAAAACGCCGAUCUCCUAAUCUGAUUGGUCCUUCAGAAUACGUAAGGUUUGUCUCCAACUCCUCGAUUCUCUUGGGCUUAACAGCACUUGGAUCCCGUAUAUGUUUCCGAAGCAUGGAAACAUGGAAUACUGGAUGUAGAUGCAUAUCUGCUGGCAGAUCCAAUCGGUAAGCUACCUCACCAACUUUACCGAUGAUCUUGUACGGACCAAUGAAUCUGACCGCAAGUUUCCCAACCUUGCCAAAUAUGUCCUUCUCUUUUUGGGCUGUAACCUUCAAGUAAACCCAAUCUCUUAUCUCGAAAGUUACCUCUCUUCUUGACUGGACUGCGUACUUCUUCUUACGGUCCUGAGCCUUCUUCAUGUUGGCCUGAAUCGUUUCCAGUUUAAUCAUGGUCUCCUGAACAAUAGGUGACCCCAACAUUCUUCUUUCGCCCACUUUCGUCCAACACAUAGGCGUCUUGCAUGGCCUUCCGUAUAACGCUUCAUAAGGUGACAUCCCUAUGCUCGAAUGAUGACUGUUGUUAUACGAGAACUCAACCAACGGUAAAUGCUUCUCCCAAGUUCGUGCCCAAUCGAGAAUACACAUCCGCAGCAUGUCCUCGAUGGUCCGAAUGGUCAUUUCCGUUUGGCCAUCUGUUUCGGGAUGGAACGCCGUGCUUCUGUACAGUUUAGUUCCCAAGGCUUCUUGCAGUGCUUCCCAGAAUGAUGCAGUGAACCUUGGAUCGCGAUCUGAGAUGAUGUCUGAGGGUACACCAUGUAACUUCACGAUUUGGUCGAUAUACAGCUCGGCAAAAACUUUAACUUUAUCAGUGUCCCGCAUAGGCAACAAGUGUGUAACCUUGGUUAACCUAUCCACAAUCACCCAUAUCGAGUUGUUCGAUCUACCUGGAGCAGUGGGUAAUCCGGUAAGGAAAUCCAUGGAAAUCGAGUCCCAUUUCCUUUGAGGUAUCAGAAGACUUUGUAACAAUCGUCCUUGUACUUGAUUCUAGACCUUGACUUGUUGACAAGUUGCACACUGAGCAACCCAUUGUGCUACUGACCUCUUCAUGCCCGGCCAAUAAUAGUAUCUCCUCACGUCUCGGUACAUCUUCGAACUUCCAGGAUGGAUACUAAGUAAAGAAUGAUGUGUGAUCCUUAGUAUCUCAUCUCUCAGCCCUUGUCCUUUAGGAACCGUGAUCCUUCCAUUGAUUAGAAAAGUUCCAUCCUUCACCAAGUAGUAUCCAGCAUUAUUUGGCCCGGCUUGCCCAUUGAGUUCUUCAGUAAUCUUCAGUAACUUCUCAUCCUUAAGUUGUUCUUCUCAAAUUCUCUGAAUCAAGCUGGCCUGAUUCACCGCUUGAAGUCGCAAUGGCUCGCUUGUCUGCCCUUCCAAAACGACCAACUUCACUUGUUUCAACUCCUGGUUCAACAGCUCCACUUCUUUCUCUAAAUCUGCGUCCAACUUUCUUCGACUUAAGGCGUCCGCAACAACAUUCGCUUUACCUGGAUGGUAGCGAAUCCGUAUGUUGUAGUCUGCCAAAAACUCUAUCCACCUACGCUGGCGCAGGUUGAGAUCUGGCUGAGUGAAGAGGUAUUUAAGACUUUGAUGGUCCGUGUAUACCUCCACUUCUUCUCCAUAUAAGUAAGAUCUCCAACUUCGCAAAUUGAACACCACGGCCGCUAACUCCAAGUCAUGUGUACUGUAGUUAUCCUCAUGCUUCCGUAGUUGUCGUGAGGCAUACGCGACGACUCGCCCAUCUUGCAUAAGAACACAACCUAACCCAACUCGUGAAGCAUCCCUGUAAACCGUGUAAGGUUUACCUUGCUCGGGCAAAGCUAACACAAGUGCGGUCGUGAGAGCUUCCUUCAACUUCUUGAAUGCCAUCUCGGUUUCUUCCACCCAUAAGAAAGGAACUCCUUUACCGGUAAGUUUAGUUAAAGGCUUUGCAAUGGAGGAAAAGUCCUUAACAAUCUUCCGAUAAUAGCCUGCAAGUCCGAGAAAACUCCUCACUUCUGUCACAGUGGUAGGUCGAGACCAUUCUUGUAUGGCUUGGACCUUUUCUGGAUCAGCAGCCACGCCCUCUCCUGAUACUAUGUGACCAAGAAAUCCUAUCUCUCUCUUCCAAAACGAGCACUUGCUGAACUUGGCAAAUAGCUUCUGAUUACGUAACCUCUCCAUAACCAGUCGCAGAUGCUCUUUGUGCUCUUCCUUACUUCUCGAGUACACCUGGAUGUCAUCAGUGAAAAUGAUCACGAACUUGUCUAGAUAGUCGUGAAACACUUCAUUAAUCAAACACAUGAAAGCCACAGGUUCAUUUGUGAGACCAAAGGGCGUAACUACAAACUCGUCCUGCCCAUACCUCGUUCAAACGCCGUCUUCAUAAUGUCUGACUUGGCAAUAGGAAUUUGAUGAUACCCUGAUGCCAAAUCAAUCUUUGAAAACCAACUAGCUCCCUUUAGUUGGUCUAACAACUCGUCUAUCCUUGGAAGAGGAUACUUAUCUUUUAUCGUGAUGUUGUUGAUGCCACGAUAAUCGAUACACAGCCUCAUGCUUCCGUCCUUCUUCUUCACAAAUAACACAGGAGCUCCCCAAGGUGAAGAGCUCGACCGGAUGAAUCCCUUUUCCAAUAAAUCUUCCAACUGUUUCUUUAGCUCGGCCAAAUCCGCAGGUGCCAUCCGAUAUGGUGCCUUAGCUAUAGGUUUUGCUUCAGGCUCCAAAGUAAUGGUAAAGGGAUUACUCCGAUGUGGAGGUAAUUCCUUUAGUGGUGCAAAGAUAUCCUCAAACUCUUGGACCACUUCUAUGUCUUCGACCUUAACUUCAUCAUUAAUGGCUCCUCCACUAACCGAUAAGGUCACCAAAUAUACUUCCCCGUCUUGAAACAAAUCUUGUACUCUCAUCGCUGCUACCAAAGACCCGGUCAUACUAGGACUGAUUCCAUAGUAUACCAUCUCUGGUCAUUUACAUCUGCCGAACAACAACCUUCCCUUUCCACAGUUGAUUUGAACUCCGUAGCUCGAUAACCAAUCCACUCAAAGGAUUACCUCGUACCCUUUCAAAGGCACGACUAAUAGAUCUGCCACAAACUCUUUGCCUUGAAUGACCAAUGGAACAUUCUUGAUAAACUGAUUUUCUUGAAGGUUUCGGUCUGCGGGGGUCAAGACGGCCACAUCUAUCCUGUCAACCACAAAACAAUCCCAAAACCGGGCAGCUACUUUAGGGGUCACAAAACUAUGUGUUGCCCCCGAGUCGAACAAUACAUGUGUGGGUUUACCAGCAACAUGUAUGGUUCCUGCUGCAGUAACCCAAUCAACAAUAUCUCAAUCACAAAUACUAAUCAAAAUUCUCACAACCAUCAAUCAUCAUCCUAAAUUUCUAAACGUGCAACCUAGCGAUCAAGCAAUCUAUACCUAACCAGCAUACUAACUAGAUUCCAGCAACUAAAUUUCCAUUCAAUAAAAAGAAGAGGUUAAGCACCCACAAUACCUGUGAUGGGACCGCUUGACGGUCCUGCAUUGUCUGGGUUUUCUACACCUAAGGCAUAAACUCUACCUCCUAGAUUUUGCUUCUUUGGUUCUGGCUCAAUAGCUGGACGGCUAGGAGGAGCUCGGAUUGCGAGAGGGGUCGCAUGGAUUGGCUUGUUUGGACAUGACGAUGCAUAGUGGCGCUUCCUUCCACAGAAGAAAAAAGUAACAUCUUCCUUCCUCAGCGAUGAAUAACCUUGCUGGUUACUCCGUUGUCUGUUGGGACAUAACUUAGAAAUGUGUCCCGAUUGAUCACAUAUGUAACACACCAGUGUUACCACGAUUGUUGGCCUGGCCUCCAAAGCCUCGCCCUUUGCCUUUGUAAGAUCUUGGACCCUUGUUGAAAUUUGGCCUUUCUCCUUGGCUAAACUUGGUGUGUCCACCAGAAUGUGGUAAGGUCUUCCUUUCAGCCUCCAAUACAGUCUCAACAUUAACAGCCUUUUCCACCAGAUCCGAUAAGCUGCUAAAGUUGCUUCCACCUAAACGACUUCCAAGCUCCGGCUUCAAUCCGUACAUAAAGUUACGGAUCAUAGUUGCUUCAUCUUCACGCCCAUCAAAGACAUGUCGCCUCAACCUUGUGAAUUACGACUCAUAACUCCUUACGGGCCUAUCUCCUUGAACAAGGUUCAUGAACUGGCGCUCCAAUCGAUGCUUUGCUUCUGGAGGAAAAUACUUCCUCCCAAACUCUCCCUUGAACGACUCCCACGAUGUGAUGGUGUGUCCAUGCUGCCUGUCUAUGCUGUCCCACCAUCCUGUGGCGUCACCUUCCAAGUAGUACACAUUGAUCUUCUUCUUGUACUCCUCCGGGCACUCCAUGGUUUCAAAAUUCUUCUCCAUCAUAGUAAUCCACUUGUCGGCCUCAAUAGGAUCGGAUCCUCCUUUGAACUUGUAGGAUCCAAUGUUCUUCAUGGUAGAUAAUAGCUUGGAAACUUCAGGGGUUGAGUACGCCUGCCUUGGUUACCAAGUGCCUCGGUCAUCACGUCAUGUAAAAGCUUCAGGGUGUUUUCGGUUCCAUGAUCUUGUGGUCUUUCGGUGGCAUGGUUUUGAUCUGUCCUUGGGUUUGGUUGGACGGAUUGAUCAUCUUGAUGUCUCUGGUGCCAAAUACGACUUCGACUAAUGCUCGCCAUACUGUCUUCUCUCACUCUAGUCCUGUUACCGUAACCAGGAAAAGAUCUUGUUCUCUGCAGAGGGCUCCUAUCGUGUCCAAACAUCUCACUAAUGCUAUUUCCAUUAUCCUGAUCUGAUCUGUAACCCAAUCCUCCGCCUUUCCAAUCCAUUCCCUCUCCCCAUAUCCGACCUCGUCCAUCAUCACCUGUCCCGCGAUUAGCCAUCUGCACACAAUCAAAAGGGUAAGUGAUAAUCUUACUAUGGGAAGCAGCUGGUUUCCUAAUCAUCUUUUUGCGACUCCUUUGACUCGAUAAAACCGUUAAAAAGCACUUGUGUCAUGCAUGAACGAAACCAUGCUCUGAUACCACCUCUAUAACACCCCCGAACCGUUUUAGGCAUAGGUCGAACCACCGGCCAAGAAUCAAACAAGAACAUGACCGACGGCCCGACCGUCUACCAAGGUUCAGGAGCGCUACAUGACGGGUUAAAGGGCAAUCGAGCCAAAGUUACAUAAUGUGCAAUUCGUAACUUGGCCAGGCCGCCCACUAACGCGUCCCGUCAAACCAAAGCCUAAGGCUUCUCAACCCGUACUCCAAUCUGACGUUGUGUUAGCUUGGACAAGCUAAUAACAGAACAACAAGGCAUUUGCACAAAAAAUUCGCUUUAUUUAUCUUAUAAAAUAUAUGGUUUACAAUACACAAAAUAUUAUACAAAUGGUGGCAUGCCAAGAAAGCAAAAGUACAUACUUAUAGUCUGAAAGCGUCUUAACCAAAAAGAUGCAAAUCUACACCAGCCAGCCUAGCCUCCCGCGCCUUCUACGGGCUCACUACUGGUCACCUGAAAACAACAACGGGUGAGGAGUGAGUAAUCUAGCAUUACUCAGCGAGUUACAAUCCCCAACUAACAAAUACAACCCCUCGCUAUCCCACCCCACAACAAUCUAAAGCGAGAGGUUCACCUAACAACACAAUUCAAUAAUAAUAAGCAAUAUGUGAAAUACGCAGCGGUAAAUGAUAGCAAGAUAACUAGCAUUAUGCUAAUUACUAGCUCAUCACCAAACUCAAACUCUUUUUAAACCUAAACAACCCAAACACGAUAUAAUAUAUAACAAACUCGGGCCCUGGUGAUGUUGUGUUCCUCCUGCACUAUCAGCAAUAUCCUAUCUUCCUACCACAAAGGCCAGAAGAAGAAACUUUCAACCGACCACGGCCCACAGUCUUUCGGGUCACCGCGCGACAGCCCACGGUCCUUCGGGUCACUGCCACAUUACACCGUCGUGUAAUACUCAGCCAUAGGACAUGACCCCGUUCGUCUGAGUCUUCCCGAUCCAGCGAAUAAGGGGUUUCCUUGAACCCUCUGGGUACGAGGUCUGAAGGAAGACUAACUCACCCCAAUAUGCCUAGCAUUGUGGGUUACACAAAUGCUAUCGGCCAAUAUACGAUUAAUACUAAACCCGGUAAAAAUAACACAAGGUUUCAAGUAAUAAUCACAACACAAUCAACCACAUUCUAGAAUCUAGCAUAAAGACUAAUUCCAGAAUACCUAACUAUCCACAACUUAGCAAUAUCAUCUAAGAAUUCUGCAUUCGCUAACUAACCAAUCAACCUAACCAUUAGCAUGCUACUACGGUUCUCAAGCAAUGACAAGCAUGCUAUCAACUCAAUCAACAUAAUCUCAACUAUUAACUAAUCAAACCGUUACUCAGUUAGACCUGGCCUCUUACCAUAAUCCACCUUCCAAGUAACAAGAACCUGCAUGAAAAAAACUCAGCAAUCAAUUGAUCAUAACUCACAGUUUUUGGUUGACCGUGGCCUUGACCCCAAACCCGACAUCUGCGAUCCGAACCCUUUCCCGACCUUCACAAGUCGACCCACUUGACUGAUCUUCACUUGAACUGGUCUCCACUAGAACUGAUCUCUCUGCACUUGAAAAGAACCUUCUCCAAGUGCUGACUCAAAAUCGGCAGAGUAACUGUUCUCGAAAACCGCCUAGAAUGCUUGAAAACUAUCGAAACUCGAUCUUUCUUUCUUUUCUUUCUCUUUAUGUUUUGAAGUAGGUUUGAUGUGUUAUGGAUAGGUUGAAAUGAGAGGGGGUCGUGGCCUAUUUAUAGGAAUCAGCAACCAAUCAGGAACAAGCUGUGUGGCAGCCCGUGUGUCGCUUCGCAUGGCUCCGGACGCAUGCGCGGCGGCACCUUGUGCUCCACUUGUCUUUCAGCAUGGCCUUCUCACAUGCAAGGUGACACCACGCCCUCUACCUGUCUGGAUGCAUGGCCUGCACACAUGCAAGCUGACACCACGUCCUCCACAUGUCUGGCAGCAUGGCCCGGUCGCAUGCAUCGCGACACCUCGUUCUUGGCCGUUCUACCUCGUGCUCCACAUGGCUGGCUGCAUGCCUCAGUAUCAUGCAGGAUGACACACCCACGUCCAGAUGGCCUGUUAGAUGACUGAAGUGCAUGCAGGUCGACACCCCAUCUCACACAUGGCUGGCCCCAUGCUUCGGUCGCAUGCAUCGCAACACCUCGUGCUUGGCCGUUCCACCUCGUGCUCCACAUGUCUACUUGCAUGUACAGGUUGCAUGUACUGCAACAUCUCCUGCUUCCCUGGACACACACACUGUCAAGAGCCUGCCACCACGUACUGAACACAUACACAUCAAGCCACCUAGAGCUUCUCAGUCGAUUCGGGCGAUUUCGGCCUUUCUGAUGAAUUUUCGUCCCGCGAUCAAUCCCAAAUAUUUUUCUACGCCCGUUCUGAUGGCCUGAAUAUUUUUAAUAAACCCUACUGGGACUCUGAUCUAGAGGAAAAAUAUUUACCGAGCUUUCGGCUUCUUCGAAAAAUUUCGUAAUACUGAAAUUUAGGGUUUUUCGCCCGAUUUCCGGUCUUCCUGUUGUGCUUGCUAAAGUGUCUUGCUUCAAACAUCAUUUGAAUUAAUCUAAUACAUUGUCUGACCAUUUUCAAGUGGCAUACGUGACUCAUGGUUCAGACAAGAACAAUCUGAUUGUCCGCGACUCGAGCACCCAAAGGAUACUCAACCAUUCAUAAUUUUUUUUUAAGGGUUUCUACAUCGGCUGUCCGUUCAGUACACACAGGACGUCUGUGUGUGUCCGUCAGCACACACAGUACGUCCGUGGCUGUCCGUGUGUGUUCGUCAGCACACACAGAACGUCUGUGGCUGUCCAUCAGUACACAUAUCAGCACACUGGUCCUUGGACUCAGCACGAAGGCCCUUCCCGUGGACUGUUUGGGUGAUUUUGGCCCACGUGGGCUGUCUGUGCAGUACACACAGGACGUCCGUGGCUGUCCGCCAGCACACACAGGACGUCUGUGGCUGUCCGUGUGUGUCCAUGUGUGUCCGUGUGUGUCCGUCAGCACACACAGGACAUCCGUGGCUGUCCAUCAGUACACAUAUCAGCACGCUGGUUGUUGGACUUAGCACUCUGGCCCUUCCCGUGGACUGUUCGGGUGAUUUUGGCCCACAUGGGUUGUCUGUUCAGUACACACAGGACAUUCGUGGGUGUCCGUCAGCACACACAGGACGUCCGUGGGGGUCUGUCAGCACACACAGGACGUCCGUAGCUGUCCGUGUGUGUCCAUGUGUGUUCGUCAGCACACAGAGGACGUCUGUGGCUGUCCAUCAGUAUACAUAUCAGCACGUUGGUCCUUGGACUCAGCACGCUGGCCCUUCCCGUGGACUGUUCGGGUGAUUUUGGCCCACGUGGGCUGUCUGUUCAGUACACAUAGGACAUCCGUGGAUGUCGUCAGCACACACAAGACGUCCGUGUGUGUCCGUCAGCACACACAGGACGUCCGUGGCUGUCCAUGUGUGUCGGUGUGUGUCCGUCAGCACACACACGACGUCCGUGGCUGUUUAUCAGUACACAUAUCAGCACGUUGGUCUUUGGACUCAGCACACUGACCCUUCCCGUGGACUGUUCGGGUGAUUUUGGCCCACGUGGGAUGUCUGUUCAGUACACACAGGACGUCUGUGGGUGUCCGUCAGCACACACAGGACAUCCAUGUGUGUCCGUCAACACACACAGGACGUCCGUGGCUGUCCGUGUGUGUCCGGCAGCACACACAGGACGUCCGUGGCUUUCCAUCAGUACAGAUAUCAGCACCUUGGUCCUUGCACUCAGCAUGCUGCCCCUUCCCGUGGACUGUUUGGGUGAUUUUGGCCCACGUGGGCUGUCUGUUCAGUACACACAGGACGUCUGUGGGUGUCCAUCAUCACACACAGGACAUCCGUGUGUGUCCGUCAACACACACAGGACGUCUGUGGCUGUCCGUGUGUGUCCGUGUGUGUCCUUCAGCACACACAGAACAUCCGUGGCUUUGCAUCAGUACACAUGUCAGCACGUCGGUCAUUGGACUCAGCAUGCUGACCCUUCCCGUGGACUGUUCGGGUGAUUUUGGCCCACGUGGGCUGCCUGUUCAGUACACACAGGACGUCCGUGGGUGCCCGCCAGCACACACAGUACGUCUGUGGCUCUCCGUCAGCACACACAGAACUUCUGUGGCUGUCUGUGUGUGUCCGUGUGUGUCCGUCACCACACACAUGACGUCUGUGGCUCUCCAUCAGUACACAUAUCAGCACGUUGGUUCUUGGACUCAGCACGUUGGUCCUUGGACUCAGCACGUUGGUCCUUGGAGUCAGCACGCUGGCCCUUCCCGUGGACUGUUUGGGUGAUUUUGGUAAACGUGGGCUGUCUGUUCAGUACACACAGGACGUCCGUGGGUGUCCCCCAGCACACACAGGACGUCUGUGGCUGUCCGUGUGUGUAACGCCCGAAUCCGGCCUCUCACUGACCGAGCAUUCACGGGUCCUUGGCUUGACCAAAACCAUCCUUAGUUCCUGAAACCACAACCAGAUAAGCAUUAAUCAUAACCGAGAAUAGAAUUGGUCGAUUCUACAAUGCUUGGCUUGGUUCCUAUAACACAGAUAAACCUCGGAAAAUAUACUUAUAAAAAGAUAUUAACCUUCCUACCAAAUCCUAAGUCAUUCAACCAACCACCCGUUGACUUAGAAUCAGAUAGACAGUCUAGAAUAGAUAAAUAUAACACACGAACAGUCCGGAUCGUCCUCAAGACCAAUACAUCCAUCCGGAUAGAAUCUAGGUGUGACCGGCCUAGUUGAAGUCCGGCUCAAUGGCCCAACGGACUUCCUUACCUGAUCCCGCCUUGGGCCAGGAUCCAAAGGCCGAGUAAGCCUCACGCCCAAUCCGGUUAGGCCAAACGGCCGGUCGGACCUUGCGACUCUUACCCUGGCUUAGACGAACUGUGUAGUUGUCCCAACGGACAAUACAUGGUCUGAUCCCUUAAGGAAUGAACACGACCUGUCUCAACAGGCACCGUUUGGAACAUGCACCCCUUCGGUCCUUGGUACCUCUUGUUCCUCGUACCUCUUGAUGUUCGUAACCCAGCUUACUUACAUCCUUUGGCAACUCACAACUUUUGGAACUCGUGACCUUUGGUAACUCACAACCCUUGGUAACUCGUGACCUUUGGCCACUCGUGCCUCUUGGGACAUGACCAACCGUUUAGCCCAACCGUCCAGUCUAUGGUGUGAUUCGAACCGACCAGCGUCUAGGUUAGCGGUUUGGUUAUGACCGGCCAAGUCUAGGGACGUGUCCCUUGGACUGAACCAACACAACCCUUCAUGUAUAAUCAGAAAGAAGAGAAAGAACCGGAUAGAAACAAGAAGAGGAGAAGCGGUUGGGUCUAAUGAACCGACCAGAGCUGCGGUGCGAUCACAAUGACCGUCUGUUCGGUCUGAUGCGGCCAUAGCCCACCACGUAUGUAAUAACCCUCACGAGCAGAUAGAGUUUUUGUCGAGAAAAUUCUUUAAGAUCAGUUUGAAGAUUGAUCGAUAAGAAUUUAAAUAAAAAUCGACACGGUGAAUUAAUCUCUCGACGGGCUAUCUUUUGGUCGAAAAACCAUCUCUUGAUGGUUCUGGUCGAGUGUUAAUUAUUAUUGUCAAUUUUUAUUCAUGCUAGGCGAGUUUAUUCAGAGCAGGACGAGAUUCGAUUGAUGAAAAAUAUUUAGUCGAAACAGUCCGAAAAAUAUCGACAAAACUCUUAAAAUUAUUUCAAAACAGUCACAUGCCUUGCACCUUCUAGCCUACUUGCUUUCUCACUAAUUAGGUCACAUGACAUGCACCUACUUGCUCACCUUCUUGCUCAUUAGAAGUCACAUGCUGGUCACAAGCUGUUUGCUUCAGCUGCUUGCAGCUUUCUUCUUGUAAGAGAAAGGUGAGCUGCUUGUGCUGAAGCUGGUUGCCACAUGUUUCUCCAAACUACCACUUUGUGUAAAGAGAAAACCGUGAGCUGAAGCAACCCCAUAUGGUAUAAAACAUCUUCUUCUCUCCUCUGGACGUCCUGUUACUGCAAGAAAAACCAGAGAAAAUUCAAAGAGAAAGAGAAAAAGAAAAGAGAAAAAUCUGUGAGAAAAAUUAAUUGAGAAAUUGAGAAAAAAAUCAGGGAAGAGAAGUGAGCUUGGACGACCCUUUCUCACCAUCCUGUGACUUUAAUCAGUGUGUUCUGGUGUGGUUAAGAGCUGAAGGUUUGGUGUUCAAGAGUUUAGAAUCACCCAAGUUCCUUAGCCUUGGAUUUUAUCGGUUAGAUGUGUGUUCAGAUUGAAGUUUAUAUCAACCAAGUUCAUCUUAAAGCUUGAGGAAAUCGGAGUGAAAUGGAGUGUUAUUAGUUGAGCUCGAGUCUAGUCUUCCCUAGCCAAUCUCAUGGCAUCAAAGGUGAGUCUAGAUAGAUGAUUGAUGAGUAGUGAAUGAAUAUUUCUUGAUUGAACGUACCAAUUGUAGAUGAUUGAUAGGCUUUGUCUCUUGAUCAAUAUUGAAUUGGUAAGGUGUUUACUUAGUGUAAACACUUAUUAAAUAUUUAUGAAUGAUCAUAGAGGUUUAUUUCAAACCUUAGGCGUGAUGGAUGGAAUUAAUAUCCGAAAGUCCGAGCUUGAAUAGUAAAUCCUCAUGUCUUAUAAGAAGAAAGGUAACUUGUUCCAUAAUGUUUUCACUUUCUCGUUUUUCUCUAAGAUCUUUCAAAAAAAACUUUCUAUCUUUCUCUCCACCCUUUUCCUCUAUUCUCUUAAGAGAAGUGUAAAGAUGUCGAGCAAGAAAAAGAUUGCGAAAAAAGGGUCUUCGUCCGCGAGUCCUUACGAAGAGCUCGUCGUUCCGAAGAUGGAGUUCGUGCCUCACUCGGUGCAUCCUGCCGAGAACGAGGCAUGGUGGGUUGCUCAUUACGGCUCGUUGACCCCUCCCAAGGAGAAGCCAUUCCCGGUCCUGGUCCAUCGUGGAGUCGAGGAAGAGGAUGCAAGCAGGACUACUGACGAGUUUCUUGCGACGAUGCGGUCGUUCUACCACAUCCCGGAUGCUGUGGAGUUCCGGGUUCCCUGCCGCGGGGAAUGCGCUAACAACCCCCCGGAGGGUUACUUUACUUGUUAUGAGGCGUUCAUAGUGCGUUGUCGCCUCUGGUUCCCCAUACCCGAAAUUCUCGUCCGAGUGUUGGACCGCUUCGAAGUUGCGAUAAGUCAGUUGACACCCCUUGCCAUUCAGCACCUUAUUGGGAUCUUGAUCCUAAGCUAUGAGCAUGGCCUUUCCCUUUCCAUUGAUCAUUAUGAAGCGCUUUUGAGGCUUCAACUUGUCACGGAUACGGAUAAGCAUAGGUUUGUCCCUCGGAAAUUUAUGUCAGUGGUCAAGAAGUUCAUUUCGAACUUCAACUCGUGGAAGAAGUUCUUUUUCUUUGUUCGUUUGGACGCUGCGUCCGUCGAAGAGAGUUGCAUUCCACUGUUCCGGAGGUUGCCGAAUAAUCGUCCAUUCAUCAAUCCUCUUGCUCCGUUCCCUGAGGACAUUAUUGCGGUGAGGGAUCUUCUCAGGAAUGGUCCCUUCUUCUGGACUUCCUUCACGCCGAGAAGGGUUCGGAAGGCACUGAGAUUUGUGCUACCCGGUCCUGCUUUGGACGCGGAUACGGGAAGCGACUCCGAACCCGACGACCAGAAUCCCGUCGAAGCUCCGACAGCUGCGCCGGAGUCGAGCUCUUGGAAGGGAAAAGGUGUCGAUCUUUGCGACAUAGAGUUUUCGAUGGACGACUCUAUGCUUCCAGGAUGGGAUCCGAACCUUGCUUACGGCGACGGAAGCGGUUCGAGCGAGGCCCCUACUCUGGAUUUCGAUGAUUUCUUUGCUGGGCUGCCAUCGGGUUUCGAUGCUCCUCCUCCUACGAAAGAAUCGGCGAGGCCGAGAGUUGUUGCGGAAGGUUCUCGCAUCAUCAAUGGGGUUAGUUUUUUUUUUUUUUUUUUUUUUUUUUUUUUUUUUUUUUUUUUUUUUUUUUUUUUAAGGGGGUUUUUUUUUUUUUUUUUUUUUUUUUUUUUUUUGAGAAUUUUUUGGUGAUUGUCCCAUGUAUAUAUUCAUAUCAUGCCAAUCCUUUUUGCAGGGCCUGAGCUUGCUGGGCUCGGCCAUUGAGGCGGGCCAUAGAGAACCAUGGUUUACCGCUUCAAGGCGGAGAAAGCGGAGCGGGAUCUCGCUCGCGUGCAAGGCGAGAUGCUGGAGCGAGAGGCGCAGCUUACUCGUUAUCAUGCGCGGGCUGUUCGUAAAGCGGAGAGGAGAGGCAAAAGAGAAAUCGUCGAGGUGAUGAAGAUUGGUGCAUCGCAGUUCCAGGUCGAGUACGGGAACCUCAAGAAUGCCUUUACCUCGGUGGGUGACUUUCGCGAGUGCCGUGGUUCGGUCGGAAGUCUUUGGAGGACGCGAGCCGAUGACUAUGUGUUUGAAGAGGAAAUGAGCUUGAUGAAGAGUGGGAUGAGUGACCGUGCCCACGCUGAGGCGCUUAUCUCUCCGAUCAACGAGAGGAUUCAAGGGUUCUGGGAUUCUAUCCCGGUUUCCCCUGAUACCGAGGAGGUUCCGAUCGAUUUUCACGAUGGUGGCGAGGAAGUGGAUCGUCCCGCGGAUGCGUUUGGUGCUUCGUUGUCCGGGGACUUUGACUUUGGAUUAUGAGGGAUGGAUCAGUUAUCCUUGUUUUCGGCCAAGUGUGGCCCUUUGAAUUUAGAUUUUGUCUAGGCCUAGAUGGCCGUAUUUGUAUUUCCGGGACUGGCCGUUGGUGGCUUUGAAUCCCUUGCCGCUUUACGCGGUUUAUUUAUAUGAUAAAUGUUUCGAGUUUUCCUGAGUAGGGUUGAAGUAAAUACGAGUUGUCGUCUCGUAUGUAGCUCUAAUUUAGACGUUCAAUCUGUUGGUUCGUUCGUGAUUUUCGUAAAAAUUUAUCUAUCUUUACGAUUUUCGAAAACAUUGAGAUACAAACGGAGAGGCAUGGUUUAUGAUCUCAUAUCUUUUAGAUAUCAUGCCUUGAGAUGUUUGAGACCAGAGCGUUGGGUUUAGGGCAAGACCUAGGUUUACUUUCGGUUUAAGGUUUGUGCGGUGACUAGCCGGCUAUCGUUUUUCCUGUUGCGAUUUCUUCCUGACUCGCACCGGUUUAAAGUCCGCGAUAUGUUCUCGGCUUAUAUGACUUGUAUGGUACGAAUCGAGCAUCUUCUCAGAAUCAACUGGAAGUGCUAAACCAAAAUUUCGGAUUUUUGUUGUAGCGCGCUUUUGUCCUUGUGCUGGACGUUUUUAAAGAUCAAAAGAGUGAUCGAAUUGCGUUUGUUUAAGACGGCUGGCGUGUUCGCCGGGGCCAAUCGACGAACGGGGUGUAAGGUUUUUGGUGGUCGCGUUCGGACAAUUUGUUAGCAUUGUCCUCGAAUUUUAAAUUUUUGCGACGUCUCGCAGUUAUUUCGAGGAUUAUACGUGUAUUUUUGUGUGUUUGAAAGAUGAUAAUCUUUACGAUUUUUGGGCCGGAUGAGGCCGCAGACGAGCGUAAACUGAAGCGUAAGCGUUUUCGAUAAAAAGGACAGUGUAUAUUGUAAAUUUUUUGAUGUUUCUAAAAACUCGAUUACAAUAAAGGCGAUUGUGGGAGUAUACGAGUAUACGCACCCACUCCCCCCCCCCUUUUUAGAGAGGGGGAUAGCUGAACUCGUCUUUUGACAAGCUGCCUACGUACCCCUUUCGAGGAUCAAGCCAUCUCGUAGUUCUGUUUCAUGCCGCGAGUGUUCUUACUCGGCGGUUGAUGUCGCGAUGUCCGCCUUGACCGUGUCGAUCGUGGCUGGGUCGACGCUAUUUUUCGGAUGUUCCGGUUGAGUUGUCGCGUGGGCUUCGGAUUUAUGUCGAGCUUCGACGUCCGAUGCGUUUGCGUUGACAGACGAUUUUACUUUGUCCUCGGGCGGGGCGCUUUUGGCCGAAGAUCGAUCUAUCUUCGCGCGUUUGCCGUUUGCAGAAGCCGUGAUUUGCCUUAACUUAUGCUCCGCGAGGAAGCAUAGUCGCGACUGUUUUUGGCAUCCCCAGAUGGCCGCGACUCCGCUCGGCGUUGGGAACUUGAGACCCAGGUGGUAAGUUGACGGAACUGCCUGCAUGGCGUUGAGCCAUGGGGUUCCCAUGAUCACGUUGUAGAUAGCAGGAUGGUCGACUACCGCGAAUUCGACGAUUUUCGUGAUCUCCUUGGCCAUGACUGGCAAUUGGAUUGAUCCGAGAGUCAUCGACACUUCGCCUGAAAAACCCGUGAGUGGUUUCGGCGUUGGAAUUACCUCUCCGAGUUUGAUACUCAUCCGCUUGAGAGUGUCGCGGAAGAUUACGUUGACUGUACUUCCCGUAUCGACGAGUACCCUUCCGACUUCUAAAUCUCGUAUGACGAGAUCUAUGACGAGCGGGUUGCAGUGAGGUUGGUCGAUACCGCCGGCUUCUUCCUCUGUGAAGGUGAUCGAGCAACUUUGGCCGUCUCGAGGAGGAGACCAUGUAGGCCAAUUUGCACUUGAUUCUGCCUUCCGUUGGUAAGCCUUGAUGGCCGACACGGUAUCGCCGCAGUAUUGAGACCCUCCGAUGAUCAUAUUGACUCUGCGACGAUUGUUAUCGUUCCCUUUGUCAUCCGGCCUCCUACCGCGUUUAUCCCCAGGUUGGUUUCGUUGAGGGGAUUUUUCAGCGGGCGGAUUUCUGUCCGUCUUUGGAGGCCGAUCAGAAUCGAGGAUGAGAUCCUUGACGCUAGUUACUUCCGAAAGCUCUCCAGCGAGUAGCUUCGCGGCCAGUCUUGCUCCUAAGACUUUGCAAUUAGUCGUGGAGUGUCCUCGGGAUUGGUGGAACUCGCAGAAGGUGUUCUCGUCAUACCCUUGAUUGCGAGUCCAUGUGUUGCCCGUGGUCCGGCCUUGAUCCGAAUUGAUCGCAUAGUUAUGCGCUCCUUGGAGAUCUUCCCCCUCGUGAUGGACGUAUUUGUCGUUACGAGAGUUCUUCUUUUUCCCCUUCGGAUCUGCGUCUUUCGAGGAUGGUCUUGCCGGCUUAUGUUUUUGCGAUAAGACUUUAGUUUCUUCCUCGACUAUGAUGUAGUCCGUUCCUUUGUGGAGGGCGUCCUGGAUCGUUCGCGGUUUGUCGAGAGUUAUCCAUUUUCUGAAUUUCGACUUGUACCAGAGCGUCUUUCUCAGCGCAUCGAUGGCCACUUUGUCGCUUAUCCCGCUGACCCUGGACAUUAUCAGCUUGAACCGACUGAUAAACUCGCGGAGGGGUUCGUCUUCCCUCUGGGAGAGACUCCAGAGGUCAACAUCAGAGGUUUCCCUGUCUCUGAAUACAGAGUACUGUUUGAGGAAUUCCGAUGCGAGCUGUCGAAAACUCCCGAUGGUGUUGCGACGAAGGCGUGCGAACCAUUCGAGCGCUGCUCCUUCAAGAUUUUCGACGAACAGGCGGCAAUAGCCGGCAUCCUUUUCGCCGUCCUUCAGUCUUGCUCUUCCCAUCGCGAUGUGGAAAGCCUGAAGGUGCGCUUUCGGAUCGGCCGUACCAUCGUACUUCGGUACUUUGAUCUUUCCUGGAUCGGACACCCUCAUGUCCGAAAUGCGACUGGUAAAGGGGGUCUUUCGAGCUCCUUCCAGCAGUCAAUCGAUCUCGGGGGCAGCACUAGUAGCAUGAUGGGUUUGAGACUUUACGGCUCUCACUUCUGCCGCAGUCUUAGUGAUGUAGUCGCGAAGAUCACGGAUAUCCGAUGUCUCGUCAGUGGAUUUCCGAGCCUGUCGGCGCUUACUGCGAGUGAGCUCGGUUUGCCUUUCGGCCAGCUGCUCUUGUUCGUUCCAAUAGGCGACUUCUUCUUCUUCCGUCAUUGGUUUUUCGAACGGGGAGACUUCCCGAGCGGAUCGGCUUCUGGUCCUUCUUGGAUGUAUGUCGACAUCCUCGUCGGUGUCGUUGGAGACAUCGCUAGGAUCCAGGUCAAUGUGUUCGGCUUCGUUAUCCUCCGAGUCCUUUGCAGGGAGCGGAAGACUUUCAGAGUUCCCUCUUUCGAUGGGAGAUUUCUCGCUGGGGUUUUGACCGGAAGGUCGUUCCCGCGCGACUCCUGCUCUAUCGAGUGGGGUGGCGAAGUCGAGCCUCUUCCCGCGGAUUUUGGUGGUUCCGCGGGGACGGAUAGCUUGGGUCCUUGCCGUUAAGGUUUCAACCUGUUUGGUCAAGGUAUUCACGAGCUUAUCCUGUUCUUCCGACCUUUUUUCAUAGGUGGCGAACAUCUUUUUAAAUUCCUCGAGCGUCGCGGCGUUGGCUUGCGCGUUGGCCGCAGAUACGUCCGCUACCGGAGUGUGGAGAUCGGUGCCGCUGCCUCCGUUAAGGGGAGUUUGCACGUUAUCCGCGUCGUUGGUUGACAUGUCUGACUGUGUGUGGCUUUUGCGGGUUAGAUUGAUCCGUAAGGCCCCCUCCUUCUAGCGCCAAACUGUGGGAACCGAAAUUUGCACUGUCGAUUUCCGUUUAAAUAAGGAAACUAGGAAAACCCUAACUUCCCAGAGGACCCGGAUAUCUGUUAAUUACCACACGUCAAGCAAUCAGAACACAAGAAUGACAACGAUAAAAAUAAGAAAUCGAAAAAGAGAGCAAGGUAGAUCUUAUUCCGAAUCUGCGUAUGAGCGUUACAACAAGGUAUAAGCCUGGCUCGAGAGCUGUCGGCGAGAUUCCUAGUUCUAGCAACCCUAUGACGGCUUAACCUAAUUGAGUCGCAGCUCGAAAUAACAAAAAUGGAAAGUUGCCUAAAUCGCUCUAAGUGCUAAGUUUGCUCUGAAAAAGUUCUCUGGCUCUGCUCCUCGCCUAGGACUCCUUAUAUACUAGCUCCAAGGUCGGUUUACGCUUUUACUCUUCUGCCCUUAAGCCGUCAUAGCAUAAAAAUGGAGAUAUUCCAUUUUUCCCGAUCUUCACAAUUAUCUUCAAAACUUCCGUAUUUAUCCGCGGAAACUUGACAUUUAUCCUUCCUCGUGGGCCAAGCGUGAACCAUGCUGUGGUUCACGGGCUUUUGGUUAGGAAAAAUCGUAGGAUGGGCCUCGAGUCGUGUUUUAGGUCCCUUUGGGCCGUCUUCCGACUCGACACGUUUACUACGAGUUUUCCGCGGUUUCUAAUCCGCGAAGUUUGACCGAUGAAUUAGAAUAGCGGGAAACAUGGACUGAGCUUGUUACGGUCUUCGGGAGAUAGCAUUCGAAGGUUUGACGAGAAUGCAAGGACUGGUGUCGUAUCGAUGUUCGGAAAGGUUCAAUCGCUACACCGCGACCGAACUUUGGCUCGGGCCCGGUCGCUAUGUAGCGACCGAGCGAAACGAGUGCUCGGUCGCUACGUAGCGACCGAGCUUUGGCUUGAGCUCGGUCAUUACGUAGCGACCGAGCGGGACGAUCGCUAGGUCGCUACGUAGCGACCGAGCUUUGGCUCGAGCUCGGUCGCUAUGUAGCGACCGAGCGGGACGAUCGCUCGGUCGCUACGUAGCGACCGAGCGGGACGAUCGCUCGGUCGCUACAUAGCGACCGAGCUUUGGCUUGAGCUCGGUCGCUACAUAGCGACCGAGCUUUGGCUCGAGCUCGGUCGCUACGUAACAACCAAGCGGGACGAGUGCUCGGUCGCUACGUAGCGACCGAGCGGGAUGAUCGUUCGGUUUGAAUCCCAAAGGAUACUUCUUCGUAAAAACCUCGUAUAAGUUAUUUUUACGAAAAUUACAUCCCUUCUUUUACUAACUCUUUUGGAAAUACGAUCUCCGAGGAUUUUCGGGUGGUAAUUCCGUCGUAACCGUUUUUGACCCCAACACUCGUGCCCUUUGGGUCAUUCCCAACCGUUCGUCCUAACCGCCCAGUUAUGGUGCGAUCGGAUCAUCCGAAUAACCGACCCGUGUCUAGGCUAGCGGUUUGAUUAUGUUUGGCCAAACCCUAGGGACAUGUCCCUUGGACUCAACCAACACAACCUUUCGUGUUUAACCAGAGAGAAGAGAAGAGAAACGAAUUGAAACAUAUAAGGAGAGCCGGAUGGGACUUAGGAACCGAGCAGAGCCGCGGUGGACCGUCCGUUUGGUCUGACGGAGCUACGGCCCAUGACAUACCUUGUGAACCACGUCUGGGUUCUCCAUGCUCUUCUCCUUGUCUUGAUCUCCCUUUCUUGACCGGAGUUAGUUCGCAAACGAUCAGAGUCGCCGGAACACAACACCACCACACUCGGCCUUUCUCUUGGCCGUUAUUCUCUCUUUCUCUCUUUCUUUCUCUCUACGUUAUUCUCUGAGUAUUUUACUCUGGAAUUGGAUAAUGAAAUCGACAGGAGAGCCCCCAUAUUUAUAGAAAAUGAGGGGGUAAGUCUUGCCCCACGAACAGGCACGACUUGCUAGCGAAUGGGCACCAUUGGCGAGGGGUUGUCCCCUUUCGGCCACUUGCAUCCCUUUGCCCUUUCUGGUUGGGUUUGGGGUCGGUCACCAGCCCAACCCACGCCCCAAGCCUCAUGGACUUAGCCCACGGCCUUGCCCAAAGACCCAACAGCGCAUGGCCUCAUGGCCGGACCUCACAGCCCGCCAUUGACCCAGACCCAGACCAUCUGCCUAAGCCCGAACAGUCCAUCUAGCUGAGGUGAGCUGACUCUCAGCUGCCUCAGCAGGGUGAGCUAGUAGUCCAGGAAGUGGAGCUGACUUAGUAGGGACUGAGCUGGAGUGAACUAAACCUAGCUUCAUUGAGCUGGUCGAGCUACUCGUCCACUUCAUCCAGUUACCGUCUUACUCGUCCUAGCUGUCUCUUAGCUUGUAUAAGGUUAAGUCUAAGUUUUCUUAUGUCCUUAACCUUCUUUCUCGACCAUGGAAUGCUUGCCUUGAUGUCCUAAGACUGGCUUGUACGUUUCCUCGACCCAUGGCCGUCCCAACAAUCCUACUCAGGAUUGGGGGCGUGACAAGUCUCUCCCCCUUGUGAUGGAUUCGUCCUCGAAUCUGAAUCGAAUUCUUCCUCAGAAACAAACUGAUCCAACCACUCUGGGUACUCUGCUUUCAUUCUAGCUUCGGUUUCCCAAGUGAUUAUAUCCUGACCAUUAUAGUCCCAGACGACCUUGACCAUCUGGACCGUCUUCUUUCUUGUUGCUUUUUCCAUCCUAUCUAUAAUUCAAACUAGCCUCGUUUCCAAGGUUAGGUUCUUAACAAGAUCGUCUGGAAUGGCAGGAAGAGCGAUGUCUUGGUCCGUCAGGCAUUUCCGGAGUUGGGAGACAUGUAACACAUUAUGAAAUGCAUCCAUCUUGGCCGACAAGUCCAACUUGUAGGCCACCAUACCAAAUCUUUCAAUGAUCUUGAACGGCCCCAAGUAUCUCAGAUCUAACUUCCGUCUCCUGGAAAUUUGGACUCGUCCUUUGAAGGUAAUCAUUUUGAGAUACACCAAGUCACCUACUUGAAACUCGAGAUCUUUCCUUCUUUGAUCUGCAUAGUUCUUUUGGCGAUCUUGUGCCUGUCUCAUCUUCUCCCUCAAGAACUUGAUCUUUUUGGUUGUCUCUUCGACAAUCUCCGGACCAAUCAUGCUGCGUUCCCCAACUUGGGUCCAGCACAAGGGUGUCCUGCAUGGACGCCCAUACAGAGCUUCGUAUGGCGACAUGCCAAUACUACUAUGGAAACUAUUGUUGUAAGCAAAUUCUACCAGAGGUAGAUGUUUUUCCCAGGAAUCACCCCAGUCUAAAACACAUGCUCGCAACAUAUCUUCCAACGUCUGGAUUGUACGUUCCGACUUUCCAUCAGUCUGUGGGUGAUAGGCUGUACUCAUGUUCACUCUUGUUCCUAAAGCUUUUUGGAAAGCUUUCCAGAAGUAAGAUGUAAACCUUGAAUCCCUAUCUGAAACUAUGCUUGCCGACACACCAUGUUGUCGGACAAUCUCAUCAAUGUACAUACGUACAAUCUGGUCGACCCCAUCCGACUUCUUGAUAGCCAGAAAGUGUGCUGAUUUGGUUAUGCGAUCAACCACAACCCAAACCGCAUAUUUCUUACUCCUCGUGGUAGGGAACCCGGUCACAAAGUCCAUUGUGAUGUGAUCCCAUUUCCAUUCCGGAAUAGGCAAGCUUUGCAAUAACCCACUAGGCACUUGAUGUUCUGCUUUGAUGAGUUGGCAAGUGGAACACUUGGCCACCCACUCCGCGACAUCUGCCUUCAUACGGAUCCAAUGAUAGAACUUCUUAAGGUUCUGGUACAUCUUCGUUGCACCAGGAUGAACCCGAGAAUCUGGACUUAUGAGCCUCCCUCAUAAUCUCUUCCUUUGGACUUCUAUCAAUAGGAACACUGAUCCGACCGUUUACUAGGAUGGUACCAUCCUUUGCAGUCUGGUACUCCGUUCUAUCAUUUUGAGCAACCUUAUUCAGGUUCUCAUCCUGACCUUGAGCCAACCGGAUUCGAGUAAGCAGGUCAGCUUGGUUAACCGCCUCCAACCCCAAAGCUUCGGUUGCCUCAGUCAGCACGUUCAGCCGCAGAGCACGGACCAUACCAUCCAGGUCGUCCGCCUCCCGUUCGGCCGAUACAUCAGCCCUCUUCCGGCUCAAAGCGUCUGCUACCAGAUUAGCCUUUCCCGGAUAAUAGGUGAUGUCCAAAUCGUAGUCAGCUACGAAUUCCAUCCACCUCCUCUGCCUUAAGUUUAACUCAGGCUGGGUGAAUAUAUACUUAAGACUCUUAUGGUCCGUCAGUAUCUGAACUUUGGCGCCAUACAAGUAUGAUCGCCAAAUCUUUAAGGCGAAUACUACCGCAGCCAUUUCGAGAUCAUGGGUGGGGUAGUUUCCCUCAUGUUUUCUCAACUGCCUGGACGCAUAGGCAAUGACCUUCCCAUGCUGGGUCAACACGCAACCUAGUCCAGUGAUGGACGCGUCUGUAUAGACCACAUAUGGUUGAUCGGCUUCCGGAAGCACCAGGACGGGUUCGCUAGUCAGCAUGUCCUUAAGUGCGGAGAAACAUCCCUCACACUCUUUAGCCCAUGUGAACUUAACGUCCUUCCCAGUCAACCGCGUCAUAGGCUGAGCCAAGCUUGCGAAUCCUUUCACAAACUUCCUAUAGUAACCUGCCAGCCCCAAGAAUCUUCUGACUUCCGUGGCACUGCGUGGUCGGGGCCAAUCCUUGAUUGCCCUAAUCUUCUCUGGAUCCACCGAGAUGCCCUGGUCAGAAACAAUAUGACCGAGGAACCCAAUACUCUUCUGCCAAAAACUGCAUUUACUGAGUUUAGCAUAGAGUUUGUGUUCUCGUAAUCGUUCCAGCACGGCUCUCAAGUGUUUCCUAUGAGAUUCCUCAUCCUUGGAAUAAAUUAGGAUAUCAUCAAUGAAGAUGAUCACAAAUUCAUCUAAGAAAUCCCGGAACACGCUGUUCAUCAUUUUCAUGAAAGCGGCAGGUGCUUUGGUCAGACCGAACGGCAUCACUACAAACUCGUAAUGACCGUACCUGGUCCUAAAUGUCGUCUUCCUAAUAUCAUUUGGCUCUAUAGGGAUCUGAUGAUACCCUGAAGCCAAAUCAAUCUUGGAAAACCACUUGGCUCCUUUGAGUUGAUCCAACAGCUCGUCUAUCCUGGGCAACGGGUACUUGUUCUUCACAAAGACCCUGUUCAACCCUCGAUAGUCGAUGCACAGACGCAUGCUAUCAUCCUUCUUUUUCACUAAGAGGACUGGUGCACCCCAAGGGGAGCUACUUAGACGUAUGAACCCCUUGUCCAGCAAUUCUUCUAAUUGCUUCUUUAGCUCGGCCAUCUCGGCCGGAGCAAUUCGGUACGGACUCUUGGACAGCGGAGCUGUCCCUGGCUCUAGUUCAAUCGUAAAUGGAUCCAACCUAUCAGGGGGGACACCCUGUGGUACCUGGAACACAUCUGGGAACUUCGACACCAACGAAUCCUUUGAAAGGUCUUUCAGACAGACAGAACUGCCCGGCUCUGUAGUUGUAAUUGUAACCAAAAAGGACUGACAACCCUGUUCCAACAUCCGAAUCGCUCGAACUGCCGAAACCACUACUUUCUCUUGAGCCGGACACAGAUAUUGGUACUGGAUCGGAUGAAGCCCAGUCUCCAAUUGCACACGACCUCUAUGGCAAUUGAGAGUGGCCCGAUACUUUCCCAACCAGUCCAUACAUAGGAUCACUUCGUGAUUCUUUAGGUGGACACAGACCAAAUCCACAGGGAAUACCUUUCCCUGUAUUGACACUGGGAUAUUUGACAUGAGACCUAGUGAGUUCAUGGCUUGCCCUCCGGCCGCCCUCACUAUCCCAAAAUUAUCUCCAGCGUCCAGACAGAACAGACCCUUUCCGACCAGUCCCGGACUCACAAAACUAUGUGUUGCCCAUGUGUCGAAAAGUACAUGGGUUUCCACACCACCAAUCAUGAGGGUUCCAGAGAUUGAAUCAAACGAUCCAGAAGCGCCGUCGUCCCGGGACAGCUCAUACACCCUUGGUGUUGUGAUCGGCCUACUCUGGGUCGACUUGCCUGUGUCUCCACAACCCUUCACUUGUCCUCCUUGUAGCUUAGGACAGUCCAACCUGUAGUGUCCAGUCUUGCCACAUAGGAAGCAAGUCACGGAGCCGCUGCCACUGGACUGGUCUGAGAAUCGGUUUGGUCGAGUGUAGUUUUGGAUCGUGUGAUCCAUGCUGCCACAUUGCACACAAGCCCCCAUGGCCUUCCAACACUCACCGGGAUGAUUCUUUCCACACUUGGGACAUGUAGGUCGGCCACCAGAGGCCUUACCUCCGUCCACCUGGUCCCACUUCCUCUUUUUAUCAUUUGUCUUGCCCGACGGGCCAGACUGUGACUUAGCCUUAAGCUUAACUUCUUCAGCCAAGUUAGACUCUAGCAAAGCCACCCGUUCCACCAGUUCUACGACGGUGUUGAAAGUGCGGAUCGAGCAAUGGGUCUUCAGUUCUGGCCUUAGUCCUCGGAUGAACCUACGGACCUGGACUGCCUCGUCCUCCAGCUCUCUUCCAACAAACCGUCUGAGCCAGUUGAACUUUUCUUCGUACUCUCGUACGGUCCUGCGGCCUUGGGCCAAAUCUAGAAACUAAGCUUCCAGACGAUCCCAAGCCUCAGCAGGGAAGUAUUUGCGGUUGAAUUCAACUUCAAAGUCCGCAAAACUUUCAAGACUCCCAUUGGUGCGCUUGUCCACUGCAAGCCACCAGUUAUGCGCGUCCCCUUCCAGGAAGUGAACCACAAUGUCUCGCCUAUAAUCCUCUGGAUAGUGAGUUGAUUGAAUGUUUCGGACCAGCCUACUCCUCCACUCGUCUGCCACAAUAGGGUCGGUGCUACCGGAGAAAUGCUUCGUACCCAACCUGGAUAAAUGUUGAAGCAGACUCAGAUAGUCAACCUUCUUUUCAGACUUUUCCGGUGGAUCGAUCUCGAUCACCUCAACCGUUUCCACAACUGGACCAUUGGUGUUGGGGGUGGUCGUAGCCACAGGCGUAGCCUGGCCAACCGAUGAGUUCACUAGUGGCGUGAACAGUUGGGCCAUAGCCGCCACCUGAGUCCCCAUUACCUUCAUGGCCUCUAACAAGUCUUCUUUGGACAGUGUUGCGGGCAUAUUAGCCGUUCCAUCGGCCACUCUCUCAUGCUGGUCACCAUCACGGUUAGCGUUCGAGGAUUCCACUUCCUCAUCACUCUCCUGAUGUUCCUGACCAUCCCGUUGCGUCCCCGUAAGGUUAGCCUGAUUAGUUGGCAACACAUCUCUAGUGUCAGCCGCGGCCGGAUCGGUUGCAAUCCAGACUGAUUGGUUCCGUCCAUGGCCACUUGACUAGACUGACCGGCCGUUUUCUUACUCCUUCGGGACUUUCCCGAUUUGCUUUUUCCAGCCUAAGGAUUCAGACAACGUUAGUACGAAACAUACUAAACAUAAACAGAACAAAACAAUCCCUAGACUAAGCAAUCAAACCUCACUGUGAGACCUAAUUAGUUGGCUCUGUGUGUGUGUGUGUGUGUGGACUACAUAACCCAACUAUCCUAGAAUCAAGCAUGCUCUGAUACCAACUUGUAAGACCCGAACCCUGGCCUCUCAACCUGAUGGAGUCCGCAGGCUUACUUAUUAAUUUCUUUGCUUGUUUGAUCCAUUUUAAGUCUUUUAUUUACUAAGUCAUAUUCGAAUAUGAGGUUCAUAAACAAAGGAACAGAUUGCACAGCGGAAUAAUAAUGUGUUAACUUGUAUUACUUAGAAACAUGAGAUUCAAUACACAACUUCUUAACAGUCUCAUAGACAAUCACUAGUUCAUCCCUAGCAUCAUCUAACCACACGUUACACAGCCUCUCACUGACCGAGCCUUCACGGCUCCUUGGCUUGACCAGAACCAUCCUUAGUUUCUGAAACCACAACCAGAUAAGCAUUAAUCAUAACCGAGAAUAUAACAGAUUGAUUCUACAAUGCUUGGCUUCGUUCCUAGAACUUAGAUAAACCUCAGUCAACAUAAUCAUAAAAAGUAUGAACCUAUCUACCGUAUCCUAAGUCAUUCAACCAACCACCCCUUGACUUAGAAUCAGAUAGAUAGUCCAGAAUAGAUAAACAGGACACACAAACAGAUCCGGAUCGUCCCAAAGACCAAUCCGUCUAACCGGAUAGAAUCUAGGUGCGACCGGCAAAUGAAGUCUGGCUCAAUGGCCCAAUGGACUUCCUUACCUGAUCCGGCCUUAGGCCUGGAUCCAAUCGGCCGAGUAAGCCUCAAGCCUAAUCCGGAAGGCUUAGCAACCGGUCAGACCUUGCGACUCUAUCUUGGCUUAGACAAACCGUGACCUUGUCUUAACUAGACAAGCCAUAGGCUGAUCCAUAAGGAUCGGUCCUAACCUGUCCCGAAUAACACUGUUUGGAACAUGCACCCUUUGGCCAUUCGUGCCUCUUGGUCCUCGUACCUUUUGAUGUUCGUAACCUUUGGUAUCUCGUACCUUUUGGUCAGUGACACCCUUUGGCAACUCACAACCUUUGCACACUCAUGACUCUUGACAACUCGUGCCCUUUGGGUCAUUCCCAACCGUUCGUCCUAACCGCCCAGUCAUGGUGCGAUCAGAUCAUCCGACUAACCGACCCGUGUCUAGGCUAGCGGUUUGAUUAUGUUCGGCCAAAGCCUAGGGACGUGUCCCUUGGACUCAACCAACACAACCUUUCGUGUUUAACCAGAGAGAAGAGAAGAGAAACGAAUUGAAACAGAUAAGGAGAGCCGGAUGGGAGUUAGGAACCGAGCAGAGCCGCGGUGCGGUCGCAUGGACCGUCCGUUUGGUCUGAUGGAGCCACGGCCCAUCACAUACCUUGUGAACCACGUCUGGGUUCUCCAUGCUCUUCUCCUUGUCUUGAUCUCCCAUUCUUGACCGGAGUUAGUUCCCAAACGAUCAGAGUCGCCGGAACACAACACCACCACACUCGGCCUUUCUCUUGGCUGAAACUCUCUCUUUCUCUCUUUCUUUCUCUCUACGUUUUUCUCUGAGUAUUUUACUCUGGAAUUGGAUAAUGAAAUCGACUGGAGAGCCCCCAUAUUUAUAGAAAACGAGGGGGUAAGUCUUGCCCCACGAACAGGCACGACUUGCUAGCGAAUGGGCACCAUCGGCCAAGGGUUGUCCCCUUUCGGCCACUUGCAAGCAUCUACCCCUGGUAGAAUUUGCUUACAACGAUAGUUUCCAUAGUAGUAUUGGCAUGUCGCCAUACGAAGCUUUGUUUGCGCGUCCAUGCAGGACACCCUUGUGCUGGACCUAAGUUGGGGAACGCAGCAUGAUUGGUCCGGAGAUUGUCGAAGAGACAACCGAAAAGAUCAAGUUCUUGAGAGACAAGAUGAGACAGGCACAAGAUCACCAAAAGAACUAUGCAGAUCGAAGGAGGAAAGAUCUCGAGUUUCAAGUAGGUGACUUGGUGUAUCUCAAAAUGAUUACCUUCAAAGGACGAGUCCGAAUUUCCGGGAGACGGAAGUUAGACCCGAGAUACUUGGGGCCGUUCAAGGUCAUUGAAAGAUUUGGGAUGGUGGCCUAAAAGUUGGAUUUGCCGGCCAAGAAGGACGCAUUUCAUAAUGUGUUCCACGUCACCCAACUUCGGAAAUGUUUGACGGACCAAGACAUCGCUUUUCCUGCCAUUCCAGACAAUCUUGGUAAGAACCUAACCUUGGAAACGAGGCCAGUUCGAAUCAUAGAUAGGAUGGAAAAAGCAACAAGGAAGAAGACGGUCCAGAUGGUCAAGGUCGUCUGGGACUGUAAUGGUCAGGAUAUAAUCACUUGGGAAACUGAAGCUAGAAUUAAAGCAGAGUACCCAGAGUGGUUGGAUCAGUUUAUUUCCGAGGAAGCAUUCGAUUCGGAUUCGAGGACGAAUCCAUCCCAAGGGGGGGAGACUUGUCACGCCCCCAAUCCUGAGUAGGAUUGCUGGGACGGCCAUGGUUCGAGGAAACGUGCAAGCCAGUCUUAGGACAUCAUGGCAAGCGUUCCAUGGUCGAGAAAGAAGGUUAAGGACAUAAGGAAACUUAGACUUAACCUUAUACAAGCUAAGAGACAGCUAGGACGAGUAAGACGGUAGCUGGACGAAGUGGACGAGUAGCUCGGCCAGCUCAAUGAAGCUAGGUUCAGUUCACUCCAGCUCAGUCCCUAAUAAGUCAGCUCCACUAGCUGGACUACUAGCUCACUCAGCUGACGCAGCUGAGAGUCAGCUCAUCUCAGCUAGACGGACUGUCCGGGCUUUAGGCCGAUGGUCUGGGUCCGGGUCAGUGGCGGGCUGUGAGGUCCGGCCAUGAGGCCAUGGGCUGUUGGGUCUUUGGACAAGGCCGUGGGCUAAGUCCAGGAGGCCUGGGGCGUGGGUUGGGCUUGUGACCGACCCCAAACCCAAUCAGAAAGGGCGAAGGGAUGCAAGUGGCCAAAAGGGGAAAACCCUUGGCCGAUGGUGCCCAUUCGCUAGCAAGUCGUGCCUGUUCGUGGGGCAAGACUUACCCCCUCGUUUUCUAUAAAUAUGGGGGCUCUCUGGUCGAUUUCAUUAUCCAAUUCCAGAGUAAAAAACUCAGAGAAAAACGUAGAGAGAAAGAAAGAGAGAAAGAGAGAGUUCCGGCCAAGAGAAAGGCCGAUUGUGGUGGUGUUGUGUUCCGGCGACUCUGAUCGUUUGAGAACUAACCCCGGUCAAGAAUGGGAGAUCAAGACAAGGAGAAGAGCAUGGAGAACCCAGACGUGGUUCACAUGGUAUGUGAUGGGCCGUGGCUCCAUCAGACCGAACGUACGUUCCAUGCGACCGCACCGCGGCUCUGCUCGGUUCCUAAGUCAUCCGGCUCUCCUUAUCUGUUUCAAUUCGUUUCUAUUCUCUUCUCUCUGGUUAAACACGAAAGGUUGUGUUGGUUGAGUCCAAGGGACACGUCCCUAGGUUUUGGCCGAACAUAAUCAAACCGCUAGCCUAGACAGGGGUCGGUUAGUCGGAUGAUCCGAUCGCACCAAGACUGGGCGGUUAGGACGAACGGUUGGGAAUGACCCAAAGGGCACGAGUUGUCAAGAGUCAUGAGUGUCCAAAGGUUGUGAGUUGCCAAAGGGUGUCAGUGACCAAAAGGUACGAGAUACCAAAGGUUACGAACAUCAAAAGGUACGAGGACUAAGAGGCAUGAUUGGCCAAAGGGUGCAUGUUCCAAACGGUGUCUUUCGAGACAGAUUAGGACCGAUCCUUAUGGAUCAGCCUAUGGCUUGUCUAUUUAGGACAAGGUCACGGUUUGUCUAAGCCAAGAUAGACUCGCAAGGUCUGACCGUUUGCUAAGCCUUCCGGAUUAGGCUUGAGGCUUACUCGGCCGAUUGGAUCCAGGCAUAAGGCCGGAUCAGGUAAGGGAGUCCGUUGGGCCAUUGAGCCGGACUUCAUUGGCCGGUCGCACCUAGAUUCUAUCCGGUUAGACGGAUUGGUCUUUGGGGACGAUCCGGAUCUGUUCGUGUGUUCUGUUUAUCUAUUCUGGACUAUCUAUCUGAUUCUAAGUCAAGGGGUGGUUGGUUGAAUGACUUAGGAUACGGUAGUUAGGUUCAUACGUUUUAUGAUUAUGUUGACUGAGGUUUGUCUAAGUUCUAGGAACCAAGCCAAGCAUUGUAGAAUCAAUAUGUUCUAUUCUCGGUUAUGAUUAAUGCUUUUCUGGUUGUGGUUUCAGGAACUAAGGAUGGUUCUGGUCAAGCCAAGGAGCCGUGAAGGCUCGGUCAGUGAGAGGCUGUGUAACGUGUGGUUAGAUGAUGCUAGGGAUGAACUAGUGAUUGUCAAUGAGACUGGUAAGAAGUUGUGUAUUGAAUCUCAUGUUUCCAAGUAAUACAAAGUUUAUGCAUUGUUAUUCCGCUGUGCAAUAUGUUCCUUUGUUUAUGAACCUCAUAUUCGAAUAUGACUUGGUAACUAAAAGACUUAAAAUGGAUCAAACAAGCAAAGAAAUUAAUAAGUAAGCCUGUGGACUCCAUCAGGUCGAGAGGACAGGGUUCAGGUCUUACAGUCAGCACACACAGGAUGUUCGUGGCUGUCCAUCAGUACACAUAUCAGCACUUUGGUCCUUCAACUCUGCACGCUGGCCCUUCCCGUGGACUGUUUGGGUGAUUUUGGCCCAUGUGGGCUAUUUGUUCAGUACACACAGGACAUCCGUGGGUGUCCGCCAGCACACACAGGACGUCCGUGGCUGUUUGUGGCUGUCCGUCAGCACACACAGGACGUCCGUGUGUGUCCAUGUGUGUCUGUCAGCACACACAGGACGUCUGUGGGUGUCCGUCAGCACACACAGGACGUCCGUGUGUGUCCGUCAGCAUACACAGGAUGUCUGUGGCUGUCCGUGUGUGUCCGUCAGCACACACAGGACGUUCGUGGCUGUCCAUCAGUACACAUAUCAGCACGUUGGUCCUUGGACUCUGCACGCUGGCCCUUCCCGUGGACUGUUUGGGUGAUUUUGGCCCACGUGGGCUAUCUGUUCAGUACACACAGGAUGUCCGUGGCUGUCCGCCAGCACACACAGGACGUCUGUGGCUGUCCAUCAAGUACACAUAUCAGCACGUUGGUACUUGGACUCAGCACGUUGACCCUUCCUGUGAACUGUUCGGGUGAUUUUGGCCCACGUGGGCUGUCUGGUCAGUACACACAGGACGUCCGUGGGUGUCCGCCAGCACACACAGGACAUCCGUAGCUGUCUGUGUGUGUCCGUGUGUGUUCUUCUGUGUCCGUCAGCACACAUAGGACAUCCGUGGCUGUCCAUCAGUACACAUAUCAGCACGUUGGUCCUUGGACAAAGCAUGCUGGCCCUUCCCGUGGACUGUUUGGGUGAUUUAGACCCACGUGGGCUGUCUGUUCAGUACACACAGGACAUCCGUGGGUGUCCGCCAGUGCACACAGCACGUCUGUGGCUGUCCGUGGCUGUCCGUCAGCACACAUAGGACGUCAGUGGCUGUCCGUGUGUGUCCGUGUGUGUCUGUGGGUGUCCGUCCGUGGGUGUCCGUCAGUACACAUAUCUGCACGUUGGUCCUUGGACUCAGCACGCAGACCCUUCCCAUGGACUGUUCGGGUGAUUUUGGCCCACGUGGGCUGUCUGUUCAGUACACACAUGACUUCUGUGGGUGUCCGUCAGCACACACAGGACGUCCGUGGGUGUCCGUCAGUACACAUAUCUGCACGUUGGUCCUUGGACUCAGCACGCAGACCCUUCCCAUGGACUGUUCGGGUGAUUUUGGCCCACGUGGGCUGUCUGUUCAGUACACACAUGACUUCUGUGGGUGUCCGUCAGCACACACAGGACGUCCGUGUGUGUUCAUCAGCACACACAGGACGUCUGGGGCUGUCCGUGUUUGUAUGUGUGUGUCCGUUANNNNNNNNNNNNNNNNNNNNNNNNNNNNNNNNNNNNNNNNNNNNNNNNNNNNNNNNNNNNNNNNNNNNNNNNNNNNNNNNNNNNNNNNNNNNNNNNNNNNNNNNNNNNNNNNNNNNNNNNNNNNNNNNNNNNNNNNNNNNNNNNNNNNNNNNNNNNNNNNNNNNNNNNNNNNNNNNNNNNNNNNNNNNNNNNNNNNNNNNNNNNNNNNNNNNNNNNNNNNNNNNNNNNNNNNNNNNNNNNNNNNNNNNNNNNNNNNNNNNNNNNNNNNNNNNNNNNNNNNNNNNNNNNNNNNNNNNNNNNNNNNNNNNNNNNNNNNNNNNNNNNNNNNNNNNNNNNNNNNNNNNNNNNNNNNNNNNNNNNNNNNNNNNNNNNNNNNNNNNNNNNNNNNNNNNNNNNNNNNNNNNNNNNNNNNNNNNNNNNNNNNNNNNNNNNNNNNNNNNNNNNNNNNNNNNNNNNNNNNNNNNNNNNNNNNNNNNNNNNNNNNNNNNNNNNNNNNNNNNNNNNNNNNNNNNNNNNNNNNNNNNNNNNNNNNNNNNNNNNNNNNNNNNNNNNNNNNNNNNNNNNNNNNNNNNNNNNNNNNNNNNNNNNNNNNNNNNNNNNNNNNNNNNNNNNNNNNNNNNNNNNNNNNNNNNNNNNNNNNNNNNNNNNNNNNNNNNNNNNNNNNNNNNNNNNNNNNNNNNNNNNNNNNNNNNNNNNNNNNNNNNNNNNNNNNNNNNNNNNNNNNNNNNNNNNNNNNNNNNNNNNNNNNNNNNNNNNNNNNNNNNNNNNNNNNNNNNNNNNNNNNNNNNNNNNNNNNNNNNNNNNNNNNNNNNNNNNNNNNNNNNNNNNNNNNNNNNNNNNNNNNNNNNNNNNNNNNNNNNNNNNNNNNNNNNNNNNNNNNNNNNNNNNNNNNNNNNNNNNNNNNNNNNNNNNNNNNNNNNNNNNNNNNNNNNNNNNNNNNNNNNNNNNNNNNNNNNNNNNNNNNNNNNNNNNNNNNNNNNNNNNNNNNNNNNNNNNNNNNNNNNNNNNNNNNNNNNNNNNNNNNNNNNNNNNNNNNNNNNNNNNNNNNNNNNNNNNNNNNNNNNNNNNNNNNNNNNNNNNNNNNNNNNNNNNNNNNNNNNNNNNNNNNNNNNNNNNNNNNNNNNNNNNNNNNNNNNNNNNNNNNNNNNNNNNNNNNNNNNNNNNNNNNNNNNNNNNNNNNNNNNNNNNNNNNNNNNNNNNNNNNNNNNNNNNNNNNNNNNNNNNNNNNNNNNGAUGAAAAGAUGAAAAGGAUGUGCAUUGUAGGGUUUUAGCUCAUGGUCGGGUAACAGGAAGUUAAAGAAGUCAUAGGAUCGAGUCGGACUGGUAAGAUGAGUCGGUUAGGACUAGGGUUGGCGUGUGUGGCAAUGAGUGAGAUCAUUGUAUUGAUUGAUUACUAGGUUGUUAGAAAUGAAUGGAAGUGUGUGUAGAAAUUACAGAUGGUGAUAGGAAAUGAUAAAAUGCAUUAACUGAUUGUAGUGGCUAGUCGGUCCUAGUUCCCGCAUAGAGUAGUAUAGAGUGUCAUGCGGGCAGGCUGGUCUAGAGUCACUUCACUGAGUAACUUGUUGCUCACCCCCUCCAUUUCCAUUUUUCCCUGUGCGCAGGACUGUAAGUAGAAGUACAUGGAUGUGGGUGUGACGGUAUUUCAAAGAAGGUUAUGCGCUCGUCUCUCGGGACUAGUAACGGGACACGUAGGGUUGUCUAAAUGAGUAGACACGUGUCCAUAACGCCCCUUCGAUAACCCCGGUCGGACGCCGGGGGAUCGGGCUGUUACAUCUGUGGCUGUCCAUCAGUACACAUAUCAGCACGUUGGUCCUUGGACUCAGCACGUUGACCCUUCCCGUGAACUGUUCGGGUGAUUUUGGCCCACGUGGGUUGUCUGGUCAGUACACACAGGACGUCCGUGGGUGUCCGCCAGCACAUACAGGACAUCCGUGGCUGUCUCCAGCACACACAGGACAUCCGUGGCUGUCCGUGUGUGUCCGUGUGUGUUCGUCUGUGUCCGUCAGCACACAUAGGACAUCCGUGGCUGUCCAUCAGUACACAUAUCAGCACGUUGGUCCUUGGACUCAGCACGCUGGCCCUUCCCGUGGACUGUUUGGGUGAUUUUGGGCCACGUGGGCUGUUUGUUCAGUACACACAGGACAUCCGUGGGUGUCCGCCAGCGCACACAGCACGUCUGUGGCUGUCUGUGGCUGUCCGUCAGCACACACAAGACGUCUGUGGCUGUCCUUGUGUGACCGUGUGUGUCUGUGGGUGUCCGCCAGCACACACAGGACGUUCGUAGCUGUCCGUGGCUGUCCAUCAGCACACACAAGACGUCCGUGUGUGUCCGUCAGCACACACAGGACGUCCGUGUGUGUCCAUGUGUGCCCGUCAGCCCACACAGGACGUCCGUGGCUGUCCAUCAGUACACAUAUCAGCACGCUGGCCCUUGCCGUGGACUAUUUGGGUGAUUUUGGCCCACGUGGGCUGUCUGUUCAGUACACACAGGACAUCCGUGGGUGUCCGUCAGUACACAUAUCAGCACGUUGGUCCUUGGACUUAGCACGCUGACCCUUCCCGUGGACUGUUCGGGUGAUUUUGGCCCACGUGGGCUGUCUGUUCAGUACACACAGGACGUCCGUGGGUGUCCGUCAGCACACACAGGACGUCCGUGUGUGUCCGUCAGCACACACAGGACGUCCGUGGGUGUCCGUCAGCACACACAGGACGUCCGUGUGUGUCCGUCAGCACACACAAGACGUCCGUGUGUGUCCGUCAGCACACACAGGACGUCUGUGGCUGUCCAUCAGUACACAUAUCAGCACGUUGGUCCUUGGACUCAGCACGUUGACCCUUCCUGUGAACUGUUCGGGUGAUUUUGGCCCACGUGGGCUGUCUGGUCAGUACACACAUGACGUCCGUGGGUGUCCGCCAGCACACACAGGACAUCCGUGGCUGUCCGUGUGUGUCCGUGUGUGUUCGUCUGUGUCCGUCAGCACACAUAGGACAUCCGUGGCUGUCCGUGUGUGUCCGUGUGUGUUCGUCUGUGUCCGUCAGCACACAUAGGACAUCCGUGGCUGUCCAUCAGUACACAUAUCAGCACGUUGGUCCUUGGACUCAGCACGCUGGCCUUUCCCGUGGACUGUUUGGGUAAUUUAGGCCCACGUGGGCUGUAUGUUCAGUACACACAGGACAUCCAUGGGUGUCCGCCAGCGCACACAGCACGUCUGUGGCUGUCCGUGGCUGUCCGUCAGCACACAUAGGAUGUAAGUGGCUGUCCGUGUGUGUCUGUGGGUGUCCGCCAGCACACACAGGACGUUCGUAUCUGUCAGUGGCUGUCCGUCAGCACACCCAGGACCCGUGUGUGUCCGUCAGCACACACAGGACGUCCAUGUAUGUCCAUCAGUACAUAUAUCAGCACGCUGGUCCUUGGACUCAGCACGCUGGCCCUUCCCGUGGACGGUUUGAGUGAUUUUGGCCCACAUGGGCUGUCUGUUCAGUACACAGGACGUCUGUGGGUGUCUGUCAUCACACACAGGACUUCUGUGUGUGUCCGUCAGCACACACAGGACGUCUGUGACAGUCCGUGUGUGUCCGUAUGUGUCCGUCAGCACACAUAUAACAUCUGUGGCUGUCCAUCAGUACACAUAUCAGCACAUUGGUCCUUGGACUCAGCACGUUGACCCUUCCCGUGGACUGUUCGUGUGAUUUUGGCCCUUGUGGGCUGUCUGUUCAGUACACACAGAACGUCCGUGGGUGUCCGCCACCACACACAGGACGUCUGUGGCUGUCCGUGGCUGUCCAUCAGUAUACAUAUCAGCACGUUGGUCCUUGGACUUAGCACGCUGGCCCUUCUCGUGGACUGUUUGGGUGAUUUUGGCCCACAUGGGCUGUCUAUUCAGUACACAGAGGACAUCCGUGGGUGUCCGCCAGCACACACAUGACGUCCGUGGUUGUCCAUGGCUGUCCGUCAGCACACACAGGACGUUCGUGGCUGUUCGUGUGUGUCCGUGUGUGUCCGUGUCUGUCCGUCAGAACACACAGGACGUCUGUGGCUGUCCAUCAGUACACAUAUAACCAUGUUGGUCCCUGGACUCAGCACGCUGGCCCUUCCCGUGGACUGUUUGGGUGAUUUUGGCCCACGUGGGCUGUAUGUUCAGUACGUACAGGAAGUCCGCGGGUGUCUGCCAGCACACACAUGACGUCUGUGGCUGUCCAUCAGCACACACAGGACGUCUGUGGCUGUCCGCGUGUGUCCGUGUGUGUCUGUCGUUGUUCGCCAGCAUACACAAGAUGUUCGUGGCUGUUCGUGGCUGUCUGUCAGCACACACAGGACGUCCGUGUGUGUCCUUCAGCACACACAGGACGUCCGUGGCUGUCCGUCAGCACACAAAGGACGUCUGUGACUGUAUGUGUGUGUCCGUCAGCACACACAGGACGUCCGUGGGUGUCCGUCAGCACACACAGGACGUCUGUGUGUGUAACACACACAGGACGUCCGCGGCUGUCCAUGUGUGUCUGUGUGUGUCCGUCAACACACACAGGACGUCCGUGGCUGUCAAUCAGUACAAAUAUCAGCACGUUGGUCCUUGGACUCAGCACCCUGGCCCUUCUCGUGGACUGUUUGGGUGAUUUUGGCCCACGUGGGCUGUCUGUUCAGUGCACACAGGACUUCCGUGGGUGUCCGCCAGCACACAUAGGACGUCUAUUGAUGUCCGUGGCUGUCCUACAGCACACACUGGACGUCCGUGGCUGUCCGUGUGUGUCCGUGUCUGUCCGUCAGCACACAUAGGACGUCCGUGGCUGUCCAUCAGUACACAUAUCAGCGCGUUGGUCCUUGGACUCAGCACGCUGACCCUUCAUGUGGGCUGUUCGUGUCAUGUACCCGAUCCUGGAUAGGAUCAUCCGGACAGACUUUAUUGCGAGGAGACGCACCAGUCAGGUCACAUGACCUAAAGACAAGCGUGUCAUGGUCCAAAACGUGGUUAAGGGAAUCAGGUAACUGGAACAUAACCAAAAUAAGGCAGAUGCAAGCUCAAAGGAGCUGGACAAGCGAGCUGGUAGCUGGACGAGAUCCAGGUGAAGCUCGAUUGAAGUGGGUGAUCAGAAUGGAUCAUGGGAGAACUAAGUAUAGGUCUGGAAAUAGACCAAGGGACUUAGAAGAAUUGAAGAAGAUAAAGGAAGCAAGCUGGACACAGUGUAUAACAGCUGGGCGAUGCAGUAAGCAAGCUCGACCAGCUAGGUGAAGUGUAGUGCAGCUCAAUGUAGCUCACUGAAGUGUAGGUCAGCUCCCUGAGCUGGAUGGUCUAGCUCACUCAGCUGGGUCAGCUGGGGAUCAGCUCAACUCAGCUGGACUGAGUGUUCAAGUCAUGGGCAGUUGGGCCGGGUGUGGAUAGUGGCGGGGCCAUGUGGUCGACCCGUGUGUACCGAUGGGCUGAUUGGCUCUUGGGAUUGAGCCAGGAGCUUGGGCAAUCCGUGUGGGCUUGUUUUUGGACAUGUCUGGUAACUGCCUGAGGCGAAUGGGUGUGAUCUGGACCAUUGAUUAAAUCAGUGGCCAGAAAUGAUAUCGAAAGGGUGCAACCUUUGGAAAGGUAACUGCCCCUUUUUCUAUAAAAGGCAGGCAAGUCCGUGCCUUUUCAGGCACGCCAGGGCUUCCUCCUACACCGUGAAACACAAAGAAAACACAGAUAAAAGACAGGGAGUUGGUCGGAUUCCCAAUCCAAGACCCAUGGUGGUGUGAAGGCCAUAAAGAGGCAGUUUUGGGAGAGAUCAAGGGGGAAGUUAUGAAUGACUUUCUGGUGGCUUUUGAUCCGUGAGGUUAUCACCCAAAGCAUCCUCCAGGGCCUGAGAACACACGAAAAUGGUGAGGAAAGAAGGUAGAUGACCGGAAUUCAUUCCCAAAGGCCAAGACAGCCUUAAGGGCAGAUGUGUGUAGAAAGGCAGUUUCAUGGAAGUGCAAGGGGAGUUAUGAACGACCCUGUGGUAGGUUUUCAAAACUGAUGAACACGUCCUAGGCUUCCUCUGCAUCUUGGGAACACACGCAAAUACCCAGGAGAGAAGGGAGAAGGCCGGACUUCACUCACAAAGGCAUGAAUAGCCUUGAAGGUGGAUGCAGUGUAGAAACUGGUUUCAUGGAAGUUCCAUGGAAGGGAUCAGGGGCGCGACCCAUGAAUGGAUCUUAUCAAUACAGGAGUUAUGUGAUAAGGGUUGAUAGAGGCGUUCACUGGAGGAGCAUGGCCGAACAUAAUAAGGAAAGGCACAUGAUCUAAUCAGAUCAUGUAUAAGGUAACCGGUUUUAUGAUUACCUUUGAAUUACAAUUCUGUUGACUGUGGAAUCGAUCAUGGCCAAGUAUGGCACGUCCUUGAGGACUAUAUAUAUUAGGAAUGUUUAUGGUGUAGUCUGUUGGAUCAGGCCUGAUGGCACUGAACCAAGGCCUUGGCCGGUUCAGGAAUGGUGCCCAUGGCCUUGGCCGGUUCAGGAAUGGUGCCCAUGGCCUUGGCCGGGCUGUUCAUGAUCUGGAUCUAUAUGGCCUGGGUCGAUUCUUUGGAAUCUGAUUAUGGGAAUCUCUUAGUUAUGAAUUAUCAUGAGUUUUCAUGUAUUUUAAUCAAUUUUUAGGAAUUGAUUUGAUGAUGUCCAGUUUUGGCCGGUUUGGCUGAUUUUGGCCGAGAUCUAUAGGAUCGAGGCCGGUUCUGAAAAUUCUGAUUAUAGCAUUCUCUUAGUUGGGAAUUAUCAUGAAUUAUCAUGAAUUUUAAUUAGUUUUUGGAGCAUACUUGGAAGAGGUCAUUUUUGUACCUGAGAGCAUAUUGAUGCUUAUCUGAUGGAGUUGUGUUGGGUUUGGUCAUGUGUGAACCAUUAAUCCGACUCAUGGAGGAGGCACAUGGGGGGUCCUGGUAUUAGAGGAACCAUGUGGAUUGCAAGGUCCAAUAUGUUUGGAACCAGCAGGAAGCCAUGAAUAAGAGUAUAGCUAGUACUUGAUGGCGUGGACAAUAAGUACUGAGCUUGGGUGUUAUUAUUCAAGGAAGGCCGUGUGUGAUCUGAUCAUGGGUAAGGAUGGACGACCUGAUCCAUAGAUGAUGGAUCAAGUUGUCUGAUCUGAUUGAUCAAAGGAUGCACCGGUGGUAAGAGGAGAACUGAUCGGCUUCGUUGGGACAUGGUUCCAUGGCCAGUUAGGUACGUGUGAAGACUCAUCAGUUCUGGGUCAUGUGGGGUUGUUGGUUGAUUGACUCAGGAUCUGAUGGGCGUUGUUAGUCCAUGAGCUGGACUUGGUAUCAUAAGUUGAUAAGGCAAAAGGAUGUGGGACAGUGCAUGAGCAGGUAAGGGCCAGAUGCAUGUCCUUAGCUGUUUGAAGACUUCUCCAAGGUUACUUAUGUCUGUGGGGAUGGUUGGCUGAAUGACUAAGUACCUAAGGGAGUUGUUUUGUGUGUGUAACGGAGCUGGACGCAGUAUGUGGCAGCUGGCCAUAGCUCGGUCCUAGCUCAGUUCGAGUGUGACAGCUCGAUCAGCUGGUAUAUAAGUUAAUUCAGCUAGAGUAGCUGGGCCGAUGAGCUAACAACCUCCGUGGAUGUGGCAAAGGUAUGAUCUAGCAAUGUUGCAUAGAUCUAGAUAGAAUGGUUAGGGAAAACGGAACCUCAGAUUUGUAUGACUUGGUUCGUGUUCAGAAUCAACCUUGGAGCUAGCUGGUAGUUGAGUAUACUAACCAUUAGCUGAGGUGAUUCGACCGGACAAGUAUUAGAUUGGAUUUAGUCCAAUGGAUGAUAGAUGUUAUUCCGCUGUGCAUAAGUUGAAAUGAUCUAAGCUAGGGAAUGACUAAGGUAGUCUUGAGCUAAGAUCUGAGUUAGCCCUCGCCUAUGGGCAAGGUUUUUAAAUAAAGGGCGAAAUUUUUAGUGGUUCGGUCAGUGUAUGGACCGAGCGACGUGAGGCAUCGACCGCGGCCUAGUCGGCCGGGAUCGGGUCUUUCAGUUCGGGUGAUUUUGGCCCAUGUGGGCUGUCAGACAGGACGUCCGGGGCUGUCUGUGUGUGUCCGUCAGCACACACAGGAUACUGUCCAUCAGUACACAUAUCAGCAUGUUGGUCAUUGGACUCAGCACGUUGACCCAUCCCGUGGACUGUUCGGGUUAUUUUGGCCCACGUGGGCUGUCUGGUCAGUACACACAGGACGUCCGUGGGUGUCCGCCAGCACACACAGGACGUCCGUGGCUGUCCAUGUGUGUCCGUGUGUGUUCGUCUGUGUCCGUCAGCACACACAGGACGUCCGUGGCUAUCCAUCAGUACACAUAUCAGCACGUUGGUCCUUGGACUCAGCACGCUGGCCCUUCCCGUGGACUGUUUGGGUGAUUUUAGCCCACGUGGGCUGUCUGUUCAGUACACAGGACGUCCGUGGGUGUCCGCCAGCACACACAUGACGUCUGUGGCUGUCCGUGUGUGUCCGUCUGUGACCGUCAACACACAUAGGACGUCCGUGUCUGUCCAUCAGUUCACAUAUCAGCACGUUGGUUCUUGGACUCCGCACGCUGGCCCUUCCCGUGAACUGUUUGGGUGAUUUUGGCCCACGUGGGCUGUCUGUUCAGUACACACAGGACGUCCGUGGGUGUCCGCCAGCGCACACACGACGUCUGUGGCUGUCCGUCAGCACACACAGGACGUCCGUCGCUGUCCGGGUGUGUCCGUGUGUGUCUGUGGGUGUCCGCCAGCACACACAGGACGUUCGUGGCUGUCAGUGGCUGUCCGUCAGCACACACAGUGUUGUAGUACCCACGACUGAGGUUCCCAUUAUCCGCAAAGGUCCUACCACAAGGUCCGGUUCAAGAGUUUAAAGAGCUGGAUUUGCCAAAGCUGUCCACGAGUUGCUUGCACAGGAACAAACCGGGUUCAAGCAACUAUUGAUCCAGGAGUUGUCUGACUUAAAGCUGGAAGACACCGGUGAACCACUAGAGGUUCCAGACCCUUUCAAUUCGAGCCAGUUCUCCUCCAUCGGCCAGAGUGAAGCCGGCCUGACCAUUUCCCCCUUCAUGCUCAAUCCAUCCAACCAACUUGCUUCCGGUUCAGAGAUAUAGCCGACCAUCAGAAGGAGUAGUAUGUGUUGUACUCUUUUUCCUUAUCGGGUUUUGUCCCACUGGGUUUUCCCGAAAGGUUUUAAUGAGGCAACAAGCAAGCAUACUAUGAGUUCUGAUCCAGACAUCUCAAACCGUGACCGGUCUAUUGUUUUCUUUAUUUUUAUUUCGGUUAAGACUUUGGUCAUUUGUCUAGGCCCUUUUUUAUCUUUAAAGUCCAGUAAGGAACACCUAUUUAAACCCUUGUAGUUGCCAACUUUUCGGCUAAGUCUUUUAUGAAAACGUUUUUGCUUGAGCAAAGAAACGCUAAGUCUUUCAGUUGUGCAAAACCAUUGAGAGCAGCCGUGUGACAUAUCAAAGAGCCGAUCCAUUGUUCUUUGUGGCGUCCAUCGAUCCAUUCCAUUCCUUGUCCGAAUCUUGAGAGAGACAUACGUCCAGCAAGAGCCGGAUCCAUAUCUAUCUUCCUAACCGACCUUGGCAUCUUGUUGAGAGAGACAUACGUCCAGCAGCAGAUCCCAUCCGCCAAUCUACUCUUUCUCGAUCUUUUAUUUUAGAAUUUCAUUCAUCCAAUCCAUAAAAACAAAAAGAAUCAUAUCUUGUUUUUGUUCUUGUUCCUAUUGAAAACAAGUUCAUAUUUGUUUCAGGUACGAACACAAGCAAGAGGCAACCCGGCCGGUACCAUCCAUCCGAGGCAAGGCUGAACCAGAGAUAAGCCGGCCAGUACCAUCCAUCCGAGGCAAGACUGAACCGCCCGCGGAACGGCCAUUCGUCCGUCCGUCCGUCCGUUCGACCCUCCGACCCGUGCCUACAACAUUUUGGUAUCAGAGCUGAAGUUUCCUGCAAAACUCAGUUCUUUCUGAACCCUAGCCGUCACAUUCAAAACAAAAUAUUUACUUUCCUUAUUUUUCAAAUUUCGGUUUGUUCUCCAAGUUUUCAAUUUUGCAUUUAAAAAAAAAAUAUUAAAGUAGUUUUACUUUUUUUCCAAGUUUUCGAAAAUCAAAAAAAAUAUAUUCCGUCUUUCCUUUUUCAAACUUGAUUCGAUUUUGUCUUAACUUUUUGCAUUUACUCCUAGUCUUGGUCGAUACUCAAAGUAUCCAACCCAAGCAACUAUUUAACCCCCCUCUUGCCUUUUAAUCUUUCUUUGAGUAUCAUUUCAGAGAACUAUGGGAGAUGUAGGUCAAGACCAAGCGGCCAUAAACGCUCAGCUCCUAGCUGACAAUGAAGAACUGAGGGCGAGCCUUAGGACUAUCACCGCCGAGCAUGCUCAGCUACGGCAGGGAGGCAGGCCCAACGGACCUCGACCACCAGGAAGGCAUCAGCCGGAUCCGCAUGACACUGACUGGGACGCGGACAGUACCGAUGAUACGCGCAGUCAGGACGAGGAGAGGCCAAACCGGGGAGGUAGGAGGAACGCGCGAGGACCCCGGGCCCAAGUAGGAGGAGGCCGCGACCAUAGAGGAGGUCGAGACCGAGAGGAGGAAGAGCCCUGGUUGGGAGGCAAGGCGCUUAAGCUUCAUCCCCCAACGUUUGCCGGCAAGGUUGAUCCGGAUGCCUACAUCGUGUGGGAGAAGCGCAUGGAGUACAUCUUCGACUAUUACCAAUAUAGUGAGGCCAAGAAGGUUGCCCUAGCAGCAGCCCAGCUGACGGACAAUGCUCUUUCGUGGUGGGAUCGAGACGUUGCUAAGUCCGGGCCAGUGUGGAGAGCACGUAAUUGGACCGAGAUGCGGACCAAGCUUCACGCGAGGUACAUUCCAUCUUACUACCAGCGUGAUGUGCUAAAACGUUUUCGUAAACUUACGCAGGGAACUAAGACUGUGGAGGAGUACUUUGAGGAGUUCGAGGCACUUAGGAAUAAGCUUGAGACCGACGAGCCCGAGGAGACAAUGAUGUCCCAAUUCCUGGAAGGGCUGCAAGAUCGCAUUGCCCGCAAGGUGGAGAGACAACAAUAUGAAGACUUCAACGAUCUAUUGCACUUUGCUACGCAAGCCGAGCAGCACAUCAGGCGCAAGACGGCCAGUACCAGCUGCAGCAAACCUGCUUGGACUCAACCGGGUUCAAAGCAAGGCGACAAGGGCAAGACGAUUGAGAUUGAGAGCCGAUUCAAGACAAACCAGGCUGAAUCGUCUAAUGCAUCUAAGCCGGACAGGGUAAGACUCAAGCCCAAACUUUGCGUACUCGUGACAUCAUUUGUUAUAAGUGUCAGGGCAAGGGCCACUACGCUCGGGAUUGUCCAAACAAACGAGUGAUGGUCCUAAAGGGGGAUGGCGAGUAUGAAUCCCAAGAUGAGGCAGAGACCACGACAGUGAUCUCUGAUGAGGAAGUAACCGACUACCCGGAGACAAGCGAGCUGCUAGUGACCCGGAGAGCUCUUAGCACCCUCUUUGACCCAGAGAUCAUCCAGCGGGAGAACAUCUUCCACACCAGAUGUAGUGUUGAUCACAAGGUAUGUUGUUUGAUCAUAGAUGGCGGAUCUUGUACUAACGUGGCUUGCAAGUAUCUUGUUGAUAAGCUAGGGUUGGUCAAAACUGCCCAUCCUCGACCAUACCGUCUCAAAUGGCUCAAUGAUGAGACUGAGCUCAAGAUUGCCGAACAAGUUGUUGUGUCCUUCAGUAUUGGCAAGUACCAAGACCAGGUCAAGUGUGAUGUUGUGCCCAUGCAAGCCGGCCAUAUACUUCUAGGAAGGCCGUGGCAGUUUGACAAGGAGACACUUCACCAUGGCCGCACCAACAUCUACAGUUUCGUCCUCAACAACAAGAAGCACAGCCUAGCACCUCUCAGCCCUCAAGAAGUUCAUGAUAUGCAGAAGGCAAUGACGCAGUCUGGCCAGGUAAGUAAGACUAACCUUUACAUGACUUCCGGACAAGUGCUUAAAUCAAUACAACGUGAGACACAGGUGCUACUAAUGAUCUUUAAGGAAGGUUGUUUUGCAGGUUUAGAAGCCCAUGAAGUACCGGACGUAGUACAAGACCUCAUGGGACGUUACAAGGAUGUCUUCCCUGAUGAGAUUCCGGCCGGUUUACCCCCUGUCCGUGGCAUAGAACAUCAGAUCGAUCUUGUACCCGGCGCGACACUACCAAACCGAGCCGCUUACCGUGUCAACCCUGAGGAAGCUAAGGAGCUGGAACGGCAGGUCCAAGAUCUCAUGGACAAAGGCUACAUCCGCGAGAGCCUUAGUCCCUGUGCGGUCCCGGUCCUACUAGUACCUAAGAAGGAUGGGACGUGGCGCAUGUGUGUGGACUGCCGAGCCAUCAACAACAUAACCAUCAAAUAUCGGUACCCUAUACCUAGAUUAGAUGAUAUGUUGGAUGAACUGAGUGGGUCUAUUGUGUUUUCUAAGAUUGAUCUCAGGAGUGGAUACCAUGAAGUCCGCCUGAAGGAAGGAGAUGAGUGGAAAACCGCCUUCAAGACCAAGCAAGGUCUAUACGAGUGGCUGGUGAUGCCGUUUGGCCUUACCAACGCCCCUAGCACCUUCAUGAGACUCAUGAAUGAGGUCCUCCGACCUUACAUUGGCUUUGUUGUGAGUUCACAGAGACUGAAGGUUGAUGAGGAGAAGAUCAAGGCAAUACAAGACUGGCCGACCCCGACCACGAUCGGACAUAUCCGCAGCUUCCAUGGACUGGCCAGUUUCUAUCGACGAUUUGUGAAGGACUUCAGUACCAUUGCCGCCCCAAUGACCUUCGUGAUCAAGAAGAAUGUAACCUUUGCUUGGGGCCCUGCCCAAGAGGAGUCUUUCAACAGGCUUAAAUAUAGUUUGACACAUGCACCGGUUCUAACUCUUCCUAACAUUGAUAAACCUUUUGAGAUUGAGUGUGAUGCUUCAGGGACAGGGAUAGGAGCCGUACUGACCCAAGGAGGCCGGCCAGUGGCUUUCUUCAGUGAGAAAUUGAGUGGAACCGCCCUCAAUUACCCCACCUAUGAUAAAGAGCUAUAUGCUCUAGUAAGGUCGCUUGAAACUUGGCAACAUUAUCUUUUGUCUAAAGAGUUUAUUAUUCAUACAGAUCAUGAGACUCUUAAGCAUUUGAGGGGCCAGACCACACUCAAGAAGAGGCAUGCUAGGUGGCUGGAGUUCGUGGAAAAUUUUCCUUAUGUGAUCAAGUACAAGAAAGGGAAGGACAACGUAGUGGCCGACGCCCUAUCCCGGCGCCACACACUCAUUACCACCAUGGAGGCUAAGAUCAUGGGUUUUGAGCAACUCAAAAUGUCUUAUGAAACUGACCCUGAUUUUUCUGAGUUUUACAGUAACACGGCUAAGGGAGCCAUGGGUCCAUUCUAUCAGCAGGACGGGUUCCUCUUCAAGGAGAAACGCCUGUGUAUUUCUCAUGGUUCCAUGCGAGAUUUACUGACCAGAGAAGCUCAUGGGGGCGGGUUGAUGGGGCAUUUCGGUCGGGACAAAACUCUGAGAGUCCUGUCCGACCACUUAUAUUGGCCCCGGAUGAGGCGCUACGUCGAGAGCCUUUGCGCUUAGUGCACUGUCUGUCUCAAAACCAAAUCCAGGUCGCAUCCUUAUGGUUUACACAUGCCUUUACCUAUUCCUAUUGCACCGUGGGUCGACCUGUCUAUGGAAUUUGUGCUGGGCUUGCCCAAGAUAGAACACAAGGAUUCUAUUUUUGUUGUAGUGGACAGGUUCUCCAAGAUGGCACACUUCAUUCCGUGUUCCAAGACCAAUGAUGCAUGCCAAACCGCUGAUCUCUUCUUCAAGGAAGUGGUGCGUCUACAUGGAGUGCCUCGUACCAUUGUGUCCGACGGAGACACAAAAUUUCUCAGCCACUUCUGGAGGACAUUGUGGAAAAAGCUUGGAACCAAGCUCCUCUUCUCGACCACUUGCCAUCCACAGACUGAUGGACAGACCGAGGUAGUAAACCGUACACUCUCUUAGUUAUUGAGGGCUACGGUGGGUAAGAAUCUUAAAAACUGGUUGAGUUGCUUUCCUUUCAUUGAGUUUGCUUAUAACCAUGAGAUCGUGUAUGGCUUUAGACCAGAGAUGCCCAUGGACCUAGCCGCAUUGCCACCAGCCAUGCAAGUCAGCCAGAGUGGUGACAAAAAGGCUGAGUUUGUGAAGAACAUGCACCGGCAAGUCAAGGAGACUUUGGAGAAGAAGGCUGAAAGGAACCGGAUUAAGCUCAACAAGGGGAGCACAGAAGUUAUCUUCCAACCAGGCGACUGGGUGUGGCUCCACAUGAGGCCAACGCGGUUUCCGGAAGAGAGGAAGAGAAAAUUAUCCCCACAAGGGGAUGGACCAUUCCGAGUGCUCGACCGGAUCAAUGACAAUGCCUACCGGCUAGAACUGCCAGGUGAGUUCCAAGUUUCCCGAACGUUCAAUGUGUCUGACUUGUCUCCUUAUAUUGUAGAUGACGGAGAUGUUCUGAGGACAGAACCUGUUCAAGAGGGAGGGGAUGUUGUAGUACCCACGACUGAGGUUCCCAUUAUCCGCAAAGGUCCUACCACAAGGUCCGGUUCAAGAGUUAUAAGAGCUGGGUUUGCCAAAGCUGUCCAGGAGUUGCUUGCACAGGAACAAACCGGGUUCAAGCAACUAUUGAUCCAGGAUUUGUCUGACUUAAAGCUGGAAGACACCGGUGAACCACUAGAGGUUCCAGACCCUUUCCAUUCGAGCCAGUUCUCCUCCAUCGGCCAGAGUGAAGCCGGCCUGACCAUUUCCACCUUCAUGCUCAAUCCAUCCAACUAACUUGCUUCCGAUACAGAGAUAUAGCCAACCAUCAGAAGGAGUAGUAUGUGUUGUACUCUUUUUCCUUAUCGGGUUUUGUCCCACUGGGUUUUCCCGAAAGGUUUUAAUGAGGCAACAAGCAAGCAUACUAUGAGUUCUGAUCCGGACAUCUCAAACCGCGACCGGUCUAUUGUUUUCUUUAUUUUUAUUUCGGUUAAGACUUUGGCCAUUUGUCUAGGCCUUUUUUUUUAUCUUUAAAGUCCAGUAAGGAACACCUAUUUAAACCCUUGUAGUUGCCAACUUUUCGGCUAAGUCUUUUAUGAAAACGUUUUUGCUUUAGCAAAGAAACCCUAAGUCUUUCAGUUGUGCGAAACCAUUGAGAGCAGCGGUGUGACAUAUCAAAGAGCCGAUCCAUUGUUCUUUGUGGCGUCCAUCGAUCCAUUCCAUUCCUUGUCCGAAUCUUGAGAGACAUACGUCCAGCAAGAGCCGGAUCCAUAUCAAUCUUCCUAACCGACCUUGGCAUCUUGUUGAGAGAGACAUACGUCCAGCAGCAGAUCCCAUCCGCCAAUCUAUUCUUUCUCUAUCUUUUAUUUUAGAUUUCAUUCAUCCAAACCAUAAAAACCAAAAGAAUCAUAUCUUGUUUUUGUUCUUGUUCCUAUUGAAAACAAGUUCAUAUUUGUUUCAGGUACGAACACAAGCAAGAGGCGACCGAACACAAGCAAGAGAUAAGCCGGCCAGUACCAUCCAUCCGAGGCAAGACUGACUGAACCGCGGAACGGCCAUCCGUCCGUCCGUCCGUCCGUUCGACCCUCCGACCCAUGCCUACAACACACAGGAUAUCCAUGUGUGUCCGUCAGCACACACAGGACGUCCGUGUGUGUCUGUGUGUGUCCGUCAACACACACGGGACGUCCGUGGCUGUCCAUCAGUACACAUAUCAGCACGCUGGUCCUUGGACUCAGCACGCUGGCCCUUCCCGUGGACUGUUUGGGUGAUUUUGGCCCACGUGGGCUGUCUGUUCAGUACACACAUGACGUCUGUUGGUGUCCGUCAGCACACACAGGAUGUCCGUAUGUGUCCGUCAGCACACACAGGACGUCCGUGGCUGUCCGUGUGUGUCUGUGUGUGUCCGUAAGCACAGACAGGACAUCCGUGGCUGUCCAUCAGUACACAUAUCAGCACAUUGGUCCUUGGAUUCAGCACGCUGACCCUUCCAGUGGAAUGUUCGGGUGAUUUUGUCCCUUGUGGGCUGUCUGUUGAGUACACACAGGACGUCUGUGGGUGUCCGCUAGCACACACAGGACGUCUAUGGCUGUCUGUUUGUGUCCGUGUGUGUCCGUCAGCACACACAGGACGUCCGGGGCUGUCCGUGUGUGUCCGUCAGCACACACAGCAUACUGUCCAUCAGUACACAUAUCAGCAUGUUGGUCAUUGGACUCAGCACGUUGACCCUUCCCGUGGACUGUUCGGGUGAUUUUGGCCCACGUGGGCUGUAUGGUCUGUACACUCAGGACGUCCGUGGGUGUCCACCAGCACACACAGGACGUCCGUGGCUGUCCAUGUGUGUAUGUGUGUGUUCCUCUGUGUCUGUCAGCACACACAAGACGUCCGUGGCUAUCCAUCAGUACACAUAUAAGCACGUUGGUCCUUGGACUCAGCAAGCUGGCCCUUCCCGUGGACUGUUUAGGUGAUUUUGGCCCACGUGGGCUGUCUGUUCAGUACACAUGACGUCCGUGGGUGUCCGCCAGCACAAACAUGACGUCUAUGGCUUUCUGUGGCUGUCCGUCAGCACACAUAGGACGUCUGUGGCUGUCUGUGUGUGUCUGUGUGUGUCUGUGGCUGUCCGCCAGCACACACAAGACGUCCGUGUGUGUCCAUCAGCACACACAAGACGUCCGUGUGUGUCUGUCUGCACACACAGGACGUCCGUCGCUGUCCAUCAGUACACAUCAGCACACUGGUCCUUGGACUCAGCACGCUGGCCCUUCCCGUGGAUGGUUCGGGUGAUUUUGGCCCUCGUGGGCUGUCUGUUCAGUACACAUAGGACGGCUGUGGGUGUCCAUCAGCACACACAGGACGUCCGUGGAUGUUCGUCAGUACACACAGGACAUCCGUGGCUGUCCGUGUGUGUCUGUGUGUGUCCGUCAGAACACACAUGACGUAUGUGGCUGUCCAUCAGUACACAUAUCAGCACAUGAAGUCUGUUGCUGUGCAUCAGUAUAUGCUAACCCUUCCCGUGGACUGUUCGGGUGAUUUUGGCCCAUGUGGGCUUUCUGUUCAGUACACACAGGAGGUCCAUGGGUGUCUGUUAGCAGUCAGCACACACAGGACGUCUGUGGGUGUCCGUCAGCACACACAGGACGUCUGUGUGUGUCUGUCAGCACACACAGGACGUCCGGGGCUGUCUGUGUGUGUCCGUGUGUGUCCGUCAGCACACACAGGACGUCUGUGGCUGUCCAUCAGUACACAUAUAAGCAUGUUGGUCCUUGGACUCAGCACGCUGACCCUUCCCGUGGACUGUUCGGGUGAUUUUGGCCCACGUGGGCAAUCUGGUCAGUACACACAGGACGUCUGUGGGUGUCCGCCAGCACACAUAGGAUGUCUGUGGCUGUCCGUGUGUGUCCGUCUGUGACCGUCAGCACACACAGGACAUCCGUGUCUGUCCAUCAGUUCACAUAUCAGCACGUUGGUUCUUGGACUCCGCACGCUGGCCCUUCCCGUGGACUGUUUGGGUGAUUUUGGCCCACGUGCGCUGUCUGUUCACUACAAACAGGACGUCUGUGGGUGUCCGCCAACGCACACAGGACGUCUAUGGCUGUCCAUGGCUUUCCGUCAACACACACAGGACGUUCGUGGCUGUCAGUGGCUGUCCGUCAGCACACACGGGACGUCCAUGUGUGUCCGUCAGCACACACAGGACGUCCGUGUGUGUCUGUGUGUGUCCAUCAGCACACACGGGACGUCCGUGGCUGCCCAUCAGUACACAUAUCAGCACGCUGGUCCUUGGACUCACGACGCUGGCCCUUCCCGUGGACUGUUUGGGUGAUUUUGGCCCACGUGGGCUGUCUGUUCAGUACACACAUGACGUCUGUUGGUGUCCGUCAGCACACACAGGAUUUCCGUGUGUGUCCAUCAGCACACACAGGACGUCCGUGACUGUCCGUGUGUGUCUGUGUGUGUCCGUCAGCACACACAGGACGUCCGUGGCUGUCCAUCAGUACACAUAUCAGCACAUUGGUCCUUGGAUUCAGCACGCUGACCCUUCCCGUGGACUGUUCGGGUGAUUUUGUCUCUGUUGAGUACACACAAAACGUCUGUGGGUGUCCGCUAGCACACAUAGGACGUCCGUGGCUGUCUGUGUGUGUCCGUGUGUGUCCGUUUGUGGCCGUCAGCACACACAGGACGUUCGUGGCUGUCCAUCCACAUAUCAGCACGUUGGUCCUUGGACUCAGCAUGCUGGCCCUUCCCGUGGACUGUUUGGGCCAUUUUGGCCCACGUGGGCUGUCUGUUCAGUACACACAGGACGUCUGUGGGUGUCCGCCAGCACACAAAGGACAUUUGUGGCUGUCCGUGACUGUCCGUCAGCACACACAGGACAUCUGUGGCCUUUCGUGUGUGUCCGUGUGUGUAUGUGGGUGUCCCCCAGCAUACACAGGACGUUCGUGGCUGUCCGUGGCUGUCUGUCAUCACACACAGGACGUCAGUGUGUGUCAGUCAGCACACACAGGACGUCUGUGUGUGUGCGUGUGUGUCCGUCAGCACACACAGGACGUCCGUGGGUGUCCUUCAGCACACACAGGACGUCCGUGGUUGUCCAUCAGUACACAUAUCAGCAUGCUGGCCCUUCCCUUGCACUGUUCGGGUGAUUUUGGCCCAUGUGGGCUGUCUGUUCAGUACACACAGGACGUCCGUGGGUGUUCGUCAGCACACACAGGACGUCCGUGGGUGUCCGUCAGCACACACAGGACAUCCUUGGCUGUCUGUGUGUGUCUGUGUGUGUCCGUGUGUGUCCGUGUGUGUCCAUCAGCACACACAUGACGUUAGUGGCUGUCCAUUAGUACACAUAUCAGCACGUUGGUCCUUGGGCUCAACACGCUGGCCCUUCCCGGGGACUGUCUGGGUGAUUUUGGCCCACGUGGGCUGUCUGUUCAGUACACACAGGACGUCAGUGGGUGUCCGCCAGAACACACAGGACGUCCAGGGCUGUCUGUCAGCACACAUAGGACGUCCGUGACUGUCCGUGUGUUUCCGUGUGUGUCCGUCCGCACACACCAGGACGUCCUUGGGUGUCUAUCAGCACACACAGGACAUCCGUGUGUGUCCGUCAGCACACACAGGACGUCCGUGGCUGUCCAUGUGUGUCUGUGUGUGUCCGUCAGCACACACAGGACGUCCAUGGCUGUCCAUCAGUAUACAUAUCAGCACGUUGGUCCUUGGGUGAUUUUGGCCCAUGUGGGCUGUCUACUCAGUACACAGAGGACGUCCAUGGGUGUCCGCCAGCACACACAGGACGUCCGUGGCUGUCCAUGGCUGUCCAUCAGCACACACAGGACGUCCGUGGCUGUCCGUGUGUGUCCUUGUGUGUCCGUGUCUGUCCGUCAGAACACACAGGACGUCCGUGGCUGUCCAUCAGUACACAUAUAAGCAUGUUGGUCCUUGGACUCAGCACGUUGACCCUUCUCGUGGACUGUUCGGGUGAUUUUGGCCCACGUGGGCUUUUUGUUCAGUACACACAGGAUGUCUGUGGGUGUUCGCCAGAACACACAGGACGUCUGUGGCUGUCCGUCAGCACACACAGGACAUCCGUGGCUGUCCGUGGGUGUCCGUGUGUGUCCGUCAACACACACAGGACGUCAGUGGCUGUCCAUCAGUACACAUAUCAGCCCGUUGGUCGACUAGGCCGCGGUCGAUGCCUCACGUCGCUCGGUCGAUACCCUGACCGAACCUUUCAAAAAUUUCGCCCUUUAUUUAAAACAUCGCUCAUAGGCGAGGGAUAACUCAGAUCUUAGCUCAAGACUACCGUAGUCUUUCCUAGCUUAGAUCGAUACAACACAUACGCAGCGGAAUAAUAUCAUCAUCCAUUGGUCUAUAACCAAUCUAAUACUUGUCCGGUAGAAUCACCUCAGCUUAUGGUUAGUAUACUCAACUACCAGCUAGCUCCCAGGUUGAUUCUGAACACGAACCAAGUCAUACAAAUCUGAGGUUCCGUUUCCCUAACCAUUCUAUCUAGAUCUAUGCAACAUUGCUAGAUCAUACCUUUGCCACAUCCACGGAGCUAGUUAGCUCAUCGGGCCAGCUACUCUAGCUGAAUGAACUCAUAGACCAGCUGAUCGAGCUGUCACACUCGAACUGAGCUAGGACCGAGCUAUGGCCAGCUGCCAUAUACUGCGGCCAGCUCCUUUACACACACAAAACAACUCCCUUAGGUACUUAGUCAUUCAGCCAACCAUCCCCACAGACAUAAGUAACCCUUGAGAAGUCUUCAAACGGCUAAGGACAUGCAUCUGGCCCUUACUGGCUCAUGCACUGUCCCACAUCCUUUUGCCUUAUCAACUUAUGAUACCAAGUCCAGCUCAUGGAAUAACAACGCCCUUCAGAUCCUGAGUCAAUCAACCAACCCCCCCACAUGACCCAGAACUGAUGAGUCUUCACACGUACCUAACCGGCCAUGGAACCAUGUCCUAACGAAGCCGAUCAAUCCUCCUAUUACCACCGGUGCAUCCUUUGAUCAAUCAGAUCAGACACCUUGAUCCAUCACCUAUGGAUCAGGUCAUCCAUCCUUGCCAAAGAUCAGAUUACACACGGCCUUCUUUAGAUAAACACACCGGCCCCAUACUUGUGGUCCAUGCCACUUAGUACUCGCCUCCACGGCUUGCUGCUGGUUCCAAAUGAAUUGGACCUUGCACCCCACAUGGUUCCUCAUGUACUAGGAUCCCCAUGUGUCUCCUCCAGGAUUCGGAUCAUUGAUUCACACCAUGAUCAGAACUAACACACACACCAUGAUCCACCAUGGAUCACUAACACACACACACAUGGAUGAGUUAGAUCAACUAAGAUCCGCCCCUUAUAUCAGGGUCCUGGAUCCUUAGUUUACAUCACAACAUAUGGUAUUCAAGGGGCGUGCCAUACUUGGCCUUAACCGCACCACAAGAGACAGAAACAUAACCUUGAAAGUAAUUAUAAAAUCAGUUACCUUAUAAAUGAUCUGAUUAGAUCAAGUCCCUUUCCUUAUUAUGUUCGGCCAUGCUCCUCCAGUGCACGACUCUAUCAAUCCUUAUCACAUACCUCCUGUAUUGAUAAGAUCCAUUCAUGGGUCGCACCCCUGAUCCCUUCCAUGGAACUUCCAUGAAACCAGUUUCUACACUGCAUCCACCUUCAAGGCUAUUCAUGCCAUUGUGAGGGAAGUCCGGCCUUCUCCCUUCUCCCCUGGGUAUUUGCGUGUGUUCCCAAGAUACAGGGGAAGCCUAGGACGUGGUCAUCCGUGGUGAAAACCUACCACAGGGUCGUUCAUACCUCCCCUUGCACUUCCAUGAAACUGCCCUCCCACACACCUCUCUCCUUAAGGCUGUCAUGGCCUUUGGGAAUGAAUUCCGGUCAUCUACCUUCUUUCCUCACCUUUUGCGUGUGUUCUCAGGCCCUGUAGGAUGCUUUCGGUGAUAACAUCACGGAUCAAAACCACCAUAAAGUCGUUCAUAACUUCCCCCCUUGAUCUCUCCCAAAACUGCCUCUUUAUGACCUUCACACCACCAUGGGUCUUGGAUUGGGAAUCCGACCAACUCUCUGUCUUUUCUCUGUGUUUCUUUGUGUUUCAGGGUGUAGGAGGAAGCCCUGGCGUGCCUGCAAAGGCACGGACUUCCCUGCCUUUUAUAGAAGAAGGGGCAGUUACCUUUCCAAAGGUUGCACCCUUUCGGUAUCAUUUCUGGCCAUUGAUUUAAUCAAUGGUCCAGAUCAUACCCAUUUGCCUCAGGCAGUUUCCAGACGCCCUGGGCUUGCCAAUCCACUCCUGCACAAGUCCAAACAAGCCCACACGGAUUGCCCAAGCUUCUGGCUCAAUCCCAAGAGCCAACCAGCCCAUCGGUACACCCGGGUCUCCCACUUGGCCCGGCCACUGUCCAGACCCGGCCCAACUGCCCAUGACUUGAACACUCAGUCCAGCUGAGUUGAGCUGAUCCCCAGCUGACCCAGCUGAGUGAGCUAGACCAUCCAGCUCAGGGAGAUGACCUACACUUCAGUGAGCUACAUUGAGCUGCACUACACUUCACCUAGCUGGUCGAGCUUGCUUACUGCAUCGCCCAGCUGUUAUACACUGUGUCCAGCUUGCUUCCUUUAUCUUCUUCAAUUCUUCUAAGUCCCUUGGUCUAUUUCCAGACCUAUACUUAGUUCUCCCAUGAUCCAUUCUGAUCACCCACUUCAAUCGAGCUUCACCUGGAUCUCGUCCAGCUACCAGCUCGCUUGUCCAGCUCCUUUGAGCUUGCAUCUGCCUUAUUUUGGUUAAGUUCCAGCUACCUGAUUCCCUUAACCACCUUUUGGACCAUGACACGCUUGUCUUUAGAUCAUGUGACCUGACUGGUGCGUCUCCUCGCACUAAAGUCUGUCCGGACGAUCCUAUCCAGGAUCGGGGACAUGACAAGUCUCCCCCACUUAGGAUGGAUUCGUCCUCGAAUCCUGUGGUGUUGCCGUCUUGUCUGAAGAAAAAAGAUUCCAACCGAAUGCAUCCAGAACAUAGAGCAUGCUCGAUUGGUUCUUCCAAACCAAUUUGCUGCAUCUCCCUCCUUGUCCCUCCUCACUGAUCACGUCUUGAUCACUAUCUACACAAGUCUCCCCCACUUGAUAGAGAUUUUACCCAAAAUCUUAUCAAGUGAUCCAUCAAGCACCCAUACAAAGACAUGACUUGUGUCACUGACCCAACUCUCCAGGUUGCGUUCCUAGUAGACACCAAGUCCAUGUAGAACACUUUAGUUCCAUGACUAGAUCAAAUUCAGCCGCUAGGAAAAUACUGCGUACUCAAGUCUUAGAAGAUUCAACCAAUCUCCAAGCCACUCGGUGCACCAGCCAAGUCCUAGCGAACAUGUUCCAAUCUUUAGGUUGAUCACUCUACCAUGAGUCCUAACAGAUUGUUUUGUUCCCUUAAGUCAUUCGCGGACAAUAAGGUUUAUGAUUCCAGCCCUCAAUUACUGGAUCAUUCCCGAACCAGCCACAGCCUCUCCCAGCUUGGCCAUAUUGCCAUCUUAGCCCAAGACUAAACCGCCUUAACUUUACUUCUGUCCAAACCGGACUUUGUCAUAUUACGAUCCUGGUCCAUUUAGGACGUGAUCACAUACCAGUCCUGGUCCACUCAGGGACUAGACCGUUACACCCCGACCAUAGGUCCAUCUCCGAGUAGGUCGUGUCCUGAUCCUCAUCCUUUGACGGACUUGAUCAUAUUGCGGUUCUGGUCCACUCCAGUACUCAACCGUCUCACCCCAACCAUAGGUCAAUCUCCGACAUGGUUGUGCUGCGAUCCUCAUCCCUCACUGGACUUGAUCGACUUCACCUCAGCCAUCUUAGCUGGUGCCAUUCUAUUUGGACUUUUAGAUAAUGGGGCCGUAGCAGGUUCCAAUUCAAUGAUGAAUGGGUCAGCCCUAUAAGGGGGAAUGCCCUGUAGUGCCCCAAACACUUCCUGAAAUUCCCGAACCAACGGUAUACCCUCUGGGUCACAGGCCCCUACAACCUCAUCAGUGUAAAUGGUAGCCAAAAAGGCCUCACAACCAUUUCCAAGUAUCCGUUCUACUUGGACUGCUGAAACCACCAAACUACAAGAGGUUGGCUUAAUUCCUUGGUACUUAAUCGGGGGUCCAAACUCGUUCUCAAGUUGCACCCUUCCCCGGUGACAAUCUAGAGUUGCCCGAUACUUUCCCAACCAGUCCAUGCCCAAGAUCCCCGAUACUUUCCCAACCAGUCAUCUAGAGUUGCCCGAUACUUUCCCAACCAGUCCAUGCCCAAGAUCACUUCAUGAUGCUUGAGGGGGACAACAAUCAGAUCUAUAGGCAUCGGCUUAUCCAAGAUCACCACAGGGAUGUCCUUAACCAGACCGAGUGAGUUCAUAACUUGUCCUACUCACUCGUUCAGGACCGUCCCAUGUUCCAUACUGGAACAAACCUUUUCCAAUCAUAGUUGGACUCACAAAACUAUGUGUAGCUCCAGUAUCAAAUAAUGUGUUUCCACACCACCGAUCAUUAAGUACUUAGAUGAGUAGGAUAUCGGUUUGAUCACACAUUUGGAAAAUGUCCCAUACCAUUCUCCAAAGCAUCACACAUCUGUGAACGUCCCAUACCAUUCUCCAAAGCAUCACACUUCUGUAUACCUCAAUCCUCAUCAUACUAAGAUACUUAACAUCGUGUUUCCAAUUCCUCUUGGAAUUGAUCCAUUCAAUUCACUCAAUCUUAAGGAAUCCUACCUUGACUUACACUGAGUCCAAGCUGAUCCAUCUGAUCACAAGCCCACUCAUGUACUAGCCAUGUAGCGUCUCCCUUAGACUAACAUGUACAUUGCAUAUGCUCACUUGUUUUGAACGGCCACCAAGGGAUAACAUUUACCUCCAAGAGAGUGCUGCACGUUUCUUUCAACGUAAGCCACUCUCUGGUCCAUGUUACUUCCCUUGUCCAGGUCGUCCAUACAAAGAUCUUGCAUUGCGUCCAUCAUCCAAUCCGUCUACUAUUCCCAAAUAAUUAGAUAAACUAACCUUUAUGUUUUCAGGGUCUUUCCGUGGAAGAGUGUAUCUUGGCUAAACCGGCUCAUGUUGGAACUUCCCCAUUCACAAGCAUGAAACCCAAUCUUACCUCAACUCUCGCUUGGCUCACCAAAGCUAAGGUUCCAAGUCAUCAUAGUUUUCAGAAAUAAUUUCGGUUUGGAACUCAGCAUCCUUGAGCACUGUCCGUAACAGGAUCAAGCAUGCUCUGAUACCAACUUGUAAGACCCGAUCCUGGCCGACUAGGCCGCGGUCGAUGCCUCACGUCGCUCGGUCGAUACCCUGACCGAACCUCUCAAAAUUUUCGCCCUUUAUUUAAAACAUCGCCCAUUGGCGAGGGCUAACUCAGAUCUUAGCUCAAGACUACCAUAGUCUUUCCUAACUUAGAUAAAUACAACACAUACGCAGCGGAAUAAUAUCAUCAUCCAUUGGUCUAUAACCAAUCUAAUACUUGUCCGGUCGAAUCACCUCAGCUAAUGGUUAGUAUACUCAACUACCAGCUAGCUCCAAGGUUGAUUCUGAACACGAACCAAGUCAUACAAAUCUGAGGUUCCAUUUCCCUAACCAUUCUAUCUAGAUCUAUGCAACAUUUCUAGAUCAUACCUUUGCCACAUCCACGGAGCUUGUUAGCUCAUCAGCCCAGCUACUCUAGCUGAAUGAACUCAUAGACCAGCUGAUCGAGCUGUCACACUCGAACUGAGCUAGGACCGAGCUAUGGCCAGCUGCCAUAUACUGCAUCCAGCUCCUUUACACACACAAAACAACUCCCUUAGGUACUUAGUCAUUCAGCCGACAAUCCCCACAGACAUAAGUAACCCUUGAGAAGUCUUCAAACAGCUAAGGACAUGCAUCUGGCCCUUACAGGCUCAUGCACUGUCCCACAUCGUUUUGCCUUAUCAACUUAUGAUACCAAGUCCAGCUCAUGGAAUAACAACGCCCAUCAGAUCCUGAGUCAAUCAACCAACCACCCCACAUGACCCAGAACUGAUGAGUCUUCACACGUACCUAACCGGCCAUGGAACCAUGUCCCAACGAAGCCGAUCAGUCCUCCUCUUACCACCGGUGCAUCCUUUGAUCAAUCAGAUCAGACACCUUGAUCCAGAACCUAUGGAUCAGGUCAUCCAUCCUUGCCAAAGAUCAGAUUACACACAGCCUUCUUUAGAUAAACACACCAGCCCCAUACUUGUGGUCCAUGCCACUUAGUACUGGCCUUACUCGCCUCCACGGCUUGCUGCUGGUUCCAAAUGAAUUGGACCUUGCACCCCACAAGGUUCCUCAUGUAAAAGGAUCCCCAUGGGUCUCCUCCAUGAUUCGGAUCAUUGAUUCACACCAUGAUCAGAACUAACACACACACCAUGAUCCACCAUGGAUCACUAUCCAAUGAGUGGCCUCUAACUUCAAUCCCACAUGGAUGAGUUAGAUCAACUAAGAUCCGCCCCUUAUCUCAGGGUCCUGGAUCCUUAGUUUACAUCACAACAUAUGGUCUUCAAGGGGCGUGCCAUACUUGGUCCUGGAUCCUUAGUUUACAUCACAACAUAUGGUCUUCAAGAGACAGAAACAUAACCUUGAAAGUAAUUAUAAAAUCUGUUACCUUAUACAUGAUCUGAUUAGAUCAAGUGCCUUUCCUUAUUAUGUUUGGCCAUGCUCCUCCAGUGCACGCCUCUAUCAAUCCUUAUCACAUACCUCCUGUAUUGAUAAGAUCCGUUCAUGGGUCGCACCCCUGAUCCCUUCCAUGGAACUUCCAUGAACCCAGUUUCUACACUGCAUCCACCUUCAAGGCUAUUCAUGCCAUUGUGAGGGAAGUCCGGCCUUCUCCCUUCUCUCCGGGUAUUUGCGUGUGUUCCCAAGAUACAGGGGAAGCCUAGGACGUGUUCAUCAGUGGUGAAAACCUACCACAGGGUCGUUCAUAACUCCCCUUGCACUUCCAUGAAACUGCCCUCCCACACACCUCUCUCCUCAAGGCUGUCUUGGCCUUUGGGAAUGAAUUCCGGUCAUCUACCUUCUUUCCUAACCAUUUGUGUGUGUUCUCAGGCCCUGUAGGAUGCUUUGGGUGAUAACAUCACGGAUCAAAACCACCAGAAAGUCGUUCAUAACUUCCCCCCUUGAUCUCUCCCAAAACUGCCUCUUUGUGACCUUCACACCACCAUGGGUCUUGGAUUGGGAAUCCGACCAACUCUCUGUCUUUUCUCUGUAAUUCUUUGUGUUUCAGGGUGUAGGAGGAAGCCCUGGCGUGCCUUCAAAGGCACGGACUUGGGAGGAAGCCCUGGCGUGCCUGCAAAGGCACGGACUUCCCUGCCUUUUAUAGAAGAAGGGGCAGUUACCUUUCCAAAGGUUGCACCCUUUCGGUAUCAUUUCUGGCCAUUGAUUUAAUCAAUGGUCCAGAUCAUACCGAUUCACCUCAGGCAGUUUCCAGACGCCCUGGGCUUGCCAAUCCACUCCUGGACAAGUACAAACAAGCCCACACGGAUUGCCCAAGCUCCUGGCUCAAUCCCAAGAGCCAACCAGCCCAUCGGUACACCCGGGUCGCCCACAUGGCCCGGCCACUGUCCAGACCCGGCCCAACUGCCCAUGACUUGAACACUCAGUCCAGCUGAGUUGAGCUGAUCCCCAGCUGACCCAGCUGAGUGAGCUAGACCAUCCAGCUCAGGGAGAUGACCUACACUUCAGUGAGCUACAUUGAGCUGCACUACACUUCACCUAGCUGGUCGAGCUUGCUUACUGCAUCGCCCAGCUAUUAUACACUGUGUCCAGCUUGCUUCCUUUAUCUUCUUCAAUUCUUCUAUGUCCCUUGGUGUAUUUCCAGACCUAUACUUAGUUCUCCCAUGAUCCAUUCUGAUCACCCACUUCAAUCGAGCUUCACCUGGAACUCUUCCAGCUACGAGCUCGCUUGUCCAGCUCCUUUGAUCUUGCAUCUGCCUUAUUUUGGAUAUGUUCCAGCUACCUGAUUCCCUUAACCACGUUUUUACCUGAUUCCCUUAACCACGUUCCAGCUACCUGAUUCCCUUAACCACGUUUUGGACCAUGACACGCUUGUCUUUAGGUCAUGUGACCUGACUGGUGCGUCUCCUCGCACUAAAGUCUGUCCGGACGAUCCUAUCCAGGAUCAGGGACAUGACAAGUCUCCCCCACUUAGGAUGGAUUCGUCCUCGAAUCCUGUGGUGUUGCCGUCUUGUCUGAAGACAAAUGAUUCCAACCGAAUUCUUUGCAUCCAGAACAUAGAGCAUGCUCGAUUGGUUCUUCUUAACCAAUUCGUUGCAUCUCCCUCCUUGUCCCUCCUCACUGAUCACGUCUUGAUCACCAUCUACACAAGUCUCCCCCCACUUGAUAGAGAUUUUACCCAAAAUCUUAUCAAGUGAUCCAUCAAGCACCUAUACAAAGACAUGACUUGUGUCACUGACCCAACUCUCCAGGUUGCGUUCCUAGUAGACACCAAGUCCAUGUAGAACACUUUAGUUCCAUGACUAGAUCAAAUUCACUCGCUAGGAACAUACUGCGUACUCAAGUCUUAGAAGAUUCAACCAAUCUCAAAGCCACUCUAUGCACCAGCCAAGUCCUAGCGAACAUGUUCCAAUCUUUAGGUUGAUCACUCUACCAUGAGUCCUAACAGAUUGUUUUGUUCCCUUAAGUCCUUCCCGGACAAUAAGGUUUAUGAUUCCAGCCCCCAAUUACUGGAACAUUCCUUAACCAGCCACAGCCUCUCCCAGCUUGGCCAUAUUCCCAUCUUAGCCCUUACAAGACUAAACCGCCUCAACUUGACUUCUGUCCAAACUGGACUUUGUCAUAUUUUGAUCCUAGUCCAUUUAGGACGUGAUCAUAUUCCAGUCCUGGUCCACUCAGGGACUAGACCGUUACACCCCGACCAUAGGUCCAUCUCCGAGUAGGUCAUGUCCUGAUCCUCAUCCUUUGACGGACUUGAUCAUAUUGCGGUUCUGGUCCACUCCAGGACUUAACCGUCUCACCCCAACCAUAGGUCAAUCUCCGACUUGGUUGUGCUGCGAUCCUCAUCCCUCACUAGACUUGAUCGACUUCAGCUCAGCCAUCUUAGCUGGUGCCAUUCUAUAUGGACUUUUAGAUAAUGGGGACGUUCCAGGUUCCAAUUCAAUGAUGAAUGGGUCAGCCCUAUCAGGGGGAAUACCCUGUAGUGCCCCAAACAUUUCCUGAAAUUCCCGAACCAACGGUAUACCCUCUGGGUCACAGGCCCCUACAACCUCAUCAGUGUAAAUGGUAACCAAAAAGGCCUCACAACCAUUUCCAAGUAUCCGUUCUAAUUGGACUGCUGAAACCACCAAGCUACAAGAGGUUGGCUUGAUUCCUUGGUACUUAAUCGGGGUCCAAACUCGUUCUCAAGUUGCACCCUUCCCCGGUGAUAAUCUAGAGUUCCCCGAUACUUUCCCAACCAGUCCAUGCCCAAGAUCCCCGAUACUUUCCCAACCAGUCGAGUUCCCCGAUACUUUCCCAACCAGUCCAUGCCCAAGAUCACUUCAUGAUGCUUGAGGGGGACAACAAUCAGAUCUAUAGGCAUCGGCCUAUCCAAGAUCACCACAGGGAUGUCCUUUACCAGACCGAGUGAGUUCAUAACUUGUCCUACUCACUCGUUCAGUACCGUCCCAUGUUCCAUACUGAAACAAACCUUUUCCAAUCAUACUUGGACUCACAAAACUAUGUGUAGCUCCAGUAUUGGACUCACAAAACUAUGUGUAGAAAACUAUGUGUAGCUCCAGUAUCAAAUAAUGUGUUUCCACACCACCGAUCAUUAAGUACUUAGAUGAGUAGGAUCUCGGUUUGAUCACACAUUUGGAAAAUGUCCAAUACCAUUCUCCAAAGCAUCACACAUCUGUGAACGUCCCAUACCAUUCACAAAAGUGUUUAUAGUAUACCUCAAUCCUCAUCAUACUAAGAUACUUAACAUCGUGUUUCCAAUUCCUCUUGGAAUUGAUCCAUUCCAUUCACUCAAUCUUAAGGAAUCCUACCUUGACUUACACUGAGUCCAAGCUGAUCCAUCUGAUCAUAAGCCCACUCAUGUACUAGCCAUGUAGCGUCUCCCUUAGACUAACAUGAACAUUGCAUAUGCUCACUUGUUUUGAACGGCCACCAAGGGAACAUUGCAUAUGCUCACUUGUAUGAACAUUGCAUAUGCUCACUUGUUUUGAACGGCCACCAAGGGAUAACAUUUACCUCCAAGAGAGUGCUGCACGUUUCUUUCAACUUAAGCCACUCUCUGGUCCAUGUUACUUCCCUUGUCCAGGUCGUCCAUUCAAAGAUCUUGCAUUGCGUCCAUCAUCCAAUCCGUCUACUAUUCCCAAAUAACUAGAUAAACUAACCUUUAUGUUUUCAGGGUCUUGCUGUGGAAGAGUGUAUCUUGGCUAAGCCGGCUCAUCUUGGAACUUCCCCAUUCACAAGCAUGAAACCCAAUCUUACCUCAACUCUCGCUUGGCUCACCAAAGCUAAGGUUCCAAGUCAUCAUAGUUUUCAGAAAUAAUUUCGGUUUGGAACUCAACAUCCUUGAGCACUGUCCGUAACAGGAUCAAGCAUGCUCUGAUACCAACUUGUAAGACCUGAUCCUGGCCGACUAGGCCGCGGUCGAUGCCUCACGUCGCUCGGUCGAUACCCUGACCGAACCUCUCAAAAUUUUCGCCCUAUAUUUAAAACAUCGCCCAUAGGCGAGGGCUAACUCAGAUCUUAGCUCAAGACUACCAUAGUCUUUCCUAGCUUAGAUCAAUACAACACAUACGCAGCGGAAUAAUAUCAUCAUCCAUUGGUCUAUAACCAAUCUAAUACUUGUCCGGUAGAAUCACCUCAGCUUAUGGUUAGUAUACUCAACUACCAGCUAGCUCCAAGGUUGAUUCUGAACACGAACCAAGUCAUACAAAUCUGAGGUUCCGUUUCCCUAACCAUUCAAUCUAGAUCAAUGCAACAUUGCUAGAUCAUACCUUUGCCACAUCCACGGAGCUUGUUAGCUCAUCGGCCCAGCUACUCUAGCUGAAUGAACUCAUAGACGAGCUGAUCGAGCUGUCACACUCGUACUGAGAUAGGACCGAGCUAUGGCCAGCUGCCAUAUACUGCGUCCAGCUCCUUUACACACACAAAACAACUCCCUUAGGUACUUAGUCAUUCAGCCAACAAUCCCCACAGACAUAAGUAACCCUUGAGAAGUCUUCAAACAGCUAAGGACAUGCAUCUGGCCCUUACCGGCUCAUGCACUGUCCCACAUCCUUUUGCCUUAUCAACUUAUGAUACCAAGUCCAGCUCAUGGAAUAACAACGCCCAUCAGAUCCUGAGUCAAUCAACCAACCACCCCACAUGAACCAGAACUGAUGAGUCUUCACACGUACCUAACAGGCCAUGGAACCAUGUCCCAACGAAGCCGAUCAUUCCUCCUUUUACCACCGGUGCAUCCUUUGAUCAAUCAGAUCAGACACCUUGAUCCAUCACCUAUGGAUCAGGUCAUCCAUCCUUGCCAAAGAUCAGAUUACACACGGCCUUCUUUAGAUAAACACACCGGCCCCAUACUUGUGGUCCAUGCCACAUAGUACUAGCCUUACUCGCCUCCACGGCUUGCUGCUGGUUCCAUGAUCUAAGUUAGCUCUCGCCCAUGUGUCUCCUCCAUGAUUCGGAUCAUUGAUUCACACCUUGAUCAGAACUAACACACACACCAUGAUCCAACAUGGAUCACUAUCCAAUGAGUGGCCUCUAACUUCCAUCCCACAUGGAUGAGUUAGAUCAACUAAGAUCUGCCCCUUAUCUCAGGGUCCUGGAUCCUUAGUUUACAUCACAACAUAUGGUAUUCAAGGGGCGUGCCAUACUUGGCCUUAACCGCACCACAAGAGACAGAAACAUAACCUUGAAAGUAAUUAUAAAAUCAGUUACCUUAUACAUGAUCUGAUUAGAUCAAGUGCCUUUCCUUAUUAUGUUCGGCCAUGCUCCUACAGUGCACGCGUCUAUCAGUACUUAUCACAUACCUCCUGUAUUGAUAAGAUCCAUUCAUGGGUCGCACCCCUGAUCCCUUCGAUGGAACUUCCAUGAAACCAGUUUCUACACUGCAUCCACCUUCAAGGCUAUUCAUGCCAUUGUGAGGGAAGUCCGUCCUUCUCCCUUCUCUCCUGGGUAUUUGCGUGUGUUCCCAAGAUACAGGGGAAGCCUAGGACGUGUUCAUCCGUGGUGAAAACCUACCACAGGGUCGUUCAUAACUCCCCUUGCACUUCCAUGAAACUGCCCUCCCACACACCUCUCUCCUUAAGGCUGUCUUGGCCUUUGGGAAUGAAUUCGAGCUCGGUACCCGGGGAUCCUCUAGAGUCGACCUGCAGGCAUGCAAGCUUGAGUAUUCUAUAGUCUCACCUAAAUAGCUUGGCGUAAUCAUGGUCAUAGCUGUUUCCUGUGUGAAAUUGUUAUCCGCUCACAAUUCCACACAACAUACGAGCCGGAAGCAUAAAGUGUAAAGCCUGGGGUGCCUAAUGAGUGAGCUAACUCACAUUAAUUGCGUUGCGCUCACUGCCCGCUUUCCAGUCGGGAAACCUGUCGUGCCAGCUGCAUUAAUGAAUCGGCCAACGCGAACCCCUUGCGGCCGCCCGGGCCGUCGACCAAUUCUCAUGUUUGACAGCUUAUCAUCGAAUUUCUGCCAUUCAUCCGCUUAUUAUCACUUAUUCAGGCGUAGCAACCAGGCGCUUCCUCGCUCACUGACUCGCUGCGCUCGGUCGUUCGGCUGCGGCGAGCGGUAUCAGCUCACUCAAAGGCGGUAAUACGGUUAUCCACAGAAUCAGGGGAUAACGCAGGAAAGAACAUGUGAGCAAAAGGCCAGCAAAAGGCCAGGAACCGUAAAAAGGCCGCGUUGCUGGCGUUUUUCCAUAGGCUCCGCCCCCCUGACGAGCAUCACAAAAAUCGACGCUCAAGUCAGAGGUGGCGAAACCCGACAGGACUAUAAAGAUACCAGGCGUUUCCCCCUGGAAGCUCCCUCGUGCGCUCUCCUGUUCCGACCCUGCCGCUUACCGGAUACCUGUCCGCCUUUCUCCCUUCGGGAAGCGUGGCGCUUUCUCAUAGCUCACGCUGUAGGUAUCUCAGUUCGGUGUAGGUCGUUCGCUCCAAGCUGGGCUGUGUGCACGAACCCCCCGUUCAGCCCGACCGCUGCGCCUUAUCCGGUAACUAUCGUCUUGAGUCCAACCCGGUAAGACACGACUUAUCGCCACUGGCAGCAGCCACUGGUAACAGGAUUAGCAGAGCGAGGUAUGUAGGCGGUGCUACAGAGUUCUUGAAGUGGUGGCCUAACUACGGCUACACUAGAAGAACAGUAUUUGGUAUCUGCGCUCUGCUGAAGCCAGUUACCUUCGGAAAAAGAGUUGGUAGCUCUUGAUCCGGCAAACAAACCACCGCUGGUAGCGGUGGUUUUUUUGUUUGCAAGCAGCAGAUUACGCGCAGAAAAAAAGGAUCUCAAGAAGAUCCUUUGAUCUUUUCUACGGGGUCUGACGCUCAGUGGAACGAAAACUCACGUUAAGGGAUUUUGGUCAUGAGAUUAUCAAAAAGGAUCUUCACCUAGAUCCUUUUAAAUUAAAAAUGAAGUUUUAAAUCAAUCUAAAGUAUAUAUGAGUAAACUUGGUCUGACAGUUACCAAUGCUUAAUCAGUGAGGCACCUAUCUCAGCGAUCUGUCUAUUUCGUUCAUCCAUAGUUGCCUGACUCCCCGUCGUGGAGAUAACUACGAUACGGGAGGGCUUACCAUCUGGCCCCAGUGCUGCAAUGAUACCGCGAGACCCACGCUCACCGGCUCCAGAUUUAUCAGCAAUAAACCAGCCAGCCGGAAGGGCCGAGCGCAGAAGUGGUCCUGCAACUUUAUCCGCCUCCAUCCAGUCUAUUAAUUGUUGCCGGGAAGCUAGAGUAAGUAGUUCGCCAGUUAAUAGUUUGCGCAACGUUGUUGCCAUUGCUACAGGCAUCGUGGUGUCACGCUCGUCGUUUGGUAUGGCUUCAUUCAGCUCCGGUUCCCAACGAUCAAGGCGAGUUACAUGAUCCCCCAUGUUGUGCAAAAAAGCGGUUAGCUCCUUCGGUCCUCCGAUCGUUGUCAGAAGUAAGUUGGCCGCAGUGUUAUCACUCAUGGUUAUGGCAGCACUGCAUAAUUCUCUUACUGUCAUGCCAUCCGUAAGAUGCUUUUCUGUGACUGGUGAGUACUCAACCAAGUCAUUCUGAGAAUAGUGUAUGCGGCGACCGAGUUGCUCUUGCCCGGCGUCAAUACGGGAUAAUACCGCGCCACAUAGCAGAACUUUAAAAGUGCUCAUCAUUGGAAAACGUUCUUCGGGGCGAAAACUCUCAAGGAUCUUACCGCUGUUGAGAUCCAGUUCGAUGUAACCCACUCGUGCACCCAACUGAUCUUCAGCAUCUUUUACUUUCACCAGCGUUUCUGGGUGAGCAAAAACAGGAAGGCAAAAUGCCGCAAAAAAGGGAAUAAGGGCGACACGGAAAUGUUGAAUACUCAUACUCUUCCUUUUUCAAUAUUAUUGAAGCAUUUAUCAGGGUUAUUGUCUCAUGAGCGGAUACAUAUUUGAAUGUAUUUAGAAAAAUAAACAAAUAGGGGUUCCGCGCACAUUUCCCCGAAAAGUGCCACCUGACGUCUAAGAAACCAUUAUUAUCAUGACAUUAACCUAUAAAAAUAGGCGUAUCACGAGGCCCUUUCGUCUCGCGCGUUUCGGUGAUGACGGUGAAAACCUCUGACACAUGCAGCUCCCGGAGACGGUCACAGCUUGUCUGUAAGCGGAUGCCGGGAGCAGACAAGCCCGUCAGGGCGCGUCAGCGGGUGUUGGCGGGUGUCGGGGCUGGCUUAACUAUGCGGCAUCAGAGCAGAUUGUACUGAGAGUGCACCAUAAAAUUGUAAACGUUAAUAUUUUGUUAAAAUUCGCGUUAAAUUUUUGUUAAAUCAGCUCAUUUUUUAACCAAUAGGCCGAAAUCGGCAAAAUCCCUUAUAAAUCAAAAGAAUAGCCCGAGAUAGGGUUGAGUGUUGUUCCAGUUUGGAACAAGAGUCCACUAUUAAAGAACGUGGACUCCAACGUCAAAGGGCGAAAAACCGUCUAUCAGGGCGAUGGCCCACUACGUGAACCAUCACCCAAAUCAAGUUUUUUGGGGUCGAGGUGCCGUAAAGCACUAAAUCGGAACCCUAAAGGGAGCCCCCGAUUUAGAGCUUGACGGGGAAAGCCGGCGAACGUGGCGAGAAAGGAAGGGAAGAAAGCGAAAGGAGCGGGCGCUAGGGCGCUGGCAAGUGUAGCGGUCACGCUGCGCGUAACCACCACACCCGCCGCGCUUAAUGCGCCGCUACAGGGCGCGUACUAUGGUUGCUUUGACGUAUGCGGUGUGAAAUACCGCACAGAUGCGUAAGGAGAAAAUACCGCAUCAGGCGCCAUUCGCCAUUCAGCGGGUGUCGGGGCUGGCUUAACUAUGCGGCAUCAGAGCAGAUUGUACUGAGAGUGCACCAUAUGCGGUGUGAAAUACCACACAGAUGCGUAAGGAGAAAAUACCGCAUCAGGCGCCAUUCGCCAUUCAGCUGCGCAACUGUUGGGAAGGGCGAUCGGUGCGGGCCUCUUCGCUAUUACGCCAGCUGGCGAAAGGGGGAUGUGCUGCAAGGCGAUUAAGUUGGGUAACGCCAGGGUUUUCCCAGUCACGACGUUGUAAAACGACGGCCAGUGAAUUGUAAUACGACUCACUAUAGGGCGAAUUCAAUUUCAAAGGAAAUCCAACUCACCAAGGAUUCACUGAGGAUUGGAAUCACUUGAAAAGCAUCACGGAGGAAGGAGUUAUGAAUUUUCCAAACCGGAGAUUCUCCAGUCUGUCUAUCCUCGAGUACCAGACUUCUAAAGGAGAUUGAGGCUCAAGAAAGGAGCGGCCUAAGCCAAAACCGAUCCUCAAUGAACCAAAGGUCUUUCCUCAGUUAACCUCCUGUCCAAACCAAAAGCACUGUAAGGAUCAUGGGUUGAUUGUCUCUGCUCAUCUUGAAAAUGUUUUAAAACCGAGAAUUUCUAAGCAAAAACAAAUCUUACUUGGUUGAAAAACGUUUUGCUUAAACAUUUUCUUGAAUUGUUUUCAUUGAGCUGUGGUUUGAAAGAUAUUUGGUUUAAGAAAAGGAAUGAACCAAAAUUGCUUAGGCCAAAAAAUCAAUUUGAUUUCAUUCAUGAUGACGAUAGAGAAACCCUUUGAUUAUUUCUUUCGCAGAUUUGAUGUGGUUUCUCUAGUUGUUUUGAAUGAACAUGAUAAGCAUAUCAGUUUCCAAGGAGAGCAAGCCCUGGUGAAUGCCAAAGGACUUGUGUUCGUGGAACAUGAAACCGCACAUACCUGAGGGAAACGAGUUCAAACAUCCAAAGAAGUUUCUGUCCAAACUUUUCAUUCAUUGAAUUUUCCAUGAAUUUAAAAUCCUUUGUAUCUGAUUUAUUCGCUUUUGAUACAUGUACAAUGGAUUUGAGGACACGAGGACCAAAGGGUGCAUCGUGAUCAAAGGUUGCGUGUUGCCAAAGAUCAUGUCGUGAUCCAAGAGGUACGAACGUGUCGUGAUCCAAGAGGUACGAACGUGUCGUGAUCCAAGAGGUUCGAACGUAUCAUGAUCCAUCGGAUGUGAACGGUUCGUGACCGAAAGGGUACAAACGGGUUGGGACUGAAAGGGUACAAACGGAACGGGACCGAAAAGGGUACGAGUGGUUCAAUGGUCACAAGGACACCAAAUGCAUUAUGUUGGGCGUGGACCCACAUGAUAGCAAUAGGUUGUCCUACAGGUCAAUACAUGAGUGUAAGGAAAUAGCGAAGGCCUUAAGGCUAGUGCAAUCCGUACAACAUGAUUGAUGUAUGAACCAUAAUCCAUGGUCAAUGGAUGAAGGUUCGGGCAGCAAAGGCUAAGUGGGAUAUCUUACGAUAAACCUUUGCUUGGUGAGUAAGAUAGGGGCCAUAUGCCUCAUGUAGGGCAUAGACCCACAUGAUGGCAAUGGAAGGCCGGUUAUAUCAGUACAUGCUAAGUGGACGAUGGCUUAUCAAGUCUAGUGGUCGGAUCAUGUUUCAUGACAAUGGUUCGAUGGCCGAACACUAGUAUGGAUAGUCACGUUGCUGGAGUAAGAGUAUUGAUGUGAUGCUUCUAGAUAUCAACGUUGGUGUUAAUAGCUUCGAGAUUGGCUAAGAGUCAUGACGAAGUGUGUGGUUAGUACUAUGUGUCGUAGACCAUAGAUACUGAGCCUAAGUGUUUCAAGAAAGGCCGUGUAAGAUCUGAUCAUGAUUGAGUAUGGAAGACCUUACCUCUGAAUGAUGGUUCAAGGUGUCAGUCCUAACCUCAUUAAUUAAUGCAUCGGUUGGUAUGAACAAAUCAUAUAUGUUGUCUGGGUUAAGUCCCAAGGCCGGUCAGGCCAGAUGAAGACUCAUCAGUUCCAAGUCAUGUGAGGAUGGUUGGUUGAUGGACUUAGGAUCUAAUGAGCUUUGUCAGUCCAGAAGAUGGACUUGGUACUAUUGCCUAUAAGGCAAAAGGAUUUCGGAUUGUGCAUGAGCUGAGAAAGGCCUUAUGCAAACCCUUAUCCUUUCAAAGACUUCUCAAAGGUUAUUUAUGUCUAUGGGGAUGGUUGGUUGAAUGACUAAAUACCUAGGGGAGCUGUUUGACGCAGGAGUCAAGAUAAGGACCAUAAGUAAGAUCAUUGAGUGAUCAUGGUCCAGCUGUUAAGCAAGAGCAAUUCGAGUCAAUGGAGGACCGAUGAGCUAAUAAGCUCCAUAGAUGUGGCAAAGGUAUGAUCUAGCAUUUACUGAUGUAGAUCUAGAUAGAAUGGUUUAGGGGAAUGGAACCUCAGAAUCGUAUGGCUUGGUUUUGGUUUAGGAUUGACCUUUAAGCUAAUUGGUAGUUGAGUAACCUGACCAAGGCUAAGGUGAUUCGACCAGACAAGUGUUAGAUUGGUUUUAGACCAAUGGUUAACUAGAGAAUAUUCCGCUGCGUAUCUGUUGAAAGGAUCUAGGCUAUUAAUGACUAGGUAAGUCUUUAGCUAAGGUCUAAGUUAGCCCUCGCCUUUAGGCGAUAUUAUAAAUAAAGGGCAGAAAUUAAGAGGUUCGGCCAGGAAGUGGACCGAGCGACAUGAGGAAUCGACCGCGGCCUAGGCGGCCGGGAUCGGGUCUUACAGAGUCCAAGGGACACGUCCCUAGGCUUUGGCCGAACAUAACCAAACCGCUAGCCUAGACACGGGUCGGUUAGUCGGAUGAUCCGAUCGCACCAAGACUGGAAGGUUAGGACGAACAGUUGGGAAUGACCCAAAGGGCACGAGUUGUCAAGAGUCAUGAGUGUCCAAAAGGCACGAAUGGCCAAAGGGUGCAUGUUCCAAACGGUGUCUUUCGGGACAGGUUAGGACCGAUCCUUAUGGAUCAGCCUAUGGCUUGUCUAGUUAAGACAAGGUCACGGUUUGUCUAAGCCAAGGUAGAGUCGCAAGGUCUGACCGGUUGCUAAGCCUUCCGGAUUAGGCUGGAGGCUUACUCGGCCGAUUGGAUCCAGGGCUAAGGCCGGAUCAGGUAAGGGAGUCCGUUGGGCCAUUGAGCCGGACUCCAUUGGCCGGUCGCACCUAGAUUCUAUCCGGUUAGACGGAUUGGUCUUUGGGGACGAUCCGGAUCUGUUUGUGUGUUCUGUUUAUCUAUUCUGGACUAUCUAUCUGAUUCUAAGUCAAGGGGUGGUUGGUUGAAUGACUUAGGAUACGGUAGGUAGGUUCAUACGUUUUAUGAUUAUGUCCGUGUGUGUCCGUGUGGGUCCGUCAGCACACACAAAACGUAUGUGUGUGUCCAUCAGCACAAACAGGACGUCUGUGGCUGUACGUCAGCACAGAUAGGACAUUCGUGACUGUCCACCAGUACACAUAUCAGCACGUUGGUCCUUGGACUCAGCAAGAUGACCCUCCCCGUGGACUGUUUGGGUGAUUUUGGCCCACGUGGGCUGUUUUUUCAGUACACACAUGACGUUCGUGGGUGUCCGCAGCACACACAGGACGUCCGUGGCUGUCUGUCAGCACACACAGGACGUCCGUGGCUGUCUGUCAGCACACACAGGACGUCCGUGGCUGUCUGUCAGCACACACAGGACGUCCGUGGCUGUCUGUCAGCACACACAGGACGUCCGUGGCUGUCUGUGGCUGUCCGUGUGUGUCCGUUAGCACACACAGGACGUCUGUGGCUGUCCAUCAGUACACAUAUCAGCACACUGGUCCUUGGACUCAGCACGCUGGCACUUCCCGUGGACUAUUCGGGUGAUUUUGGCCCACGUAGGCUGUCUGUUCAGUACACACAGGAUGUCCGGGGGUGUCCGUUAGCAUACACAUGACGUCUGUACCUGUCUGUGGCUGUCCGUUAGCACACACAAGCACACACAGGACGUCCGUGGCUGUCUGUCAGCACACACAGGACGUCCGUGGCUGUCUGUGGCUGUCCGUGUGUGUCCGUUAGCACACACAGGACGUCUGUGGCUGUCCAUCAGUACACAUAUCAGCACACUGGUCCUUGGACUCAGCACGCUGGCACUUCCCGUGGACUAUUCGGGUGAUUUUGGCCCACGUAGGCUGUCUGUUCAGUACACACAGGAUGUCCGGGGGUGUCCGUUAGCAUACACAUGACGUCUGUACCUGUCUGUGGCUGUCCGUUAGCACACACAGGAAGUCUGUGGCUGUCCGUGUGUGUCUGUCAGCACACACAGGACGUCCGUGUGUGUCCGUCAGCACACACAGGACGCCUGUGUGUGUCCGUCAGCACACACAGGACGUCCGUGUGUGUCCGCCAGCACACACAGGACGUCAGUGGCUGUCCAUCAGUACACAUAUCAGCACGCUGGUCCUUGGACUCAACACCCUAGCCCUUCCCGUGGACUGUUUUGGUGAUUUUGGCUCACGUGGGCUUUCUGUUUAGUACACACAGGACGUCUGUGGGUGUCCGUCAGCACACACAGUACGUCUGUGUGUGUCCGUCAGCACACAUACAUGACGUUCGUGGCUGUGCGUGUGUGUCCGUGUGUGUCCGUCAGGACAGACAUGACAUCCAUGGUCCUUGGACUCAGCAUGCUGACCCUUCCUGUGGUCUGUUCGGGUGAUUUUGGCCCUCGUGGGCUGUCUGUUCAGUACACACAGGACGUCCGUGGGUGUCCACCAGCACACACACGAGGUCUGUGGCUCUCUGCGUGUUCGUGUGUAUUCGUCUGUGUCCGUCAGCACACACAGGACGUCCGUGGCUGUCCGUGUGUUAGUGUGUGUCCGUCUGUGUCCGUCAGCACACACAGGACGUCCGUGGCUGUCCGUGUGUUAGUGUGUGUCCGUCUGUGUCCGUCAGCACACACAGGACGUCCGUGGCUGUCCCUCAGUACACAUAUCAGCACAUUGGUCCUUGGACUCAGCACGCUGACCCUAUCCCGUGGACUGGUCGGGUGAUUUUGGCCCACGUGGGCUGUCUGGUCAGUACACACAGGACGUCCGUGGGUGUCCGUCAGCACACACAUGACGUCCGUCUGUGUCCGUCAGCACACACAAGACAUCCCGGGCUAUUCGUGUGUGUCCAUCAGCACACACCGGACGUCCGUGGCUGUCCAUCAAUACACAUAUCAGCACGUUGGUCCUUGGACUCAGCAUGCUGACCCUUCCCGUGGACUGUUCGGGUGAUUUUGGCCCCCGUGGGCUGUCUGGUAAGUACACACAGGACGUCCGUGGGUGUCCACCAGCACACACAGGACAUCCGUAGCUGUCCGUGUCUGUCCGUCUGUGGCCGUCAGCACACACAUGACGUCCGUGGCGGUCCAUCAGUACACAUAUCAGCACGUUGGUCCUUGGACUCAGCACGCUGGCCCUUCUCGUGGACUGUUUGGGUGAUUUUGGCGCACGUGGGCUGUCUUUUCUGUACACACAGGACAUCUGUGGGUGUCCGCUAGCACAAACAGGACGUCUGUUGCUGUCUGUGGCUGUCCGUUAGCACACGCAUGAUGUAUGUGGCUGUCCGUGUGUGUCUGUGGGUGUCCACCAGCACACACAGGACGUUCGUGGCUGUCUGUGGCUGUCCUUCAGCACACACAGGACGUCUGUGUGUCUCCGUCAGCACAAACAAGACGUCUGUGUGUGUCCGUCAGUACACACAGGACGUCCGUGUGUGUCCGUCAGCACACACAGGAAGUCCGUGGCUGUCCAUCAAUACACAUAUCAGCACGCUGGUCCUUGGACUCAGCACGCUGGCCCUUCCUGUGGACUGUUUGGGUGAUUUUGGCCCACGUGGGCUGUCUGUUCAGUACACACAUGACGUCAGUGGGUGUCCGUCAGCACACACGGACAUCCGUAGCUGUCCGUGUGUGUCCGUCAGCACACACAGGACGUUCGUGGCUGUACGUGUAUGUCCGUGUGUGUCUGUGUGUGUCCGUCAGCACACACAUGACAUACGUGGCUGUCCAUCAGUACACAUAUAACCACGUUGGUCCUUGGACUCCGCACGCUGACCCUUCUUGUGGACUGUUCGGGUGAUUUUGGCCCUCGUGGGCUGUCUGUUCAGUACACACAGGACGUCUGUGGGUGUCUGCCAGCACACACAGGACGUCCGGGGCUGUCCGUGUGUGUCCGUCUGUGUCCGUCAGCACACACAGGACGUCCGUGGCUGUCCCUCAGUACACAUAUCAGCAUGUUGGUCCUUGGACUCUGCACGCUGGCCCUUCCCGUGGACUGUUUCGGUGAUUUUGUCCCAAGUGGGCUGUCUGUUCAGUACACACAGGACGUCCAUGGGUGUCCGCCAGCACACACAGGACGUCCGCGGCUGUUUGUGGCUGUCCGUCAGCACACACAGGACAUCCGUUUGUGUCCGUGUGUAUCUGUCAGCACACACAGGAUGUUUGCGGGUGUCGGUCAGCACACACAGGACGUCCGUGUGUGUCCGUAAGCAUACAAAGGACGUCUGUGGCUGUCCGUGUGUGUCCGUCAGCACACACAGGACGUCUGUGGCUGUACAUCAGUACACAUAUCAGCACGUUGGUCCUUGGACUCUACACGCUGGCCCUUCCCGUGGACUGUUUGGGUGAUUUUGGCCCACGUGGGCUAUCUGUUCAGUACACACAGGACGUCCGUGGGUGUCCGCCAGCACACACAGGACGUCCGUGGCGGUCCAUGUGUGUCCGUCAGCACACACAGGACGUCCGUGGCUGUCCAUCAGUACACAUCAGCACACUGGUCCUUGGACUCAGCAUGCUGGCCCGUCCCGUGGACUGUUUGGGUGAUUUUGGCCCACGUGCGCUGUCUGUUCAGUACAUACAGGACGUUUGUGGGUGUCCGUCAGCAGACACAGGACGUCCGUGUGUGUCCGUCAGCACACACAGGACGUUCGUGUCUGUGCGUGUGUUUCCGGCAGCACACACAUGACAUCUGUGGCUGUCCAUCAGUACACAUAUCAGCACGUUGGUCCUUUGACUCCGCACACUGACCCUUCCUGUUGACUGUUCGGGUGAUUUUGGCCCUCGUGGGCUGUGUGUUCAGUACACACAGGAUGUCUGUGGGUGUCCCCCAGCACACACAGGAUAUCCGUGGCUGUCCGUGUGUUUCCGUCUGUGUCCGUCAGUACACACAGGACGUCUGUGGCUGUCCCUCAGUACACAUAUCAGCACGUUGGUCCUUGGACUCAGCACGCUGGCCCUUCCCGUGGACUGUUUGGAUGAUUUUAUCCCACGUGGGCUGUCAGUUCAGUACACACAGGAUGUCCGUGGGUGUCCGCCAGCACACACAGGACGUCCUGUGUGUGUCCGUCAGCACACGCAUGACAUACGUGGCUGUCCAUCAGUACACAUAUAACCACGUUGGUCCUUGGACUCCGCACGCUGACCCUUCUUGUGGACUGUUCGGGUGAUUUUGGCCCUCGUGGGCUGUCUGUUCAGUACACACAGUACGUCUGUGGGUGUCCGCCAGCACACACAGGACGUCUGGGGCUGUCCGUGUGUGUCCGUGUGUGUCCGUCUGUGUCCGUCUGCACACACAGGACGUUCGUGGCUGUCCCUCAGUACACAUAUCAGCACGUUGGUCCUUGGACUCUGCACGCUGGCCCUUCCCGUGGACUGUUUCAGUGAUUUUGUCCCAAGUGGGCUGUCUGUUCAGUACACACAGGACGUCCAUGGGUGUCCGCCAGAAGACACAGGACGUCCGGGGCUGUUUGUGGCUGUCCGUCAGCACACAAAGGACAUCCGUUUGUGUCAGUGUGUGUCUGUCAGCACACACAGGAUGUUUGCGGGUUUUGGUCAGCACACACAGGAUGUCCGUGUGUGUCUGUAAGCAUUCAAAGGACGUCUGUGGCUGUCCGUGUGUGUCCGUCAGCACACACAGGAUGUCUGUGGCUGUACAUCAGUACACAUAUCAGCACAUUGGUCCUUGGACUCUACACGCUGGCCCUUCCCGUGGACUGUUUGGGUGAUUUUGGCCCACGUGGGCUAUCUGUUCAGUACACACAGAACGUCCGUGGGUGUCGGCCAGAACACACAGGACGUCCGUGGCGGUCCGUGUGUGUCCGUCAGCACACACAGGACGUCCGUGGCUGUCCAUCAGUACACAUAUCAGCACACUGGUCCUUGGACUCAGCAUGCUGGCCCGUCCCGUGGACUGUUUGGGUUAUUUUGGCCCACGUGCGCUGUCUGUUCAGUACAUACAGGACGUUUGUGGGUGUCCGUCAGCAGACACAGGACGUCCGUGUGUGUUCGUCAGCACACACAGGACGUUCGUGUCUGUGCGUGUGUUUCCGUGUGUGUCCGGCAGCACACACAUGACAUCUGUGGCUGUCCAUCAGUACACAUAUCAGCACGUUGGUCCUUUGACUCCGCACACUGACCCUUCCUGUUGACUGUUCGGGUGAUUUUGGCCCUCGUGGGCUGUGUGUUCAGUACACACAGGACGUCCGUGGGUGUCCGCCAGCACACACAGGACAUCCGUGGCUGUCCGUGUGUUUCCGUCUGUGUCCGUCAGCACACACAGGACGUCUGUGGCUGUCCCUCAUUAGACAUAUCAGCACGUUGGUCCUUGGACUCAGCACGCUGGCCCUUCGCGUGGACUGUUUGGAUGAUUUUAUCACACGUGGGCUGUCUGUUCAGUACACACAGGACGUCCGUGGGUGUCCGCCAGCACACACAGGACGUCCGUGGGUGUCCGCCAGCACACACAGGACGUCCGUGGCUGUUUGUGGCUGUCCGUCAGCACACACAGGACGUCCGUGUGUGUCCGUGUGUGUCUGUCAGCACACACAGGAUGUCCGUGGGUGUCCGUGACCACACACAGGACGUCUGUGGAUGUUCGUCAGCACACACAGGACGUCAGUGGCUGUCCGUGUGUGCCCGUCAGCACACACAGGACGUUCGUGGCUGUACGUGUAUGUCCGUGUGUGUCUGUGUGUGACGUCAGCACACACAUGACGUUCGUGGCUGUCCACCAUUACACAUAUCAGUACGUUGGUCCUUGGACUCCGCACGCUGACCCUUCUUGUGGACUGUUUGGGUGAUUUUGGCCCUCGUGGGACGUCUGUUCAGUACACACAGGACGUCUGUGGGUGUCUGCCAGCACACACAGGACAUCCGUGGCUGUUCGUGUGUGUCCGUCUGUGUCCGUCAACACACACAGGACGUCCGUGGCUGUCCCUAAGUACACAUAUCAGCACGUUGGUCCUUGGACUCAGCAUGCUGGCCCUUCCCGUGGACUGUUUGGGUGAUUUUGUCCCAAGUGGUCUCUCUGUUCAGUACACACAGGACGUCCAUGGGUGUCCGCCAGCACACACAGGACGUCCGUGGCGGUCCGUGUGUGUCCGUCAGCACACACAGGACGUCCGUGGCUGUCCCUAAGUACACAUAUCAGCACGUUGGUCCUUGGACUCAGCAUGCUGGCCCUUCCCGUGGACUGUUUGGGUGAUUUUGGCCCACGUGGGCUGUCUGUCAGCACACACAGGACAUCCGUGUGUGUCCGUGUGUUUCUGUCAGCACACACAGGACGUUCGUGGGUGUCGGUCAGCACACAAGGACGUCCGUGUGUGUCCGUAAGCAUACACAGGACGUCCGUGGCCGUCUGUGUGUGUCCGUCAGCACACACAGGACGUCUGUGGCUGUCCAUAAUUACACAUAUCAGCACGUUGGUCCUUGGACUCUGCACGCUGGCCCUUCCCGUGGACUGUUUGGGUAAGUUUGGCCAACGUGGGCUAUCUGUUCAGUACACACAGGACGUCCGUGGGUGUCCGCCAGCACACACAGGACGUCCGUGGCGGUCCGUGUGUGUCCGUCAGCACACACCGGACGUCCGUGGCUGUCCAUCAGUAUACAUAUCAGCACGCUGGUCCUUGGACUCAGCACGCUGGCCCUUCCCGUGGACUGUUUGGGUGAUUUUGGCCCACGUGGGCUGUCUGUUCAGUACAAACAGGACAUCUGUGGGUGUCCGUCAGCACACACUGGACGUCCGUGUGUCUCCGUCAGCACACACAGGACAUUCGUGGCUGUGCGUGUGUGUCCGUGAGUGUCUGUCAGCACACACAUGACGUCUGUGGCUGUCCAUCAGUACACAUAUCAGCACGUUGGUCCUUUGACUCCGCACGCUGACCCUUCCUGUGGACUGUUCGGGUGAUUUUGACCCUCGUGGGCUGUCUGUUCAGUACACACAGGACGUGCGUGGGUGUCCGCCAGCACAAACAGGACGUCCGUGGCUGUUCGUGUGUGUCCGUCUGUGUCCGUCAGCACACACAUGACGUCCGUGGCUGUCCUUCAGUACACAUAUCAGCACAUUGGUCCUUGGACUCAGCACGCUGGCCCUUCCCGUGGACUGUUUGGGUGAUUUUAUCCCACGUGGGCUGUCUUUUCAGUACACACAGGACGUCCGUGGGUGUCCGCCAGCACACAGGACGUCCGUGGCUGUUUGUGGCUGUCCGUCAGCACACACAGGACGUCCAUGGGUGUCCGUCAGCACACACAGGAUGUCUGUGGGUGUUCGUCAGCACACAUGACGUAUGUGGCUGUCCGUGUGUGUCCGUCAGCACGCACAGGACGUUCGUGGCUGUACGUGUAUGUCCGUGUGUGUUCGUGUCUGUCCGUCAGCACACACAUGACGUCCGUGGCUGUCCAUCAGUACACAUAUCAUCACGUUGGUCCUUGGACUCCGCAUGCUGACCCUUCUUGUGGACUGUUCUGGUGAUUUUGGCCCUCGUGGGCUGUCUGUUCAGUACAAACAGGACUUCCGUGGGUGUCCGUGUGUGUCCGUCUGUGUCCGUCUGUGUCCAUCAGCACACACAGGACGUCCGUGUCUGUCCCUCAGUACACAUAUCAGCACGUUUGUCCUUGGACUCAGCAUGCUGGCCCUUCCCGUGGACUGUUUGGGUGAUUUUGUCCCAAGUGGGCUGUCUGUUAAGUACACACAGGACGUCCAUGGGUGUCCGCCAUGUAAGACCCGAUCCCGGCUGCCUAGGCUGCGGUCGAUGCCUCACGUCGCUCGGUCCACUUCCUGGCCGAACCUCUUAAUUUUCGCCCUUUAUUAAUAAUAUCGCCUAAAGGCGAGGGCUAACUUAGAUCUUAGCUAAAGACUUCCCUUGUAAGGCCCGUUCCCGGCUCUUAAGCCCAACCAUGAACUGCGGCCUUAACAUCCGUUCUUAUACAAUGAUUCCGAGUUCCUUUAGGUGAGGUUCGAGUAUAACAUUCAAGACAAACAAACAUAAGGGGCAAACAGAUUGUAUAUAUAUAACAUAAUGAGAUCCAUACAUCAUUCAUAAGUUCAUCUACUAGUUUACACACUUAGUCUAUCAUAAGUUCACAAGUUGCACAAUAGGCUAUCAAUACUACACUCUUAUCAGCAAGGACCCAUUCACCACACAUCUUCCCAUGGCCUGAGACUUCACGGUACCUUUCCUUUACCACGGUCCAAGUCUGGUCCUGAAACCACAUAAAUCACAUCAUGAACACAUAUGGCCGAUAACCUAAGCAACAAGUCUAGAAUGGCAUGGUUCGGCCCUUAAGAACUAGGAUCUGUCCAAUUUGGACAUACACAGAUAAAUUCCCAAAAACUAAAUAAAAUGCAUGACAAUUCAUGAGAAUUCCCAACUAAGAGAUUCCCAUAGUCAGAUCUCAACGGAACCGACCCGGAAUGUGAGAUCCGACCAUAGAUCAGUCCGGCCAAUGCCUAGGACUUUAUCCCUGGACCGGCCAUGGCCUUGGACCAGUGUUCCCUGUCUGAAUCAAUCCAAUAACAUCACAACACACUGUAGAACAGGCGAUCCAGAAGAAGUAAAGAGAAUGGAUGCAUCUGCCAAGAGAACCGGCCGCAAGGCCGCACGGAUCAUCCGCAGGCCCGGGGCCAUUCCUUGCAGUCUACACCACUAACCUUAGGCGUUCUCUCCCCUGGAGGCAAGUCCUUCUCCUUCUCCUUCUCCUUGUCUUUUUGUCUGGUAUCCAUCUUCACGGCCUGGCCUUCCCACACUCAGAACACGCCGGCAAGCCAACACCACCACACACGGUUCUCUUCUCUAACCGCCGGUCUCUCUCUUUCUUUCUUUCUUUUAAGUGUUUGGCAGAGCUUUGCCUAAGGAAUUUCGUGCCAUUUUCUGUGCCAGGGACUCUCUAUUUAUAGAGAAAGCCAACCCCAACUGCCCUGGAGAAAUCGACCAAGCAGUUAAAGAGAAAGGGCACAAAACUGCCCCUUUGCACCUUUUCGGGAGUAACCGCCCAACUGCUCUUCCUUUCCUUUGGGCUGUUCGAAAAUCAGGCCCAUAAUCUUUUCCAGAGUCCCUUGCCCAAGGCCAAGACCCCACGGACCCUGGGUGGUUCAGGCCAAGACCCCUCCAGCCCAUAACCGCCCAUGACCCGGCCAAGCCGGUCCGGACCAUAACACUUCACCGAGCUGAGUUGAGCUGGCCACUAGCUGGCCUCAGCUGAGUAAGCUAACCUAUCAGCUCCAGUGAGCUACCAAGGACCGUAUGAUCUGGUUUCACACUGUCCCCAGCUGGUUGAGCUUGUACCCGACCUUAUCCAGCUGCUAGAUUACUCGGCAAGUCUCCUAAGCUUUCUUCCAUCCAUCCUGGUUAAGGCUCAGCUUCCUGAUAUCCUUAACCUUCUUAUUUGAGCCAUGAUACGCUUGUCAUUAGGCCAAAUGACCUGUCUGGUGCGUCUCCUCGCACCAUGGCUCGUCCCAACGAUCCUACCUAGGAUCGGCGAUGCUACAUCCCUAGUCAUUAAUAGCCUAGAUCCUUUCAACAGAUACGCAGUGGAUUAUUUUGUAGUUAACCAUUGGUCUAAAACCAAUCUAACACUUGGCUGGUCGAAUCACCUUAGCCUUGGUCAGUUUACUCAACUACCAAUUAGCUUAAAGGUCAAUCCUAAACCCAAACCAAGCCAUACAAUUCUGAGGUUCCAUUCCCCUCAACCAUUCUAUCUAUAUCUACAUAAGUAAAUGCUAGAUCAUACCUUUGCCACAUCUACGGGCUUAUUAGCUCAUUGGUCCUCCAUUGACUCGAAUUGCUCUUGCUUGACAGCUGGACCACGAUCACUCAAGGAUCUUACUUAAGGUCCUUAUCUUGAUUCCUGGAUCAAACAACUCCCCUAGGUACUUAGUCAUUCAACCAACCAUCCCCACAGACAUAAGUAAUCUUUGAGAAGUCUUUGAAAGGAUUAGGGUUUGCAUCUGGCCUUUCUCGGCUCAUGCACACUCAAACAUCCCCUUGCCAUAUAGGCAAUAGUACCCAAUCCAUAUUCUGGACUGACAAAUCUCAUUAGAUCCUAAGUCAAUCAACCAACCAUCCUCACAUGACUUGGAACUGAUGAGUCAUCAUCUGGCCUGACCGGCUUUGGGACUUAACCCAAACAACAUAUAUGAUUUGCUCAUACCAAACGAUGCAUUCCUUAAUCAGAUUAGUUCCGACACCUUGAACCAUCAUUCAGAGUUCAGGUCGUCCAUACUCAACCAUGAUCAGAUCUUACACGGCCUUCCUUGAACAAUCACACUUAGGCUCAGUAUCUAUGGUCUACGACUCAUAGUACUAGCCAUACACUGCGUCAUGACUCUUAGCCAAUCUCGAAGCUAUCAACACCAAGGUUGAUAUCUAGAAGCAUCACAUCAAUACUCUUACUCCAGCAACGUGACUAUCCAUACUAGUGCUCGGCCAUCGAACCAUCAUCAUGAAACAUGAUCCGACCACCAGACUUGAUAAGCCAUCGUCUACUUAGCAGGUACUGAUAUAACCGGCCUUCCAUUGCCAUCAUGUGGGUCUACGCCCUACAUAAUGCAUAUGGCGCCUAUCCUACUCACCAACCCAAGGUUUAUUGUAAGAUAUCCCACUUAGCCUUUGCGGCUAAAGCCGUCCAACCAUAGCCGGAUCAUCCAUAGUGUUGUCUAACCGUCUGGUUAAGAUCUAGGUGCGAUCGACCAGUUAUAAGUCGAGCCCAAAGGCUCACGGACCUUCUUACCUGAUCCGACCCAAAGCCUGGAUCCAUACCAGAGAGUAAGGCCCAAGACCAAACCGGAUUGCCUUGCAACCAAUCAGACCUUGCGACACAACACUCCGGUUAAACUAACCGUCCGUCCGUUCGACUAUGCAGCCGCGGACUGUCCACUUGGUUCGGCCUAAGCCUUGAACCAAUGGCACCGUUUGGAACUCACACCCUUUGGGAACUAGUACCCUUUGGACACUCGUGCCUCUUGGCAACUCAUGACCCUUGGCAUCUCGCACCCAUUCAGAUGCUCCAACCGUUCGACCUAACCGUCCAUAUGGACUGUCUGGUCCGUGCGUGUGUCCGGCCUAUGGCCAAAGGACCACGCCUUAACAUACACAAGUCAUGAACCAUUGUGACUGUUCACUGAAGGGUUGAAACCGUUCAGAACAGAACCGCCCCUAUCCAAUCGGAUCACCUGAGGCCGGUUUAGACCAUGCGCGCGCCUAACUUAACGGUUAUGGACCGCGACUUCAUUACUCAACCAGAACCACGGUUAUAACCAAACCCAACACAUCAACAAGGCCAAGCCAAUGUACAGAAGGAGUAGAAGAAGAAUUGGAUGAAACGAAUAAGAAGAAUAGGACACAAUCCAAACGCCCAUGGCUAGACCCGGUUCAGACUGUCCGAUUGUCUUAGCCGAUGAGUCGGUGGUUACCCCACUGACCCUAUCAGACUGAACCACGGCUUUCGAGUCCUUCUACAGACCCUUCUCUACGCCUUGGGUAUUCAUGACACACGGCCUCCUCUCUCCUAAACCGUUCUCCUUGCCGGACAUACAAAACCACCACGACCGGCCCUUUUUCGGCCGAUCUCUUGGCCAGAACUCUCUCUCUCUCUCUCUCUCUCUCUCUCUCUCUCUCUCUCUCUGUCUCUCUACGUUUUUCCAUGAGUAUUUUACUCUGGAAUUGGAUAAUGAAAUCGACCAGAGAGCCCCCAUAUUUAUAUAAAACGAGGGGGUAAGUCUUGCCCCACGAACAGGUAGACUUGCUAGCGAAUGGGCACCAUCGGCCAAGGGUUGUCCCCUUUCGGCCACUUCCAUCCCUUCGCCCUUUCUGAUUGGGUUUGGGGUCGUUCAUAAGCCCAACCCACGCCCCAAGCCUCCUGGACUUAGCCCACGGCCUUGCCCAAAGACCCAACAGCCCAUGGCCUCAUGGCCGGACCUCACAGCCGGCCACUGACCCGGACCCGGACCAUCGGCCUAAAGCCCGAACAGUCCGUCUAGCUGAGGUGAGCUGACUCUCAGCUGCCUCAGCUGGGUGAGCUAGUAGUCCAGAUAGUGGAGCUGACUUAGUAGGGACUGAGCUGGAGUGAACCAAACCUAGCUUCAUUGAGCUGGCCGAGCUACUCGUCUACUUCGUCCAGUUACCGUCUUACUCGUCCUAGCUGUCUCUUAGCUUGUAUAAGGUUAAGUCUAAGUUUCCUUAUGUCCUUAACCAUCUUUCUCGACCAUGGAACGCUUGCCUUGAUGUCCUAAGACUGGCUUGUACGUUUCCUCGAACCAUGGCCGUCCCGACAAUCCUUUCCAGGAUUGGGGGCGUGACAAGUCUCCCCCACUUGUAAUGGAUUCGUCCUCGAAUCCGGUGAUGAUUAUACCUUGUCCCAAGACAAAAUAUUCCAAACAAAAUUAUUCUAGUCUUGAUCAGAGAAUAGAACAAGCUUGAUUAAAACCACCGAAUCACCACUUCGUUGAUCAAUUUUCCUUUGACCAUCGUUGUACAAGUCUCCCCCACUUGAUAAGGAUUUAACCACAAAAAUCCUAUCAAGUGGUCCUUUCUGGUUUCGCUGAUGGCACCCUUACUUGUCUACUUUGCCACAGUCGAGGGUCCAUCAAGCACCCAUUCAAGUGAUACUUGAAAAUCCAUCCAAAGACAUUCCUUGUGUCACUGGCCGAAAUCUCCAGGUUUCGGUCCUAGUAUCCAACAAGUCUAUGUCUUUCCUUUGAAUAGCAUCUUCUUCAGAUUUUAUUCUUUCUCUGAUCAUAGUCCAAGACUAGAUCAUAAUCAGUCCCUAGGAACAUGCUGCAUACUCGAGCCUUAGUAGACUUGGCCAAUCCCCACACCACUCGAUGUACCAGUCAAGUCCUCACGAACUUGUUCUAAUCUUUAGGCUGCUCGUCCUACAACGAGUCCUAACAGAUUAUUAUGGUUCUUUUGUCCUUCAUGGACAAUAAGGCUCAUAACCUCAGCCACAACGUACUGGAUCAUCCCCUUAACCGGCCACAACCUUUUCAGGCUUGGCCACAUUGCGAUCUUUGUCCCUCCAGACUAAAAACGCCUCAGACUUGAUUUCUAUCCUUCACUGGACUUUGUCAUAAUUCGAUCCUGGUCCUUCCUUGGACUCGAUCGUACUCUGGUUCUGGUCCACUCAGGGACUCGACCGUUUCACCCCGACCAUAGGUCAAUCUCCGAAUAGGUCGUGGGCUGAUCCUCGUCCUUUUUUUUUUGGACUUGAUCAUUCUCAACCUUAGGUCAAACUCCGACUUGGUUGUACUGCGACCAUGGUCCUCUCUCGGACGUGGUCAACUUCGGCUCUGCCAUCUCAGUCGGAGCCGAAAGAAACAGACUCUAGGACAGUGGUGCUGUCCCUGGUUCCAGUUCAAUCAUAAAUGGAUCCGACCUACCAGAGGGGAGACUCUGUAGCGAACGGAACACAUCUGGGAACUCAGACACCAAUGGGUCCUCAAACAGAUCUUUUAGAUCACCAGAAUUUGCCGCGCUCCAUAGUGGUAAUUGUGGUCAAAAAAAUACUUCACAAUCCCGUCUAAGCAUCUGAUCCACACGGAAUGCUGACACCACUACUUUCCUUAAAGCCGGACUCAGACAAUGGAUCUCGAUACCAACGAGAUCCCAGACAGAUCAACAGAAUUGCCGUGCUCCGUAGUGGUAGUUGUGGUCAAAAAUACUUCACAACCUGUCUAAGCAUCCAAUUCACUUGGACUACUGACACCCCUACUUUCCUUAGAGCCGGACUCAGACUCAGACUUUGGUACUGGAUCGGGUGAGCUCCAGUCUCCAAUUGCACACGAACUUUGUGGCAAUCGAGAGUGGUCCGAUACUUUCCCAACCAGAUUCAUGCCUAGGAUCAUCUCGUGAUUCUGUAGGCGCAUGGAUAUUUUUCUCGAUCAGAUAUACAGGCAGAUUUCUCUCCUGGAUCCACACCGGGAUAUUUUUCAUGAGCCCUAGUGAAUGCAUAAUUUGCCCACCGGCUGCCCUCACUAGUCUCGAAUAAUCCCAAGAACUCAGACAGAACAGACUCUUUCCGACCAGUCCCGGACUCACAAAACUAUGUGUAGCCUCUGUGUCGAAAAGUACGUGUGUUUCCACACCACAAAUCCACUUGUGGAAACUAUCUCAGUGCAUGACCACACCACAAAGAACGUCCCAUAACAUCCCUCAUGGCAUUGCCAAUAACUUCAAUACUUCCAGUUCCAGUGGAUACCUAGAUGAGUAAGAUCUCGGUUUGACCACACACUUGGAAAACGUCCCAUACCAUUCUCCAAGGCGUCUUACUUUUGCGAAUGCUCACACCAUUCACAAGAGAAAUUUUAAUAUACCUCAAUCCCCAUUAUACUAAGGUAGUUAAGAUCAUGUUCUUACAUUGAUUGGAACGAACAUCAUGAGUUUCCUCAUUCUUUCCUUGGACAGAUUCAGAUUGGAAUUGAUUCAUUCCAUCUUACUAGAUCUAAGGAAACCUACCUUGACUUAUACCGAGUCCUAGCUGAUCCAUCUGAUCACAAGUCCACUCGUGUACUGGUCAUGUAGUGUCUCCUUUGAGUCAGAUAUAACAUUGCAUAUGCUUUAUUUAUUAUGAACGGCCAUCAAGGGAUAACACUUAACUUCAGUAGAAUGCUGCACCUUUAUUUCAACCUAAGCCACUCUCUGGUUCAUGUUACUUCCCUUGUUUAGGUCAUCCAUAAACAAGUCUUGCAUUGCUUCCAUCCCUUCCAACCCGUCUAUUACUUAUAAAUACUAGAUCGACCAACCUUUCUGUUUUUAGGUUCUUGGCCUUGGAAAAUGUAUCUUGGCUAAGCUGGUUCAUCUUAGAAUUCCCACAUUUACAAGCAUGAUACCCUAGCUAACCUCAACUGUUUCUUGGCUCACCCCAACUAAGGUUUCAUAGUCAUCAUAGUUUUGGAAAUAACUUCGGUAUGGAACACAACAUCUUAGAGCGUUGUCCUAAACAGGAUCAAGCAUGCUCUGAUACCAACUUGUAAGACCCGAUCCCGGCAGCCUAGGCCGCGGUCGAUGCCUCACGUCGCUCGGUCCACUUCCUGGCCGAACCUCUUAAUUUUCGCCCUUUAUUUAUAAUAUCGCCUAAAGGCGAGGGCUAACUUUGAUCUUAGCUAAAGACUUCCCUAGUCAUUAAUAGCCUAGAUCCUUUGAACAGAUACGCAGUGGAUUAUUUUGUAGUUAACCAUUGGUCUAAAACCAAUCUAACACUUGUCUGGUCGAAUCACCUUAGCCUUGGUCAGUUUACUCAACUACCAAUUGGCUUAAAGGUCAAUCCUAAACCCAAACCAAGCCAUACAAUUCUGAGGUUCCAUUCCCCUAAAACAUUCUAUCUAGAUCUACAUAAGUAAAUGCUAGAUCAUACCUUUGCCACAUCUACGGAGCUUAUUAGCUCAUUGGCCCUCCAUUGACUCGAAUUGCUCUUGCUUGACAGCUGGUCCACGAUCACUCAAUGAUAUUACUUAAGGUCCUUAUCUUGAUUCCUGGAUCAAACAACUCCCCUAGGUACUUAGUCAUUCAACCAACCAUCCCCACAGACAUAAGUAAUCUUUGAGAAGUCUUUGAAAGGAUUAGGGUUUGCAUCUGGCCUUUCUCGGCUCAUGCACACUCAAACAUCCCCUUGCCAUAUAGGCAAUAGUACCCAAUCCAUAUUCUGGACUGACAAAUCUCAUUAGAUCCUAAGUCAAUCAACCAACCAUCCUCACAUGACUUGGAACUGAUGAGUCAUCAUCUGGCCUGACCGGCUUUGGGACUUAACCCAAACAACAUAUAUGAUUUGUUCAUACCAAACGAUGCAUUCCUUAAUCAGAUUAGUUCCGACACCUUGAACCAUCAUUCAGAGGUCAGGUCGUCCAUACUCAACCAUGAUCAGAUCUUACACGGCCUUCCUUGAACAAUCACACUUAGGCUCAGUAUCUAUGGUCUACGACAUACACUUCGUCAUGACUCUUAGCCAAUCUCGAAGCUAUCAACACCAAGGUUGAUAUCUAGAAGCAUCACAUCAAUACUCCUACUCCAGCAACCUGACUAUCCAUACUAGUGCUCGGCCAUCUAACCAUCGUCAUGAAACAUGAUCCGACAACCAGACUUGAUAAGCCAUCGUCUACUUAGCAGGUACUGAUAUAACCGGCCUUCCAUUGCCAUCAUGUGGGUCUACGCCCUACAUAAUUCAUAUGGCGCCUAUCCUACUCAUCAACCCAAGGUUUAUUGUAAGAUAUCCCACUUAGCCUUUUCGGCUAAAGCCAUCCAACCAUAGCCGGAUCGUCCAUUGUCCCGUCUAACCGUCUGGUUAAGAUCUAGGUGCGAUCGACCAGUUAUAAGUCUGGACCAAAGGCUCACAGACCUUCUUACCUGAUCCGACCCAAAGCCUGGAUCAAUACCAGAGAGUAAGGCCCAAGACCAAACCGGAUGUCCUUGCAACCAAUCAGACCUUGCGACACAACACUCCGGUUAAACUAACCGUCCGUCCGUUUGACUAUGCAGCCGCGGACUGUCCACCUGGUUCGGCCUAAGCCUUGAACCAACGGCACCGUUUGGAACUCACACCCUUUGGGAACUAGUACCCUUUGGACACUCGUGCCUCUUGGCAACUCAUGACCCUUGGCAUCUCGCACCCAUUCAGAUGCUCCAACCGUUCGACCUAACCGUCCGUAUGGACUGUCUGGUCCGUGCGUGUGUCCGGCCUAUGGCCAAAGGACCACGCCUUAACCUACACAAGUCAUGAACCAUUGUGACUGUUCAGGGAAGGGUUGCAACCGUUCAGAACAGAACAGAACAGAACCGCCCCUAUCCAAUCGGAUCACCUGAGGCCAGUUUAAACCAUGUGCGCGCCUAACUCGACGGUUAUGGACCGCGACUUCAUUACUCAACCAGAACCACGGUUAUAACCAAUCCCAACACAUCAACAAGGCCACGCCAAUGUACAGAAGGAGUAGAAGAAGAAUUGGAUGAAAAGAAUAAGAAGAAUAGGACACAAUCCAAACGCCCAUGGCUAGACCGGUUCAGACUGUCCGAUUGUUUUAGCCGAUGAGUCGGUGGUUACCCCACUGACCCUAUCAUACUGAACCACGUCUUUCGAGUCCUUCUCCAGACCCUUCUCUACGCCUUGGGUAUUCAUAACACACGGCCUCCUCUCUCCUAAACCGUUCUCCUUGCCGGAGAUACAAAACCACCACGACCGGCCCUUUUCCGGCCGAUCUCUUGGCCAGAACUCUCUCUCUCUCUCUCUCUACGUUUUUCCAUGAGUAUUUUACUCUGGAAUUGGAUAAUGAAUGACACGUUCAGUACACACAGGACGUGUCACGCCCCCAAUCCUUAAUAGGAUUGUUGGGACGGCCAUGGUUCGAGGAAACGUGCAAGCCAGUCUUAGGACAUCAAGGCAAGCGUUGCAUGGUCGAGAAAGAAGGUUAAGGACAUAAGGAAACUUAGACUUAACCUUAUACAAGCUAAGAGACAGCUAGGACGAGUAAGACGGUAUCUGGACAAAGUGGACGAGUAGCUCGGCCAGCUCAAUGAAGCUAGGUUCAGUUCACUCCAGCUCAGUCCCUACUAAGUCAGCUCCACUAGCUGUACUACUAGCUCACUCAGCUGAGACAUCUGAUAGUCAGCUCAUCUCAGCUAGACGGACUGUCCGGGCUUUAGGCCGAUGGUCCGGGUCCGGGUCAGUGGCGGGCUGUGAGGUCCGGCCAUGAGGCCAGGGGCUGUUGGGUCUUUGGACAAGGCCGUGGGUUAAGUCCAGGAGGUCUGGGGCGUGGGUUGGGCUUGUGACUGACCCCAAACCCAAUCAGAAAGGGUGAAGGGAUGCAAGUGGCCAAAUGGGGACAACCCUUGGAUGAUGGUGCCCACUCGCUAGCAAGUCGUGCCUGUUCGUGGGGCAAGACUUACCCCCUCGUUUUCUAUAAAUGUGGGGGCUCUCUGGUCGAUUUCAUUAUCCAAUUCCAGAGUAAAAUACUCAGAGAAAAACGUAGAGAGAAAGAACGAGAGAAAGAGAGAGUUCCGGCCAAGAGAAAGGCCGAUUGUGGUGGUGUUGUGUUCCGGCGACUCUGAUCAUUUGAGAACUAACUCCGGUCAAGAAUGGGAGAUCAAGACAAGGAGAAGAGCAUGGAGAACCCAGACGUGGUUCACAAGGUAUGUGAUGGGCCGUGGCUCCAUCAGACCGAACGGACGGUCCAUGCGACCGCACCGCGGCUCUGCUCGGUUCCUAAGUCCCAUCCGGCUCUCCUUAUCUGUUUCAAUUCGUUUCUCUUCUCUUCUCUCUGGUUAAACACGAAAGGUUGUGUUGGUUGAGUCCAAGGGACACGUCCCUAGACUUUGGCCGGACAUAAUCAAACCGCUAGCCUAGACACGGGUCGGUUAGUGGGAUGAUCCAAUCGCACCAUGACUGGGCGGUUAGGACGAACGGUUGGGAAUGACCCAAAGGGCACGAGUUGUUAAGAGUCAUGAGUGUCCAAGAGGCACGAAUGGCCAAAGGGUAAAUGUUCCAAACGUUGUCUUUCGGGACAGGUUAGGACCGAUCCUUAUAGAUCAGCCUAUGGCUUGUCUAGUUAAGACAAGGUCACGGUUUGUCUAAGCCAAGGUAGAGUCGCAAGGUCUGACCGGUUGCUAAGCCUUCCGGAUUAGGCUUGAGGCUUACUCGGCCGAUUGGAUCCAGGCCUAAGGCCAGAUCAGGUAAGGGAGUCCGUUGGGCCAUUGAGCCGGACUCCAUUGGCCGGUCGUACCUAGAUUCUAUCCGGUUAGACGGAUUGGUCUUUGGGGAUAAUCCGGAUCUGUUCGUGUGUUCUGUUUAUCGAUUCUGGACGAUCUAUCUGAGUCUAAGUCAAGGGGUGGUUGGUUGAAUGACUUAGGAUACGGUAGGUAGGUUCAUACGUUUUAUGAUUACGUUGACUGAGGUUUAUCUAAGUUCUAGGAACCAAGCGAAGCAUUGUAGAAUCAAUCCGUUCUAUUCUCGGUUAUGAUUAAUGCUUAUCUGGUUGUGGUUUCAGGAACUAAGGAUGGUUCUGGUCAAGCCAAGGAGCCGUGAAUGCUCGUUCAGUGAGAGGCUGUGUAACGUGUGGUUAGAUGAUGCUAGGGAUGAACUAGUGAUUGUCUAUGAGACUGUUAAGAAGUUGUGUAUUGAAUCUCAUGUUUCUAAGUAAUACAAAGUUUAUACAUUAUUAUUCCGCUGUGCAAUCUAUCCCUUUGCUUAUGAACCUCAUAUUCGAAUAUGACUUAGUAAAGAAAAGACUUAGAAUUAAUCAGACAAGCAAAGAAAUUAAUAAGUAAGCAUUCGUAUCCUGUUGGGUCAAGAGACCAGGAACGGGUCUUACAAGUUGGUAUCAGUCCAUGCUUGAUUCUAGGAUAGUUGGGUUAUGUAGUCCACACACACACACACGCAGCCAGCUGAUUAUGUCUCACGGUGAGGUUUGAUUGCUUAGUCUAGGGAUUGUUUUGUUCUGUUUUUGGUUAGUAUGUUUUGUACUAACAUUGUCUGAAUCCUUAGGCUGGAAAAAGCAAAUCGGGAAAGCCCGAAGAAGUAAGAGAAUGGCCGGUCAGUCUAGCCAAGUGGCCAUGGACGGAACUAAUCUGUCCGGUUUGCAAACCGAUCCGGCCGCGGCUAACGCUGAAGAUGUGUUGCCAACUGAUCAGGCUAACCUUACGGGGACGCAACGGGAUGGUCAGGAACAUCAGGAGAGUGAUGAGGAAGUGGAAUCCUCGAAUGCUAACCGUGAUGGUGGCCAGCGUGAGAAAGUGGCCAAUGGUACGGCCAAUGUAACCGCAACACUGUCCAAAGAGGACUUGUUAGAGGCCAUGAAGGUAAUGGGGACUCAAGUGGCGGCUAUGGCCCAACUGUUCACGCCAAGAGUGAACUCCUCGGUUGGCCAAGCUAUGCCUGUGGCUACGACCGCCCCCAACACCAAUGGUCCAGUUGUGGAAACGGUCGAGGUGAUCGAGAUUGAUCCACCAGAAAGGACUGGGAAAAAGGUGGACUAUCUGAGUUUGCUUCAGCACAUCUCCCGUCUAGGGACGAAUCAUUUCUCAGGAAGCACCGAUCCUAUUGAGGAAGACGAGUGGAGGAGUAGGCUAGUCCGAAACAUCAGCUCAACUCGUUGUCCCAAGGAUUACAAGAGAGACAUUGCGGUUCACCUCCUGGAAGGGGACGCGCAUAAUUGGUGGCUGGCUGUGAACAAGCGCACCAAUGGAUGUCUCCAGAGUUUUGCGGAUUUUGAAGAUGAAUUCAACCGCAAAUACUUUCCUGCAGAGGCUUGGGACCGUCUGGAACGUAGAUUCCUAGACCUUACCCAAGGCCGCAGGGCCGUACGUGAGUACGAAGAGGAGUUCAACCGGCUCCGACGGUUUGUUGGAAGGGAACUUGAGGACGAGACAGUCCAGGUUCGUCGGUUCAUUCGAGGCUUAAGGCCGGAGCUGAGAACCCACUGUUCAAUCCGCACCUUCAGCACCGUCGGAGAGCUGGUUGAACGUGUAGCUCUUUUGGAGUCUAACUUGGCUGAAGAAGCCAAGCAUAAGACGAAGUCGCAGUCUGUCCCGACGGGUAAGACUAACGACCGAAAGAGGAAGUGGGACCAGGUUGACGGAGGCAAGGCCUCUAGUGGACGACUUGAAUGUCCCAAGUGUGGUAAGAACCAUCCAGGUGAAUGCUGGAAAGCCAUGGGAGCUUGUGUGAGAUGUGGCAGCUUGGAUCAUUCCAUCCGAGAUUGCACUCGACCAAGCCGGACUCAGGGCCAAUCCAGUGGCAGCGACUCUCGGACUUGUUUCCAUUGCGGCCAAAACGGACACUUCCAAAGUGAAUGCCCUAAGCGGCAAGGAGGACAAAGGAAGGGUCGUGGAGACACGGGAAAGUCGACCCAGAGCAGGCCGACCACAACACCAAGGGUGUAUGAGCUGUCCCGAGACGACGACGCUUCUGGAUCUUUUGAUUCGAUCUCUGGUAAUUUCUGAAUUUAUCUAUUACAUUCAAUAGAAUGCUUGGUCUGGAACCUAGAGUGGCUAGGGGAUUCUGAUGUGGGUCUCUUAUAGGGACCAUCAUGACUGGUGGUGUUGAAACCCACGUACUUUUCGACACAGGGGCUACACAUAGUUUUGUGAGCCCGGAACUGGUCGGAAAGGGUCUGUUCUGCCUCUGUUCUGGGGAUAAUUCGAGACUAGUGAGGGCGGCCGGUGGGCAAAUCAUGCACUUACUAGGGCUCAUGACUAAUAUCCCGGUAAUGAUCCAGGAGAAAAAUCUGCCUGUAGAUCUGAUUGUGUUGUGCCUACAGAAUCACGAUGUGAUCCUAGGCAUGGAUUGGUUGGGAAAGUAUCGGGCCACUCUCUACUGCCACAGAGGAUGUGUACGGUUGGAGACUGGACCUCACCCGAUCCAGUACCAAAGUCUGAAUAUGAGUCCGGCUCUGGAUAGAGUAGUGGUGUCAGCAAUCCGAGCAUAACGGAUGCUUAGACAGGGUUGUGAAGCAUAUUUGACCACAAUUACCACUAUGGAGCACGGCAGGUCUGAUGAUCAGAAAGAUCUAUCUGAGGACCCGUUGGUGUCUGAGUUCCCAGAUGUGUUCCGUUCGCUACAGGGUGUCCCCCCUGAUAGGUCGGAUCCAUUUACGAUUGAACUAGAACCAGGGACAGCUCCGCUGUCCAAGAGUCCGUAUCGAAUGGCUCCGGCCAAGAUGGCCGAGCUAAAGAAGCAAUUAGAAGAAUUGCUAAACAAGGGGUUCAUACGUCCAAGUAGCUCUCCUUGGGGUGGACCAGUCCUCUUUGUGAAAAAGAAGGAUGGUAGCAUGCGUCUGUGUAUUGACUAUCGAGGGUUGAACUGGGUUACUGUGAAGAACAAGUACCCGUUGCCCAGAAUAGACGAGUUGUUGGAUCAACUCAAAGGAGCCAAGUAGUUUUCUAAGAUUGAUUUGGCCUCAGAGUAUCAUCAGAUCCCUAUAGAGCCAAACGAUAUUAGAAAGACAGCAUUCCGGACCAGGUACGGCCACUACGAGUUUGUGGUUAUGCCAUUCGGUCUGACCAAUGCGCCUGCUGCAUUCAUGAAAAUGAUGAACAGUGUGUUCCGAGACUUCCCGGACGAAUCAGUGAUCAUCUUCAUUGAUGAUAUCCUGAUUUACUCCAAGGAUGAGGAAUCUCAUCGGAAACACCUGAGAGCCGUGCUGGAACGAUUAUGGGAACGCAAGCUCUAUGCAAAACUCAGUAAAUGCAGUUUUUGGCAGAAGAGCAUUGGGUUUCUCGGCCACAUUGUGUCCGGUGAGGGCGUCUCGGUGGAUCCAGAGAAGAUCAGGGCAAUCAAGGAUUGGCCUCGACCACGCAGUGCCACGGAAGUCAGAAGCUUCCUAGGGCUGGCAGGUUAUUAUAGAAAGUUUGUGAAAUGAUUCGCAAGCUUGGCUCAGCCUAUGACACGGUUGACCGGGAAGGACGUUAAGUUCACAUGGUCUGAAGAGUGUGGGAAAUGUUUUUCCGCGCUUAAGAAAAAGCUGAGUAGCGCACCCAUUUUGGUUCUUCCAGAGGCUGGCCAACCCUAUGAAGUUUAUACGGACGCGUCCAUAACAGGACUAGGUUGGUAUUAACCCAGCAUGGGAAGGUCAUCGCCAAUCCGUCAAGGCAGUUGAGAAAACAUGAGGGAAAUUACCCCACCCAUGACCUUGAAAUGGCUGCAGUAGUGUUCGCCUUAAAUAUUUGGCGAUCAUACUUGUAUGGUGCCAAGGUUCAGAUACUUACGGACCAUAAGAGUCUUAAGUAUAUAUUCACCCAGCCUGAGUUAAACUUAAGGCAGAGAAGGUGGAUGGAGUUUGUAGCUGAUUACGAUCUGGAUAUCACCAAUCAUCCGGGAAAGGCUAAUCUGGUCGAAGAUGCCUUGAGCCGGAGAAGGGCCGACGUAUCAGCCGAACGAGAAGCGGACGACCUGGACGGUACGGUUCGUGCCCUACGGUUGAACGCAUCAACCAAAGAGUCUGAACCACUCGGAUUAGAGGCGGUCAAUCAGGCUGACCUGCUUACCCGAAUUCGGUUGGCUCAAGGUCAGGACGAGAACCUGAACAAGGUUGCUCAGAAUGAUAGGACGGAGUACGAAACUGCAAAGGAUGGUACCAUCCUAGUAAACGGUCGGAUCAGUGUUCCUAAUGAUAGAAGUCUAAAGGAAGAGAUUAUGAGGGAGGCUCAUAAGUCCAGAUUCUCGGUUCAUCCUGGUGCGACCAAGAUGUACCAGAACAUUAAGAAGUUCUAUCAUUGGAUCCGUAUGAAGGCAGAUGUCGCGGAGUGGGUGGCCAAGUGUUCCACUUGCCAACUCAUCAAAGCAGAACAUCAAGUGCCUAGUGGGUUAUUGCAAAGGUUUCCUAUUCCGGAAUGGAAAUGGGAUCACAUCACAAUGGACUUUGUGACUGGGUUCCCAACCACGAGGAGUAAGAAAGAUGCGGUUUGGGUUGUGGUUGAUCGCCUGACCAAAUGAGCACACUUCCUGGCAAUCAAAAAGUCAGCUGAGGUAGAUCAGAUUGUACGUAAGUACAUUGAUGAGAUCGUCCGACUACAUGGUGUGCCGGCAAGCAUAGUUUCAGAUAGGGAUUCAAGGUUCACAUCUUACUUCUGGAGGGCUUUCCAAAAGGCUUUAGGAACAUGAGUGAACAUGAGUACAGCCUAUCACCCACGGACGGAUGGACAGUCUGAACGAACGAUCCAGACAUUGGAAGAUAUGGUGCGAGCAAGUGUUCUAGACUGGGGUGAUUCCUGGGAGAAACAUCUACCUCUGGUAGAAUUUGCUUACAACAAUAGCUUCCAUAGUAGUAUUUGCAUGUCGCCAUACAAAGCUCUGUAUGGGCAUCAAUGCAGGACACCCUUAUGCUGGACCCAAGUUGGGGAACGUAGCAUGAUUGGUCCGGAGAUUGUCGAAGAGACAACCGACAAGAUCAAGUUCUUGAGGGACAAGAUGAGACAGGCACAAGACCGCCAAAAGAACUAUGCAGAUCAAAAAAGGAAAGAUCUCGAGUUUCAAGUAGGUGACUUGGUGUAUCUAAAAAUGAUUACCUUCAAAGGACGAGUCCGGAUUUCCGGAAGACGGAAGUUAGAUCCGAGAUACUUGGGGGUGUUCAAGGUCAUUGAAAGAGUUGGGAUGGUGGCCUACAAGUUGGACUUGCCGACCAAGAUGGACGCAUUUCAUAAUGUGUUCCACGUCUCCCAACUUCAGAAAUGUUUGAUGGACCAAGACAUCGCUCUUCCUGCCAUUCCAGACGAUCUUGGUAAGAACCUAACCUUGGAAACGAGGCCAGUUUGAAUCAUAGAUAGGAUGGAAAAAGCAAUAAGGAAGAAGACGGUCCAGAUGGUCAAGGUCGUCUAGGACUGUAAUGGUCAGGAUAUAAUCACUUGGGAAACCGAAGCUAGAAUGAAAGCAAAGUACCCAGAGUGGUUGGAUCAGUUUGUUUCCGAGGAAGCAUUCGAUUCGGAUUCAAGGACGAAUCCAUCCUAAGGGGGGGGAGACUUGUCACGCCCCCAAUCCUGAAUAGGAUUGUUGGGACGACCAUGGUUCUAGGAAACGUGCAAGCCAGUCUUAGGACAUCAAGGAAAGCAUUCCAUGGUCGAGAAAGAAGGUUAAGGACAUAAGGAAACUUAGACUUAACCUUAUACAAGCUAAGAGACAGCUAGGACGAGUAAGGCGGUAACUGGACAAAGUGGACGAGUAGCUCGGCCAGCUCAAUGAAGCUAGGUUCAGUUCACUCCAGCUCAGUCCCUACUAAGUCAGCUCCACUAGCUGGACUACUAGCUCAUUCAGCUGAGACAGCUGAGAGUCAGCUCAUCUCAGCUAGAUGGACUGUCCGGGCUUUAGGCCGAUGGUCCGGGUCCGGGUCAGUGGCGGGCUGUGAGGUCCGGCCAUGAGGCCAUGGGCUGUUGCGUCUUUGGACAAGGCCGUGGGCUAAGUCCAGGAGGCCUGGGGCGUGGGUAGGGCUUGUGACCGACCCCAAACCCAAUCAGAAAGGGCAAAGGGAUGCAAGUGGCCGAAAGGGGACAACCCUUGGCCGAUGGUGCCCAUUCGCUAGCAAGUCGUGCAUGUUCGUGGGGCAAGACUUACCCCCUCGUUUUCUAUAAAUAUGGGGGCUCUCUGGUCGAUUUCAAUAUCCAAUUCCAGAGUAAAAUACUCAGAGAAAAACGUAGAGAGAAAGAAAGAGAGAAAGAGAGAGUUCCGGCCAAGAGAAAGGCCGAUUGUGGUGGUGUUGUGUUCCGGCGACUGAUCGUUUGAGAAGUAACUCCGGUCAAGAAUGGGAGAUCAAGACAAGGAGAAGAGCAUGGAGAACCCAGACGUGGUUCACAAGGUAUGUGAUGGGCCGUGGCUCUUUCAGAACGAACGGACGGUCCAUGCGACCGCACCGCGGCUAUGCUCGGUUCCUAAGUCCCAUCUGGCUCUCCUUAUCUGUUUCAAUUCGUUUCUCUUCUCUUCUCUCUGGUUAAACACGAAAGGUUGUGUUGGUUGAGUCCAAGGGACACAUCCCUAGACUUUGGCCGGACAUAAUCAAACCGCUAGCCUAGACACGGGUCGGUUAGUGGGAUGAUCCGAUCGCACCAAGCCUGGGCGGUUAGGACGAACGGUUGGGAAUGACCCAAAGGGCACGAGUUUUCAAGAGUCAUGAAUGUCCAAGAGGCACGAAUGGCCAAAGGGUACAUGUUCCAAACGUUGUCUUUCGGGACAGGUUAGGACCGAUCCUUAUGGAUCAGCCUAUGGAUUGUCUAGUUCUUUCGGGACAGGUUAGGACCGAUCCUUUGUCUAGUUAAGACAAGGUCACGAGUUAAGACAAGGUCACGGUUUGUCUAAGCCAAGGUAGAGUCGCAAGGUCUGACCGGUUGCUAAGCCUUCCGGAUUAGGGUUGAGGCUUACUCGGCCGAUUGGAUCCAGGCCUAAGGCCGGAUCAGGUAAGGGAGUCCGUUGGGCCAUUGAGCCGGACUCCAUUGGCCGGUCGCACCUAGAUUCUAUCUGGUUAGACGGAUUUGUCUUUGGGGACGAUCCGGAUCUGUUCGUGUGUUUUGUUUAUCUAUUUUGGAUGAUCUAUCUGAUUCUACGUCAAGGGGUGGUUGGUUGAAUGACUUAGGAUACGGUAGGUAGGUUCAUACGUUUUAUGAUUAUGUUGACUGAGGUUUAUCUAAGUUCUAGGAACCAAGCCAAGCAUUGUAGAAUCAAUCCGUUCUAUUCUUGGUUAUGAGUAAUGCUUAUCUUGUUGGGGUUUAAGGAACUAAGGAUGGAUUUGGUCAAGCCAAGGAGCCGUGAAGACUCGCUCAGUGAGAGGCUCUGUAACGUGUGGUUAGAUGAUGCUAGGGAUGAACUAGUGAUUGUCUAUGAGACUGUUAAGAAGUUGUGUAUUGAAUCUCAUGUUUCUAAGUAAUACAAAGUGUAUACAUUAUUAUUCCGCUGUGCAAUCUAUCCCUUUGUUUAUGAACCUCAUAUUCGAAUAUGACUUAGUAAAGAAAAGACUUAGAAUGAAUCAGACAAGCAAAGAACAGGAAUCAAGUUAGGUUGAGAGACCAGGAACGGGUCUUACAGGACGUCCGUGGAUGUCCGCCAGCACACACAGGACGUCUGUGGCUGUCCGUGUGUGUCAGUCUGUGUCCGUGUGUGUCCGUCAGCACAGCACACACAGGACGUCUGUGGCUGUCCGUGUGUGUCCGUCAGCACACACAGGACAUCCAUGGCUGUCUGUGUGUCCGUCUGUGUCCGUCAGCACACACAGGACGUCCGUGGCUGUCCCUCAGUACACAUAUCCGCACGUUGGUUCUUGGACUCAGUAUGCUGGCCCUUCCUGUGGACUGUUUGGGUGAUUUUAUCCCACGUGGGCUGUCUGUUCAGUACACACAGGACGUCCGUGGGUGUCCGCCAGCACACACGGGACGUCCGUGGCUGUCCGUGUGUGUCCGUCUGUGUCCGUCAGCACACACAGGACGUCCAUGGCUGUCCCUCAGUACACAUAUCAGCUCGUUGGUCCUGGGACUCAGCAUGCUGUCCCUUCCUGUGGACUGCUUGGGUGAUUUUGUCCCAAGUGGGCUAUCUGUUCAGUACUCACAGGACGUCCGUGGGUUUCCACCAGCAAACAGGACGUCCGUGGCGGUCCGUGUGUGUCCGUCAGCACACACAGGACGUCCGUGGCUGUCCAUCAGUAUACAUAUCAGCACGCUGGUCCUUGGACUCAGCACGCUGGCCCUUCCCGUGGACUUUUUGGGUGAUUUUGGCCCAUGUGGGCUGUCUGUUCAGUACACACAGGAUGUCUGUUGGUGUCCGUGAGCACACACAGGUCGUCCGUGUGUGUCUGUCAGCACACACAGAACAUUCGUGGCUGUGCGUGUGUGUCCGUGUGUGUCUGUCAGCACACACAUGACGUCUGUGGCUGUCCAUUAGUACACAUAUCAGCACGUUGGUCCUUUGACUCCGCACGCUGACCCUUCCUGUGGACUGUUCGGGUAAUUUUGGCUCUCGUGGGCUGUCUGUUCAGUACACACAUGACGUCUGUGGGUGUUCGCCAACACACACAGGACGUACGUGGCUAUCCGUGUGUGUCCAUCUGUGUCCGUCAGCACACACAGGACGCCCGUGGCUGUCCCUCAGUACACAUAUCAGCACGUUGGUCCUUGGACUCAGCACGCUGGCCCUUCCCGUGGACUGUUUGGGUGAUUUUAUCCCACGUGGGCUGUCUGUUCAGUACACACUGGACGUCCGUGGGUGUNNNNNNNNNNNNNNNNNNNNNNNNNNNNNNNNNNNNNNNNNNNNNNNNNNNNNNNNNNNNNNNNNNNNNNNNNNNNNNNNNNNNNNNNNNNNNNNNNNNNNNNNNNNNNNNNNNNNNNNNNNNNNNNNNNNNNNNNNNNNNNNNNNNNNNNNNNNNNNNNNNNNNNNNNNNNNNNNNNNNNNNNNNNNNNNNNNNNNNNNNNNNNNNNNNNNNNNNNNNNNNNNNNNNNNNNNNNNNNNNNNNNNNNNNNNNNNNNNNNNNNNNNNNNNNNNNNNNNNNNNNNNNNNNNNNNNNNNNNNNNNNNNNNNNNNNNNNNNNNNNNNNNNNNNNNNNNNNNNNNNNNNNNNNNNNNNNNNNNNNNNNNNNNNNNNNNNNNNNNNNNNNNNNNNNNNNNNNNNNNNNNNNNNNNNNNNNNNNNNNNNNNNNNNNNNNNNNNNNNNNNNNNNNNNNNNNNNNNNNNNNNNNNNNNNNNNNNNNNNNNNNNNNNNNNNNNNNNNNNNNNNNNNNNNNNNNNNNNNNNNNNNNNNNNNNNNNNNNNNNNNNNNNNNNNNNNNNNNNNNNNNNNNNNNNNNNNNNNNNNNNNNNNNNNNNNNNNNNNNNNNNNNNNNNNNNNNNNNNNNNNNNNNNNNNNNNNNNNNNNNNNNNNNNNNNNNNNNNNNNNNNNNNNNNNNNNNNNNNNNNNNNNNNNNNNNNNNNNNNNNNNNNNNNNNNNNNNNNNNNNNNNNNNNNNNNNNNNNNNNNNNNNNNNNNNNNNNNNNNNNNNNNNNNNNNNNNNNNNNNNNNNNNNNNNNNNNNNNNNNNNNNNNNNNNNNNNNNNNNNNNNNNNNNNNNNNNNNNNNNNNNNNNNNNNNNNNNNNNNNNNNNNNNNNNNNNNNNNNNNNNNNNNNNNNNNNNNNNNNNNNNNNNNNNNNNNNNNNNNNNNNNNNNNNNNNNNNNNNNNNNNNNNNNNNNNNNNNNNNNNNNNNNNNNNNNNNNNNNNNNNNNNNNNNNNNNNNNNNNNNNNNNNNNNNNNNNNNNNNNNNNNNNNNNNNNNNNNNNNNNNNNNNNNNNNNNNNNNNNNNNNNNNNNNNNNNNNNNNNNNNNNNNNNNNNNNNNNNNNNNNNNNNNNNNNNNNNNNNNNNNNNNNNNNNNNNNNNNNNNNNNNNNNNNNNNNNNNNNNNNNNNNNNNNNNNNNNNNNNNNNNNNNNNNNNNNNNNNNNNNNNNNNNNNNNNNNNNNNNNNNNNNNNNNNNNNNNNNNNNNNNNNNNNNNNNNNNNNNNNNNNNNNNNNNNNNNNNNNNNNNNNNNNNNNNNNNNNNNNNNNNNNNNNNNNNNNNNNNNNNNNNNNNNNNNNNNNNNNNNNNNNNNNNNNNNNNNNNNNNNNNNNNNNNNNNNNNNNNNNNNNNNNNNNNNNNNNNNNNNNNNNNNNNNNNNNNNNNNNNNNNNNNNNNNNNNNNNNNNNNNNNNNNNNNNNNNNNNNNNNNNNNNNNNNNNNNNNNNNNNNNNNNNNNNNNNNNNNNNNNNNNNNNNNNNNNNNNNNNNNNNNNNNNNNNNNNNNNNNNNNNNNNNNNNNNNNNNNNNNNNNNNNNNNNNNNNNNNNNNNNNNNNNNNNNNNNNNNNNNNNNNNNNNNNNNNNNNNNNNNNNNNNNNNNNNNNNNNNNNNNNNNNNNNNNNNNNNNNNNNNNNNNNNNNNNNNNNNNNNNNNNNNNNNNNNNNNNNNNNNNNNNNNNNNNNNNNNNNNNNNNNNNNNNNNNNNNNNNNNNNNNNNNNNNNNNNNNNNNNNNNNNNNNNNNNNNNNNNNNNNNNNNNNNNNNNNNNNNNNNNNNNNNNNNNNNNNNNNNNNNNNNNNNNNNNNNNNNNNNNNNNNNNNNNNNNNNNNNNNNNNNNNNNNNNNNNNNNNNNNNNNNNNNNNNNNNNNNNNNNNNNNNNNNNNNNNNNNNNNNNNNNNNNNNNNNNNNNNNNNNNNNNNNNNNNNNNNNNNNNNNNNNNNNNNNNNNNNNNNNNNNNNNNNNNNNNNNNNNNNNNNNNNNNNNNNNNNNNNNNNNNNNNNNNNNNNNNNNNNNNNNNNNNNNNNNNNNNNNNNNNNNNNNNNNNNNNNNNNNNNNNNNNNNNNNNNNNNNNNNNNNNNNNNNNNNNNNNNNNNNNNNNNNNNNNNNNNNNNNNNNNNNNNNNNNNNNNNNNNNNNNNNNNNNNNNNNNNNNNNNNNNNNNNNNNNNNNNNNNNNNNNNNNNNNNNNNNNNNNNNNNNNNNNNNNNNNNNNNNNNNNNNNNNNNNNNNNNNNNNNNNNNNNNNNNNNNNNNNNNNNNNNNNNNNNNNNNNNNNNNNNNNNNNNNNNNNNNNNNNNNNNNNNNNNNNNNNNNNNNNNNNNNNNNNNNNNNNNNNNNNNNNNNNNNNNNNNNNNNNNNNNNNNNNNNNNNNNNNNNNNNNNNNNNNNNNNNNNNNNNNNNNNNNNNNNNNNNNNNNNNNNNNNNNNNNNNNNNNNNNNNNNNNNNNNNNNNNNNNNNNNNNNNNNNNNNNNNNNNNNNNNNNNNNNNNNNNNNNNNNNNNNNNNNNNNNNNNNNNNNNNNNNNNNNNNNNNNNNNNNNNNNNNNNNNNNNNNNNNNNNNNNNNNNNNNNNNNNNNNNNNNNNNNNNNNNNNNNNNNNNNNNNNNNNNNNNNNNNNNNNNNNNNNNNNNNNNNNNNNNNNNNNNNNNNNNNNNNNNNNNNNNNNNNNNNNNNNNNNNNNNNNNNNNNNNNNNNNNNNNNNNNNNNNNNNNNNNNNNNNNNNNNNNNNNNNNNNNNNNNNNNNNNNNNNNNNNNNNNNNNNNNNNNNNNNNNNNNNNNNNNNNNNNNNNNNNNNNNNNNNNNNNNNNNNNNNNNNNNNNNNNNNNNNNNNNNNNNNNNNNNNNNNNNNNNNNNNNNNNNNNNNNNNNNNNNNNNNNNNNNNNNNNNNNNNNNNNNNNNNNNNNNNNNNNNNNNNNNNNNNNNNNNNNNNNNNNNNNNNNNNNNNNNNNNNNNNNNNNNNNNNNNNNNNNNNNNNNNNNNNNNNNNNNNNNNNNNNNNNNNNNNNNNNNNNNNNNNNNNNNNNNNNNNNNNNNNNNNNNNNNNNNNNNNNNNNNNNNNNNNNNNNNNNNNNNNNNNNNNNNNNNNNNNNNNNNNNNNNNNNNNNNNNNNNNNNNNNNNNNNNNNNNNNNNNNNNNNNNNNNNNNNNNNNNNNNNNNNNNNNNNNNNNNNNNNNNNNNNNNNNNNNNNNNNNNNNNNNNNNNNNNNNNNNNNNNNNNNNNNNNNNNNNNNNNNNNNNNNNNNNNNNNNNNNNNNNNNNNNNNNNNNNNNNNNNNNNNNNNNNNNNNNNNNNNNNNNNNNNNNNNNNNNNNNNNNNNNNNNNNNNNNNNNNNNNNNNNNNNNNNNNNNNNNNNNNNNNNNNNNNNNNNNNNNNNNNNNNNNNNNNNNNNNNNNNNNNNNNNNNNNNNNNNNNNNNNNNNNNNNNNNNNNNNNNNNNNNNNNNNNNNNNNNNNNNNNNNNNNNNNNNNNNNNNNNNNNNNNNNNNNNNNNNNNNNNNNNNNNNNNNNNNNNNNNNNNNNNNNNNNNNNNNNNNNNNNNNNNNNNNNNNNNNNNNNNNNNNNNNNNNNNNNNNNNNNNNNNNNNNNNNNNNNNNNNNNNNNNNNNNNNNNNNNNNNNNNNNNNNNNNNNNNNNNNNNNNNNNNNNNNNNNNNNNNNNNNNNNNNNNNNNNNNNNNNNNNNNNNNNNNNNNNNNNNNNNNNNNNNNNNNNNNNNNNNNNNNNNNNNNNNNNNNNNNNNNNNNNNNNNNNNNNNNNNNNNNNNNNNNNNNNNNNNNNNNNNNNNNNNNNNNNNNNNNNNNNNNNNNNNNNNNNNNNNNNNNNNNNNNNNNNNNNNNNNNNNNNNNNNNNNNNNNNNNNNNNNNNNNNNNNNNNNNNNNNNNNNNNNNNNNNNNNNNNNNNNNNNNNNNNNNNNNNNNNNNNNNNNNNNNNNNNNNNNNNNNNNNNNNNNNNNNNNNNNNNNNNNNNNNNNNNNNNNNNNNNNNNNNNNNNNNNNNNNNNNNNNNNNNNNNNNNNNNNNNNNNNNNNNNNNNNNNNNNNNNNNNNNNNNNNNNNNNNNNNNNNNNNNNNNNNNNNNNNNNNNNNNNNNNNNNNNNNNNNNNNNNNNNNNNNNNNNNNNNNNNNNNNNNNNNNNNNNNNNNNNNNNNNNNNNNNNNNNNNNNNNNNNNNNNNNNNNNNNNNNNNNNNNNNNNNNNNNNNNNNNNNNNNNNNNNNNNNNNNNNNNNNNNNNNNNNNNNNNNNNNNNNNNNNNNNNNNNNNNNNNNNNNNNNNNNNNNNNNNNNNNNNNNNNNNNNNNNNNNNNNNNNNNNNNNNNNNNNNNNNNNNNNNNNNNNNNNNNNNNNNNNNNNNNNNNNNNNNNNNNNNNNNNNNNNNNNNNNNNNNNNNNNNNNNNNNNNNNNNNNNNNNNNNNNNNNNNNNNNNNNNNNNNNNNNNNNNNNNNNNNNNNNNNNNNNNNNNNNNNNNNNNNNNNNNNNNNNNNNNNNNNNNNNNNNNNNNNNNNNNNNNNNNNNNNNNNNNNNNNNNNNNNNNNNNNNNNNNNNNNNNNNNNNNNNNNNNNNNNNNNNNNNNNNNNNNNNNNNNNNNNNNNNNNNNNNNNNNNNNNNNNNNNNNNNNNNNNNNNNNNNNNNNNNNNNNNNNNNNNNNNNNNNNNNNNNNNNNNNNNNNNNNNNNNNNNNNNNNNNNNNNNNNNNNNNNNNNNNNNNNNNNNNNNNNNNNNNNNNNNNNNNNNNNNNNNNNNNNNNNNNNNNNNNNNNNNNNNNNNNNNNNNNNNNNNNNNNNNNNNNNNNNNNNNNNNNNNNNNNNNNNNNNNNNNNNNNNNNNNNNNNNNNNNNNNNNNNNNNNNNNNNNNNNNNNNNNNNNNNNNNNNNNNNNNNNNNNNNNNNNNNNNNNNNNNNNNNNNNNNNNNNNNNNNNNNNNNNNNNNNNNNNNNNNNNNNNNNNNNNNNNNNNNNNNNNNNNNNNNNNNNNNNNNNNNNNNNNNNNNNNNNNNNNNNNNNNNNNNNNNNNNNNNNNNNNNNNNNNNNNNNNNNNNNNNNNNNNNNNNNNNNNNNNNNNNNNNNNNNNNNNNNNNNNNNNNNNNNNNNNNNNNNNNNNNNNNNNNNNNNNNNNNNNNNNNNNNNNNNNNNNNNNNNNNNNNNNNNNNNNNNNNNNNNNNNNNNNNNNNNNNNNNNNNNNNNNNNNNNNNNNNNNNNNNNNNNNNNNNNNNNNNNNNNNNNNNNNNNNNNNNNNNNNNNNNNNNNNNNNNNNNNNNNNNNNNNNNNNNNNNNNNNNNNNNNNNNNNNNNNNNNNNNNNNNNNNNNNNNUCCGUGGCUGUUUAUGGCUGUCCGUCAGCACACACAGGACGUCCGUGUGUGUCCGUGUGUGUCUGUCAGCAGACACAGGAUGUCCAUGGGUGUGCGUCAGCAGUCACAGCACGUCCGUGUGUGUCCGUCAGCAUACACAGGACGUCCGUGGCUGUCCGUGUGUGUCCGUCUGCACACACAGGAAGUUCGUGGCUGUCCAUCAGUACACAUAUCAGCACGUUGGUCCUUUGACUCUGCACGCUGGCCCUUCCUUUGGACUGUUUGGGUGAUUUUGGCCCACGUGGGCUAUCUGUUCAGUACACACAGGACGUCCGUGGGUGUCCGCCAGCACACACAGGACGUCUGUGGCUGUGCGUGUGUGUCCGUCAGCACACACAUGACGUCUGUGGCUGUCCAUCAGUACACAUAUCAGCACGUUGGUCCUUGGACUCAGCACGCUUACCCUUCCCGUGGACUGUUCGGGUGAUUUAGGCCCACGUGGGCUGUCUGUUCAGUACACACAGGACGUCUGUGGGUGUCCAUCAGCANNNNNNNNNNNNNNNNNNNNNNNNNNNNNNNNNNNNNNNNNNNNNNNNNNNNNNNNNNNNNNNNNNNNNNNNNNNNNNNNNNNNNNNNNNNNNNNNNNNNUUUGUGUGUUGUGAGGAAGAGAGUUGUGGGAAAUGACAUAUAUAUAGAGAAAUUUUCGAGUUGGGUAGUUGAAAAAUAACAACGAUUUUACAAGGAAUAUUUUACAUGGAUUUUACAUGGUUUUAACAUAUUAUUUACAACGAAUUUACGACGAAAUUAGGUAAGUUAAAGCACAUUGAAUACACGUUUUCACCUAAAUAUAACGGUAACAUGAUUCGUUGUAAUGUCGAUGUAAAGUUUACUUUUCGACGUACUUGCGUCGUAAUAUUACAUGGCGUUUACGACGAAAUUUGGUUUCGUUGGUUUCGUCGUAAUUGCGUUGUUAAGCCACCAGUUACUAUUUCUAAGACGACGAUAAGGAACCUGUGUCGUUCGUCUGUCUGCCAAUUCAGUGGAAUGACAAGGAGAAAGUGGACGGAAGUGCAGCUGGUUUGUACUUGAGAGGAACCUUUGACGAUGGUUGGAGGUUCCUUUCAAGUAUAAACCAACUGCACUUCCGUCCACUUCUCCUUGUCGCUCCACUGAAUUGGCAGACAGACGAAUGACUCAUGUUCCUUAUCGUCAUCUUCGAAAUAGUAAUUGGUGGCUGAAUGAGGAACAUAGUCUAAACGCCAUCAGGUUCGAGAGGAAGAGAGUUGUGUGUUGUGAAGAAGAGAGUUGUGGGAAAUGACAUAUAUAUAUAGAGAAAUAUAACAAUGAUUUUACAAGGAAAUUUUUACAUGGAUUUUACAUGGAACAUUUACAACGACUUUACAACGAAUUUAGGUAAGUUAAAGCACAUUGAAUGCACGUUUUCACCUUUAUAUAACGGUAACAUGAUUCGUUGUAUUGUCGAUGUAACGUUUACAACUAUUUCGCAUUCCACGUACUUUCGUCGUAAACUUACAUUGACUUUACGACGAAAUUUUUUCGUCGUAAAUUACCAUGGAGUUUACGACGAAAUAAUGUCUCGUCGUAAUUGCGUUGUAAAGCCCAUGUAAAGUUACGAGGAAAUAAUUUCGUCGUAAACCGCCGUUGUUACUGCUACGUUUUCUUGUAGUGCAUUUCCUAUAAACAUAAAAUAAUGAUAGUAUUACAUUACAGGAUAUAAGGUUUGGAAUUUUUAAUAAUGAUAUAAUUGGAAAAUACUUCACCAAUUAGGCCACCAAUCCACCAUUAUAAUACUUUUACUAUAUUUUUCUAACAAUUAAUCUAUGAAUGAUUCUUUUACGUAGUGGCCCGUACAACAUGGCCUUUAUCACAGAUUCACAAUUCACGUUCUUCUUUUUCUUGUACGCAUUAGUAGAUUAUUAUUUUCUGUUUAUUUAUGCCAGCAGUUAUAAGUUUUUUUCUGUACCAAAUUCAAAUGAUUGAUUACUUUUUCCUUCCUAAAAAAGACAUCCAGAGUAUUUUUCAGGGAUAAGUAGGUUUGUAUAAAUCCGUACAUUUUCAUGAUUUAAUAUAAAUAAAUUCAUAGAAAAAAUCAUAUAAAAUUGAAUUGCUACUAACUUCCCUGGAGAGAAACAAACAUGUAUGAUUGAGCCCCUAUGAAUACUUGAGAAAAUAUAAUUAACCGGAAUAAAACAAGCUGGCUUUUAUUCCCUGAUCUUCUACAACAUGCCUCUGAUCAAUAAUGAUGUUCAUGAUUGUAAUUAGUUUUAGAUGAUUAUUCGAUAAUAGUAUAUUACAUCUAUAAUAUAUAUUUAUAUAUGUGAUACACAUCCCCAAUCUAUUUAUUAUAUAUUUACAUAUAUGAUACACAUCCCCAUUUCCGUUUUAUUUUAAUCUGAUCCUGCGUUUGCUUUUGCUUGAUCUGAUUUCCAAUGUCUUCAAGAUUUGAUUUGCUGUUUUACAAAAUGGAUAGAUGCGUUAAAAGUUGUGACAAGAUAGGAUGAUGCAUUAAGUGGCUACAAACUAAGAAAAUCAUCUCUUUUAGUUUAUACUAUUAUUCCACUAAGUUCACAACUCUCAAGCCCAAAUUAUCUUAUAAUGUAUAUUGGGCUACUAAUACUUUGAGACCAACACACAUUUUCUAGUAAUGGUUGUGGAAAUGGAUAGCUCAAAUGGUAACUAAUGGAUAGAUCAAAUGGUAACUAAAUCAAAUAGUCUGCAAGUGUCUUUUUUCUUUAGCUAUUUAUCUCCAGGUUUCCCUCUCUUUCAUCUGGCUAAGCACGAUUAUUAGGGGUUCUUAGAUUGGAGUUUUUAGCGGAAUAUAAGAACCCGUCUCUUAACUUUUAACUAAAAAAAUUAAGAACCGGUUCUUAAAAGUCUUAUUUAAGAACGGUUCUUAAGUUUUUUUAGUUAAAAGUUAAGAGACGGAUUCUUAUAUUCCGGUAAGAGCUCCAUCUUAAGAACUCGCAAUAAUCAUGCUCUAGCGACGUCGUCUGUCCUUGCAUGUGACGGAAGUUUCUAAAUAUAGUACAUUAUUGAUGUUUCAUGAUCUUUCUAUUGUUUGAUUUUGGUGUUUUGUGAUUCAAAAGAUGAAGACUUUGUUCUGUAGAGCGAUUUUUUUAAAUUAAAAAUCGUUACAUACAGAUAUGACCAGUUAUGGGCAUAGUCGGAUGAGAAUACGUCUUGACUUUCCAAAUUUUAAACACUAUUAUACAUAUGUCGCAUGGAUAUCAAAUUAUUUAAAAUAAUUUUAAAAUGUCUAUGAUCUUUUAAAUCUCAGAUCUAGCUCUGUACAGAUUCAAUAAACUUGCGUUGAUACUUCACAUUUUUGUUAGUUUUUUGGUAUUGUUUCUUUAGCCACGCAUACGUUUUCCAAAAAAUGGCUCAACGACGUUCAUGGUAUGUCUUUUGUUCUAUGUUAUAUCUUAUGAUAUGUAUAAAAAAUAAUCAGUGUAUUUUUAUAAAAAAAAUAAUAUUGCCCAAGAAAGCUUUACUCAAGCAGAUUUUUUUUUUUUGUUACCAGCUCAACAGAGACAUUUCUAAAAAAUGGGUUCCACGAAUGAGAGUUUAUUCCACAUGUGGGAAACAUGAUUCGAACAUCAACGCCUGAAGAUGAUGUCGGAUCUAUGGCGAAUGACUAAGCUAAACAACACUGACAUUGAAAGUCACGAUAUACAUUAUCAUUAAGUCGAUCUCCAAGCGACAUACAAAUAAAAUUAGUAGCUAAUGUACAGUGUUUCAUGGAAUGGAAGAGUUGAUAUUGAUCAUUAAUUAAGGGUCGACAUACAAAAAAGAAAUUAAAGGUUCUAAUUAAUUUUGCUUUGAAUAUAUGCUAUGUUUAGAGCUGUCUUGUAUUAAAAUAAACCAAAAUAUAGUUCACAGCCAUCAAAGAGAAAGAAACCACUCAGAAAAGCCAAUAAUUUCGGUGUAAUUAAGCUCUAGCAAAUUGAUAUUACUGCUGUGUUUUUUUCUAUAGAAAAAAAUACAUUGAACCAAUGAUAUUUUGUCGUCACUAUGGAAUCCAUGUCAUAGACAUAAGCUAAUACGGAUUUAGCAAAUUCUCUCUUGAUUUCAAAGCUAGUUAUGAUUCAUACUCUCUAUCCAAGAAGGUUUUUGUUAUUUGUCAGAUCACCAAUCGAGUCUAUAAGAUUUUGGAAAUUAUAUUUUGUUUUCUUUUAGUUUUGGAAUGUAUAUAUACAUGUAAACCAAUGAAUCUGCCGAGAUAAAAAGAUAUUUAGGAGCACAUCCCUUGUGGGACGAGGCAGCAUAAUAAUUUGUCUGGUGAAGUAUUUUAAAAUGCAAACAGCCACAUAACUUUUCGUUAACAUAUCUUCACGAUUUUAUUCCGCACAUCUUCAAAUCUGAUGCGUCUUUGAUAUAAGUUAUUCUUAUGCUUGAUAGUGAAAAUUAUAGACAUGUUCUAUAACUCGUGUGUUCUAAACAUAUAUGAGUUGCUUAAUACACAAAAAUAUACUACGUACAUGCAUGUAUAUAUAUAUGCGAAUUUACGUAUACAAUUUAAAUUUUCUUUAACAUUUCCAUCCUGCUUUGUUUUCAACUUUCAAUUAAUUGAAAUGGUUUGAAAACUAGCUAUACUAUUGUUUUUUACUUAUUGAUCUGCUAUGGCUAUCCAUCCUUAUAUAUAUAUAUGAUGGUUCUACUACUGAAUUUGAAAUUGAGUGUAUUUAAAUGUUCAAAUUUACCAUAAUAAGUUAAUAACAGUCUCUUGAUUAUUUUAUUUAUUAUGUGAUGUAUAAACUGUAUACAUUUAUUAAUGAAUUCAAUAUAUUGCUCGAUGAUUGAUUCAGCUUUUUGAAGUUCCUUUCAGUAGUAACUAAUAAGAAUAUAAAGGAGCACUAAAAAGUCUCGAGUUAUGUAUUUGAUUCAAAGUUCCUUUUAGUAGUAACUAAUAAAUGAACUCAAAAUACGAACCAAGCCACACUUCCCGUCUAAGAACGUCGCGACCAAAGUUUGACUCUGUUAAGCAAUUCUUGUCGAUAUAUCUAUUUUACUUUAUUAUCGAUCGUUUUGUAUUUGAUUCCUCAAAUAUUAGCAAGGAAAGAUUCAAAGUAGUUAUUCUUCUAAAGCAUAUAUUUACUUUGCAAUAGAAUUAGAAUGAUAGACUCAUGCAUUGAUGGUAAAAUAGAAACUGAGCCAUCGAUUCAAAUUGAUGAAGCUGUUAUUUUUUAUUGUCUGAAACAAACCGCGUUAUUUCAUAUGAUCUUAAAAAUAUGUAAUUUUGUUGAACAAAAAAGAAGAAGUAAAUUUGUGUUUUUUUUUUGAAACAUAAGUAACUUUGUAUACAGUAAACAUACUAAAUAAAAAAGGUUAUAGAUAUACCUAACUUAUAUCAUGUGUUUUUCAUGCUUAUUGGUUGUAAUUUGUAAAUAGUUGUUGAUUGUAUUGUUCUGUACAUGAUCAGGUUGUAUAUAACAUCUAAAUUGAUAUACUAUAAACUAGUAUAAAGUAUUUGGUUCAGCCUCUGGUUUAAGACUAUCUUACAAUGUGUAUAUAAACUCCCAGUUGUACAUUUUGCCUAAUUAAUGAAAACAAGAUUUAUUUGGUAAAAUGUAAUAAUUGAGGGUUUAUGUUAAAGUAGAAGUAAAAAAAGUUUAUGAGAAGAAUUCUGAAAGUAAUAGCUAGGACUCCAACGUUUUGGAAGAUAAGUGGAGUGGGUGAAAUGAACACACAAAAACCUAAUAAAUAAGUAAUGACAAAGGAUUGAAAUGGUUAAAGGUCGGCCUCAUGUCCUCUCUUGUCUCAUAUGAUAUGGUCCUCGUCAGAUUUCACUCAUUUUAUUUUUGCUAAAUCAUUAUGUAUAAGUUAUGUAAAAAAAAAGACUUAUUGCGCUAUGUUCGAGUUUUUUUUAUUGUUUAACUUUUUAGUAGUAUCUCAUAAAUUGAAGAAACUUGAAGUUAUUCAUAAAUAAAUACCAAUGGUCUGAUUUCGUGUUUGAAAAUACUUAUUUGUAAGGAUAGAAGGAAAAUUAUGGUUUUCGAUGACAUCAAUCAGUGUAAGAAAUAACAAGGAUUGAAAUAUCUAUAAGAAAAUUUGGAUUUUGAUUAUAAUUUCAGAAUAAUCCUUCAAAUACUAAAUCAUUGUUACAUUACAGCAUUUUCCAAUCGAUUAUUUUUUACUUCCUAACCCGAUGAAACUUUGUGGAAACAUUUUAGCAAAAAAUAAAACAUUGUGAAAUUUUUUUUUUUUUCAUUGUGAAAACUUUAUCCAAAUAAGAAGCAUUGAGAUAAAACAACAGUAUAUGUCGGAGUCAGCGGAUAUUAGGAAAGUAAAUGCGACUUUGAAUAAAUUUCAAAGCUUUAAUUUAGAAAACAGUUAUACGUACGUGUCGUGCAGUGUUGCAUGUACUAAUGUAUACAUACAUACAUCAUAUCUCUACUCUCUGAAAUUUCAACAUAAACAACGUAUAUAUUUAAAUUAGAAGUUUAGAAUAUAUAUAGCUAGCUAGAGAGUGAAAUAAUCAACAAUGUUAGAGACAAUUUUAAUAAAAUGUUCUUAUAUUAAAACAAACAGUUGUAGUGUGAUUUUCUUAUCGUUACCUUACUUGACUGCAUAUACGUGAUUAAUAUAGGCCUUAAUUAUUCAAAAUUACGACUAAAAAUAAAUGAUCGAAGAUAGAAAUCAAAAGCGUGCAAGAUUUAUAAAAGUAUGAUGGGCUCCAACUAGAAAUCACUUAUUAACAAGAUAAAAAAGAAGAAGAAGAGAGAUCAGAUAACUUUAGAAACCAACAAUGGCGAACAAAAGGACAAACUAUCAACGUCAUCCCUCUUCUUCAUUUCCCACGUGCUUCAAAUUUUCAUUUCAAUAAUUUUUUUUUGUAUUUAUCAUUUUUUCUUAUAAAUAGGGUAUUUUUCUUCUCCAAAUCUUCGAACAAGUCAUACAUAAAGAGGCGUUAUAAAACCUACCAAAAAUAUUUCGAGCUUUGAUAUAAGUCUUGAACUAAUAAUGGAAUGGAGAGAGUGUUAUUUAGAUGUGAUCUUGGUGCCGCCAGGGAUAAUGGUAUAUGCUACUUACCACGUUUACUUGUGGUACAAGUUACGUACACAGCCUCUCACCACCAUCAUCGGUACCAACGCUAGAGCUCGCCGUUUCUGGGUCGCUUCUAUCAUCAAGGUAAUAUUUAAACAUGUAUACAUCUAUACGUAUCCAUACACGUAUAUGUAACUAUAUGUAUUUGGAUAAAUUAGGACAACGAGAAGAAGAACAUCUUGGCCGUUCAGACGCUAAGAAACUGCAUAAUGGGAUCAACAUUAAUGGCCACAACGUCGAUUCUUCUCUGCGCGGGUCUAGCCGCGGUUAUAAGCAGCACGUACGCAGUAAAGAAGCCUCUAAACGACGCCGUUUACGGAGCUCACGGGGAGUUCAUGGUGGCUCUCAAGUAUGUCACAAUCCUCACCAUCUUCCUCUUCUCCUUCUUCUCUCACUCUCUCUCGAUCCGGUUCAUCAACCAAGUCAACAUCCUCAUCAACACUCCUUUUCCUCCAGAGGAGUUGGAUGAGGAGAUGAUGGUAACGCCGGAGGAGUACGUGGCGGAGUUGCUGGAGAGAGGAUUUGUUUUGAACACGGUGGGUAAUAGGUUGUUCUAUGCGGCGUUGCCUUUGAUGCUUUGGAUAUUUGGACCGGUGCUUGUGUUCUUGUGCUCGGUCAUGAUGGUUCCUCUUCUUUAUAACCUCGAUUUUUUCUUCUUUGGUAAACAAAGGAAAAAAAUCGAUGGAAAAACUAGUUGUGGAAUUGUGUAGUACCGAGUUUGAGUUGGUCGAGCAAGUGAUGGUGAAUAAGUGAUCGAUGAUUCAAUAAAACAUGACACAAUUGCAGAUUUGGAAGAUUAGUUUAGUUUUCGACUUAAGAUCGUUUUGUUCAAGCGACUUUCUGAGUAUAUUAUGCGUAGAGUAGUGUAUUAAUCAUGGUCAUAUAGCAUUUGAUUAGGGCUUAUGGAGCGUUAGAUGAUGAAAGAGUAUGAGUUACAUCAUGGGAACUUUAAGAUAUAUUAUUGUAUUGGAGUAUGUUUGUUGUGUCACGUUUUGGUUUGUUGAGAUUUGAGCGUUAUUAUUGGCGUUUCCAUGUGGGUAACUUUAUAAUGUAUACGCGUAUGAUUAUGUUAUAUGUGUGCGUAUUUUCUGUUAUAAUUCACGUGACAUACGUCUAGCAAGAAAAUGUGAAGUGUACAUAUUGAUUCCGUGCAUUAGUAUCACUCUGAGUUAGUUGUCAUGUGUCGGGACCAGUCGUCACGAUCGAGCUAUAUAUAUCCUCACAAUAUACAACAGUUUUUUAAAAGGGUUAAUAUACAACAGUUUUUUCUGCAUAUAGUAUGAAACCAUAAUGAUUAAAACUGCUAACUACAUAGUAUCAGAGUUUUUUUUUCUUUUUUUAAUCAGCUCUUACCGAGUUGUGGAAGCCCAUGCAUGUUCAGAUGAAACUAAAAUUGUUUGUUAAUGAACUUUUUUUGUUCUUUAAAAAAAAAAUUAUAAGUUGGAUCAGUUCAGUCCAAGAAAAGAUGUUUCUCACAGCAAAAAUUUACAGUUUUGCAUUGGAAAAUUAUGUGGUUAUUGAUGUGCCUUAGUUUGAAUAGCCAAAGGGGGUCACUAAAUAUUAAUGUGGCCAAAAUAACCAGUCAUGGUAACACACUAUAUAUGGCUAAUUAGAAAGUAAUAAAAUAAUGUCAACUAAUCCACAAAAUAUAUACAAAUAAACAUUUGGCUGGACGACAGUAGAUUAUAUGUGGCCAUCCAUGGUCAAAGAGUUGCUUGGUAACACACAAGCUCCACGGCUAACAACCGCUAAUUCACAACUGAUAAAAAUUGAUGUCUAUUUAGAUACACAAACACAUACAAAUAAACAAUGAUUAUAAUUGGCAAUGAGCAUACCAUGAAAUAAUACGGCUAAAUUUGUCCUCAAAGUGGCAUGUUUGCAUUCUCAAGUAUGUGAUUGAUAUGAAUGUUUGCUUCUAAAUUUGUAACCUCAAGAUUAAAGAAUGAACAUCUUUCCUAGAGAAUACAAAAGCUAUAGCUAUAAGUCAAAUAUCAGAUAGUUGUCAUGUUCUGCAAUUAGAGUAACAAUGACAAAGUGACUAGCAUGUUCUGCAACUAAGGUCAUCCACAACACUUGGCAAAUUAAGAUUUACAAAUGUGAUAAAUCUCUCUCAUCCGAGAGCACAAUUCUCUCAUCUCUCCUUACUAUUAUGUUUUUUUAUGUUUUUAUUUUUAUUUUCUGAAAACAACAAUGAGAGGCUUACCCUUAUGGAUAGUCUAAGAAUCGAUAUGAAUAAUAUGUUAUUCAAUGUUCAUUUAUGGCUGAGUAUAUGAUUUCUUUUUUAUGUUGAGAUCAUGUUCAACUGUUGUUCAAAAAAGAUCAUAUUGUUCAAUUUAUUUUCGAAUCUGUUUUUGCAAUAGUAUUUGGAACUAAAUCUACUCAAAUUCAACUGUACUUAUUAGUAGAAUAAACAUAAUUUCUUUAUUUUACUUUUUAUUCAAAUGAAUGAUAUUUUAGAAAAAUAUAUGGAAAUAUUAUAAAAAAAUAUUUUGAAAAAUAGCAAAAUAAUUUUAUUCAAAAAUUUGAUAAGAAGAAAAAUAUGUUAUUCACUGUUGCAAAUUUAUAGAUCUUUAAUAUCGUCACUAAGAACAUGAUUAUUGGGAAGUUCUUAGGGUGAUGUUCUUGGCAGAAUAUAAGAACCCAUCUCUUAACUUUAACUAAAAAAAGCUAAGAACCGGUUUUUAAAUAUCUUAUUUAACUAAAAAAAGGAAAAAUCCGGCUCUUAACUUUUAACUAAAAAAAGCGAAAAACCCGGUUCUUAACUUUUAACGAAAAAAAUUAAGAACCGGCUCUUAAAUAUCCAAAAAACUAAGAACUGUUUCAAGUUAAAAACUUCACCCUAAAAAUUUUCCGAUAAUUAUGCUCUAAGAUUUGAUGUUUUAAUAUAGCCAUUUGGAUUUUUGCCACGUCAUUAAUGUAAAAAAAAAAACAUAGAAGUAGAUAUGGUGAUACCACGUGUCGAUCACGACAUCCCCACGAUGUCAACAACACAACACACAAACCUUCUUCCCCCGUCUCUGUCCUCUUUGCAAGGUGUUGGGUGAAAAAUAUAUUGUACGGUCCAUUGUCAAAAAAGGAAGGAUAUAUAACAGAGAGAGAGAUCGUGGAAACGUUUCUCUUUUGUUUUGUUGGAAUCUCCGCCCCUCUUGUUGAUCGUUCGCGAGGUUCAGUGGUGAAUAUUAGACAUGGCAGCCGCCAAGCUCGUGGCUUUCUUACUUCUUCUUGCCUUUGUUUUCACCACCACCACUGUCUUCGCCGAUGCUGGAAUCGACGGUGUCGAGCCUGUGAUUGCUGACGCCGCUGGAUCCGACAAGCUGGAUCAGCUUAACGCCAAGAUCCGUGCACUAGGUUAGUUAAGGAGUUGCAUUCUUUAAGACUCUUCUUCCCUUUUAAAUCAAAUUAUUGCAAGUUUUGAUUUUUGUUACUUGAGUUCUCGUAACUUCGUAUGUUAUUGUGACAUUUGAAAUCGGAUUCUGAUUUGACUUCGUAUGUUAUGCUGAUAGAAUUUUACUGUUUUAGUUCGUUGAUGUGUUGCUAUGAGUUUGUGGCAUUUGUGAAAAUUCAAAUCUUGGGAGCUUUGUUGAAUUGGUGGAUGUUAAUUUUUUUUGUUUUGUUUUCUGUUUUUGUUUGUUGUGAAGAGUCUCAAGUCGAUGAGAAAGCUCGCGAGGUUAAGAGCAAAGAUGAGUUGGUAGCAGAGAAGGAGAAGCUGCUUAAAGCAAAAGAAGACAAGAUUGCUUCCUUGCAGACUGAAGUCUCAUCACUACAAGUAUGGAUCUUUAUAUGAUUUUGAAUCAUAAAUGUUUUGAAUUUUUUUAACACAUUUUGAAAAAAUAGGGAACAUCAGAUUCUGCUAAACAGUUGGGGAAGGUUCAAGCACGAGUUGUUGAGUUAGAGAAGCAGGUUAGACUUUUUAAGCUCGAGAAAAUCAAAUCUGUUUAGAUGGCUAGAUUUUAUUUUGUGAUGCUACUUCUGUUAUUCAGGUGGAGGUACUCAGGAACUUCUUGGAGCAAAAGAACAAGGAGAAAACUUCCUCAGAAGCUCGGACUAAAGAGGCUGAGAAAAAACUAACCGAACUAAACUCAAGUCUAGACGAAGUAUGUGUUCUUUCCCUUGCUUCACUUUCUCUUUUAGGGACGUGGUGAAUGCUUGUUUAAAUUCUUUAUUUCAGCUCUAGCUAAGACUUCUUUUAGGCUGAGGUCAUGUAUCUUCAUGAUCUAGCCUCCUCAUUUAUGUUAUCUUCUUUCCCUGAAAGCUUCCAUUCUCAGCUAUACUAGAUCACUAUAGAACAGCUAUGUGAUGUGAUGUGAUGUCUUGCAGCUUGAGAAGACAAAUGAAGAGCAGAUGAAGAAAAUAGGCAAACUUGAACGUGCUAUUAAGACAGCUGAGGUAUAUAGUUUAGUUUUCUCUUACUAGAUUAAACUCCCUACCGGUUUUCGUUUCUGCUUCACCCAAAAUACAAUUUCAGGAAGAAAUAUUGAGGACCAAGCUUGAAGCAACCUCGAAGACUAGUGAACUCCUUGAGGUAAUGGUUCGACACUGUCUUUAACAUUUUCAUUAUUUGGAUAUCAGCAAAACGUAGACGCCAAAACUGAAACAUAAAGUUUAAAAUCAUUUGUGUUUUGGUCAGGCUCAUGGUUCAUGGCUUCCCCCUUGGCUUGCCGUUCACUGGAUUAGUAUUCAGGUAAGGUUUUUACUGGUCUUUUCUACUUUUCUGUUACAUGGCGGGUUUUUUUCCCUCAGUUAACUUGAGCAUUUAAUGUACUCAUAGGCUUAUACCGAGACACGUUGGGAGGCCCACGGGAAACCUGCUGUGGAUACAGUCAUUCUGAAGGUGUGCUUCUUUAGAUUUGAGUUAUAAACAGCAUAGGAGCAUCUGACUAAUGAAGUUUACUUAUUAUCUAACUAGGUGACGGAAGCAAAGACUCAAGCUGUGAAGUGGGCUGAACCACAUGUGAAAAACGCUAAAACUGUAAGCGUCUUAUUGGCAAUUUAUUUUGCAGUAAUUUUCUCUGGCAUAUUAGUUUAUUAUUGUCACAAGUCUCUAGAUUUAUGAGUGGCUUUUAUGUUCUGUGUGUUUAUGAUGCACUUCUUGCAGAAAUAUAUUCCAGCCAUCAAGGAAACUGUCGCUACACAUGUUGAGCCACACGUCCGAACACUAUCCAUCAAAGCAAAAGAGGCUUACCAUGCAUCCAAGAGUGCUGUUUCUCCUCACAUUGUCACGGUUCAAGAAAUUGUAGACCCUUAUUAUCAGGUAUAGUGUCUUUAUCAGUUUAUAUUUUUGAGCUUGUGUUUACGAUUGUAAACUUAUAGCGUGUUUAACCUUUUCCAGGAGGCUAAAAAGUUUAGCAAGCCAUACGUUGACCAAGUGGUAACGGCCACGAAACCACAUGUUGAUAAUGUCAAGGUUGCCAUGAAACCUUACACAACCAAGGUGAUCAUCGUUUAUACAGAGUUCCUUGAAUCGGCCACAACUUAUCACAAUCAGGUAUGAAUCAAGUUAUUGUCACUUUCUGGAUGAAUCAAUGAGUUUUCUUGAUUUUAAAAGCUAAAAUUCUCAUGUUGUCUGCGAAGGUCCAAGCUCAUGUUGAACAAAGACUAAAGAGCCAUGAGCUCACGGAGGCUUUUGCUACCAAUGAGUUUGUUUGGUUUGCGGUAUUUGUCUUUAACUUUCUUCCAGAACGUAUUAUUGAUAUUACAUUCUUUUAUUUAUCUCCACUCUUAAUAACUCAAAAUCUUUUCAUUCAGGCUUCUGCGUUGUUGGCGUUACCCAUCUUCUUUGCAUACAGAGUUCUCUCUUCCCUUUUCUGGUGAAUCUCGUAAUUAACUCACUAAAAUUUUUGAUGUAUAGUUGAUCUAAAAUCAUGUAAAUAUCUCAUAUUGUUGUUUAUUGCAGCACAAAGACAAAGAAAGCUGUUCAACACCCUCAUCACCAUGGUCGUCGCAAAACCAAAAGGAGUCAUCACUCUGACAAGUGAAAUUCAUUGUUCCACGCUAAGUGAAUUAAAAUUCAGUGUUACUAGAUUAAACAUUUGAUAGAUAUGUAAUUUGGAAUGAAUUAAAAUCACUUCUUAUAUAAUAUCCAUUUGAUUUUGUUAGAUUUCAGUUUACAUUGGAUUUUAUUGUACUUUUAUAUCUAAAUCAAGCUUUAAACAAGUAUUAUACCUUUCACCUGUUUUAAGGAUUUCAAAUAUCUCUCUCUUUAGCACAUGCAAAAUCCACCUUAGUUAUUGCUAGGCAAAAAACUUGAAUCCUGCUAUGAACCGAAACUUGUUGAAUAUCGGUUUAACACUUUGGUAUCUAGAGAACUAAAUCCGAUCUAAACUGAAAUUUUUUUGGUCUCCGAAUAUAUUCGAAUAAAUAUUCUCAAUUCAAAUAUUUAAACCAACCAAUUAAAAAUAAAUGCAAUAUUAUUAUUAAUUAUAUUACAUGUUCAAUUUUAUAUUUAUUAUAAUAGUAUACAUUUUAAAUUUAUGUAAGUAUUAUAUGAUAAUUUUAUUAAUUUAUCAUGAAGCCGCUAUUGUAUACGCUAUUUAAUUAGUCAAAAUUAUCCGGAAAACAUAAGUAUAAGUUAUAACAUGUAAAUGAUUAAAAGAUUUAACUAUUUUAUCUAUUUUGAAGAAUUAGUUAACAUAAUUUAAUGUUAAAGGAUUAUCUCUCUCGCUACACCAGCAUCAACUCAGAUUUUUUGAUUUAAGCUUUUGUUUUGUCUAAUGUUUCAAAGUUGAUCAAAUUGAUGAGAAGCCAAACAUGUCUCCUAUAUAUAUAUAAAUAAUAACUGGCAAAAAGUAAACAAUGAUAACAUGAAAGAAGAAACCAUUGGCACUAAGGGAGGCAGUGAGUUGAUUUGGGUUGAAUAUAUCCUCCAAACUGAAUCAAGCUCAAAAGACCCACACAUACCUUCUCCUUGAGCGAGUGAGCUUGCGAGAAAAAAAACUUUUAAGUGGGAAAGAGAUGAUUUGAGCCUAAGAGUUUUAAAAAGAAAAAAGAAGAAGAUAUCUAGCUAUAUAAAAAAGAAAUGUAAUAAUUAUUAUAAUAGAAAUGAAGUAGUAAAAUGAAAAGAUUUUAAUAACUAAGUAUAUAUUAAUAAUAGAAAAACUAAUUAAUAUUAAAAGGUUGUAUCUUUCAAUUGUGUAAUUAUUGAAAUAUUUAUUUUUUUAUGCACAAAAAAUGUUAUAGCCCACAUGACCCAGUUUUAGUCAACUAAUAACAAAAUCCAUCUUCAUCCGUACGAUAACGAAAAUAACAUAUAUAACACACCAUUUGUUUCAUCAAGUGAAUCAACCACAAAAGACACUAUCUCAUAAACAUUCACACAAUAAUCUCAAACACCAACAAAUAUAAAUAUAAUUCCCAUUCACUAGCUUAUCAAGUUAUACAACAAUCAAACAUCAAUUUUACUUUAUGUUUAAAUUCUAACUAAAUUAAUUUUGUCACGACUAUCAAUUUUUAUUCUACUUUUAUUAAAUCGAUUAGUCACACCCACUUAUACUAUUCCACUUUGAAUAUACUAUGGUCGCUAACCAUUAUCGUAUGGAUCCGAAAAUAUUAUUAUCUUUCAAUAUAUUUUAAUCUUUAUUAUUUUUAACAUGUUUUAUUUACUUAGACUAUAAAAUAAAUUUUAAAUUCAUUUAAAAAUAAAACAUACGAACCGAUGCGUAGCGCCGGAAUACCACUAGUCAUAUAUAAAACCGGAACUAACUAAAUUAUUCUACUUUCCUUGAAGAAGUUGUUGAGAUAAAUCUAUAGUUAUGAUAUUCCUAAAGAAUAUAAUCUCUUAUACUUGCUUGCAAAGUUAUGAAUAUAUAUGAUUGAGAAUACUAAUAAAAUCUAAAAUAAAAAGACGGGAGGAUAUAUAAAAUUAUUUAGUGGUUUUAGUUUUUGAGUGAAAACAAUAAAAUUUAUAUAAAAAAAAGAAUUAGAAAGUAACAAAAAAAUAAUUUUUGAGGGCUUUUUGGUUACAUUGUUAAUCAGAAAGGAAAAGGAAAUAUUUAUAUUGGUAUUUGUACCUUCUUUAUUUUGUUAGGACGCAAUUAUGUAUUUUAAUAUGCAAGUGAAACUUAACAAAAGUCAGUAUUAAAAGUUGUAAGAAACUGUCAGUUUCUGUUGGCUAUGCAGGUUUCAUUAGUGGCAUCAGAAAGUGCAUUCAACACAAGUGGGAGGAUAUUAGAGUCUUAUCGAAGCUGCUUAACUCACUACAUGAUAGAGAUUCUUAUGUGUACUGAGCAAUGGCUUCAUGCUGACAUCAAGCUUAAGGAAACCAUCAUCACAAAUGAGCAAAUCCUAGUUGAUGUUGAAGAGUUUGAUAAGCUUGAGAAAGGUAUGAAUUCAUUUGCACUUCUUUUCUAUUUGUUUGCUUUGUUUUAUUGGCCAUGUAACUGAUUUUCGUUUGCCUUUGUAUCAGAGUUUGAAGCUCACAAUCUUGAUGAUUGAAGUCUGGAUUUUGAAGGUUGAAGGCUGGAGAUUGAAGUUUCAAAGAGUUUUUUUUUAUUGAUCUAUGUUGCUUUCUUUUGGCUAUCACUUGGGUAAUGGUGAUCUUUGUUUUUGUUUUUCAUUUGAAUAAUGGUGAUCUUUGUAUCACUUCUAUCUUAAUAAAGUUUUAAUGUUGCUUUCAUCUUUGUCUUUCUUUUGUUUCGAGUUUGAAUGUGUCUUUAAUGUGCCUGUCUUUGUAAUGGAACUUUAGUAUGUUGUGUCUCGAGUUUGAAUGUGUCUUUGGUAUGUUGUCCUUUGUGUCUUUGUUUUGAGUUCAACGUUAAGCAGAGGUCUUGUAGAGUUCCUAAUAUUAAGCAGAGGUUUUGUAGAGUUUGUAUCAACGUUGGUUUGAUUUGUAUCAAGUGUAACCGAGUACCAAAUCGAGUUUAACCGCAUAAAAAUUAGUCAAACCGACUUCAAAUUAGUGCAUCCAUAACCGAAUAACCGAGUAAGAACCAAAACCUAUACAUAUUUCGGUUUCAAUCAAUUUUCGACACAGUUAUAAAAUCCGAACCGAACCCGACGACAUCCGAACCGAUACCGGACCAAACUUUUAUAAUAUCCGAAUGGGUUUGAUUUUCGACAAGACCUAAACCGAAGCCCGAUUGGUCUACCGAUUGCCCAGGCCUAGAAACUGGGACCAUUUGGUAACAAAUGAGCUUCUUUCUCUUUGGAAAUCCAGAACGACAAGUAGUCAUAACCCGUAGAAGUAAAACACCGAUCGAGGCGUCUCGAAUCUCUCUUUAUUAAUGGCUCCUGCUCCCUCCAGUCAAUCGAACGGUCACAUAUCUUUCUUAAUCCUUGUUAAUCUUUACGGUACAAGAAAAAAAGACAGUAAGAAAGAGCGGUAAGAGCACUGGUAAAAACAUGUAUAUAUUCGAUAGAUUUCAUGAGCAAAUGGAGAAAGUUAGGGCUUUUCCUCGACAAUGAAGCAAAAAGCUUUGGUGGCGUUCAUGUUAUUGAACUGUAUGUUGAGAAUCUUGUUUUCCGCGUACCACUUAUGUAGGAGAUGAAACGUCCAUUUGCUCCAAUGAAGGCUCUUGAUAUGGAACAAGACGUCAUAAUAAAGAAGAUUAAAUGAGAGACUGCAAAUAGGCUCUUCUUGUGCCUAUUCUGUUCUUUGUUUCUACCUUGCCCUUAGUUUAAUCACUAAUCAGUUAGGAUUAUAUGUAUAAGACUUUCUAGAGCAAUGUUGGUUGUUGGAUCAGUUAGGUUCACUUUUGUAAGUGCAGUCUCGUUGUUACGAUUAGCUUGGUUGAUCUGUUUUUUGUGCGACAGUGUGAGGAGGUUAACUCGUAUUUGUAAGGGCUCGCUUUAGUCAUCUCAUUGUUUGAAGCAAACAGAUGCAGAAGCGUUUUUCGUUGUGAUCAGGCAUGUUUUUCUAACAUUAAUGGCAUUGGUUAAUCUAUGUUUUAAACGUAACACACUUAGAAUUAGAACUGUGUAACAAGUUCAACAGGACAUUUGCAUGAUCACAGUGGUCUCUCUUCUUGGUAAAAAAAAACUACAAAAUGAAUAAAUGUUUUUGAAUCUCAUCUACCGUUAUUGUCAUCAGACCACAUGAUCUAACUCCAUCUUAAAACCAAGCAAAGCUAACAAAAAAUACUAUCAAGAGAACUACAACUUCAAAGCUAAAACGUGUCUUGCAAGCAGAAGAGGUCUUCCCAGCCUUAUCAGCAGCUUCAAUCUUCUCAUUAUCAGCGCUUGGAGUAGGUGCUGGAGAAUCAACCUCAGGUGUCUCUGUUUCAGGUGUAAGUUUUGGAACAUUACUAUCCGAGGCAUUGUCUUCAUCACCUGGUCCAGGAGCCGGAGCUGGAGCUGGAGCUGGAGGGGUUGCACCACUCAUGGGAGAUGGACUUGGAGCCAUUGCAGCAUCCAUAGGAGAUGGAGCAGGAGCUGGAGCUAAAGGAACGGGUGGUGGUGG